RNAcentral lists this long non-coding RNA (99094 nucleotides) under Capsicum annuum. RNAcentral's name for it is "long non-coding RNA (CANN_LNC020569)". The record is from RNAcentral. Lineage: Eukaryota; Viridiplantae; Streptophyta; Magnoliopsida; Solanales; Solanaceae.
AAAAAAAAAAAAAACUAACCGUCAUUAGUAUGUCAUUGUGGUUACGCAGUUGAACUGAUGACAAGCACAACUCUUUUAGUCAUUCAUAUGUAUAGAACCACCAGUCAAAAUAGUACUUCUAAGAAAUAGCGUAUGAUAAUAUAAAAUAAAAGUGCAAUAGAAUUCUAAAAGAAUGAAUCAAACUACGAUGAAAUAAAAUAUACAACAAUGAACCUUCUGCUCUAUAUUUUUCUCCAAAAAUGCAUAGAAACAGAUUGCUAAAGUCAAAACUUACCUUAAUGAUUGGACGGGGAAUAUUCCACCAGACUAUAGCUCUCUAUCUUGUAUAUGGUGAAGGUAAACUACCACUUCUUAUAAUCUUAAUAAAGGCAUUCUUAUGGAUGCAAAAUGAGAAAUCAAUAUGGUGUUAGUAGGCAAUAAUAGUCCUCCCGUCCUUAGUGUACUGAGUUAAAGUAGCAAAUGAUGAUAACAAAACUUUGGACAUAAAGUAGACCAGAUAAUGAUGGUAGGGCAAAAAUAUGAGUUUUUAGUUACAUAUCGCCUUUUUUGGUUUUUACACAUUAAUUUUGUUUGAGCUUUAAUGUUAACGCUUUGUACUUAUUAUUUGUCUUUUGGUUGUAAGACAUUUUUCUGAGCUUUUGAGCAAUUUUGGGACUAAGAUAGAUACCUUGAAACUUUAAAGUUUGAGUAAAAACUAGAUAAUUAACUUGGGAUCGCAUUUGAGGAUCGAGAAGCAUGCAACAAAAUGAAGAACUCGUAACUAAAGUGAGCUAAGAUAUGGACAAAGUGACACAAGUAAGCCACCCUUUUAAGAUACAACCCGGCAUUGAAUAUGAGAUAAGAAAAGAAAAAUAAGCAUAGAUGCAAUACAAUAACAGAUAAUUGAUGAAACAUACGCAAAUAUAUGAUCAAAGUUGAUCAUUGAAAGAUGAUUGAAGCCUCUAUUACGGGUAGAAAAUAGACAAAAUAAUGCACAUGCUAGUAGAGCACCGAUUAAUUCCUAGAAAAUAAAUCAGAAACGAUGAAAUUUAAUGUUAUUGAUACUUGUUACAACAUUAAAUAAUCAUAUUAUUUCACAAAAUCAAUUCACGUGCAGCAACAUACGUCUAAUAUUAACUUGGAAAGACCAAAAUAGGCCACAAUACCUAAUCCCAAAGAUGCUCCAUAAUUUUUUUGAUUGCUCAUUCAAGAACUAUAAUUUUUAGCUAUGGAACUUAAUCAUUUUCUUCUUCCUCCUGGAUACUCAAUACAAAAUUUACCUAAUAAAAGAUUUGUGGUUUUCUUAAUUGAGAAAGCUUUUCAUGUUUACUGGAAAUAUCAAUUGUUUCAGCCAGUAACAAAGAUUAGAUGUUGAGGCUCAAGGUGGUAUGCUAAAACCCUAAAGAGAGAACAAUUUGAUUUUCUCAACAAUAUUUAUAUGUUCUUUCAUCUGAGAGAACCCAAUGCAGGCUAAGACAAAACUCUAGCUUCCAAGAGGAGAAGACACGUAAUUUCUAUCAACGAUUAUAAUAAUUCGAACACACCAAUGGAACAACACAAAUAAAUAACACUUAGAAGAAUGAAGAUAGGAAUAUCUCAUCUCAAGUAACUACCAGCUAUGAUGCUAAGUCAAACUACAACUAUGUUUCAAUCAAAGUAAAAAGUAUUUGAUAUUCUCGAGAAGAAGUUACAUUAGAACAGUCAGGUUGCAACUAAGUUCCAAAAUAUUUUCCCACAAAUUUGAAAAAAUUCCAUGAGUAAUAGCAUUUAUCAUUUCCAAUCAAUAUUAGCAAUACAUCAAACUUCAUCUAAACAACUAUUAAAAGUUAUAACAAUGUACUUUGACAAAUAAAGUUAUUUUUUGUUCUUGUAUGUAUAAUUUGUGUCUCAUCUAUUAAAAUGUAGAAUACUAUAUGAAUAAUGUUAUACUAACGGAGCCGAUUAUAGCUGUAAGCAGUUGAUAUCGAAGAAUCAAAUUGUUUAUAACUUCACCCUGGUUAGGAGAAUUUGAUUCAGGUGUACACUAAUGCAAUAUAAAAGGAAUGCUUUUAAAAAGAGGAGAAGAUCAAGAUGAAAUAGAAGUCUACCAAAUUAUCAAACACAUUCGACUUACAAUGAAAUCUACAAUAAACUACACUUUGAUACGUAUUUAGAAUUUAUCACUGAAAACUGAAACUAAUUAUCAAUUUUCAUAGAAAAGAUGAAUCUAUAGUCUUUAUAUGGAAGAGAAAUUUCAUCGAAUACCUAAUAUGCACAAUGAAGCUGACACUUAACAAAUCACUCAUCCAAAACAAAUAAACAUCGGGAAAAAUGUAAGGAUUAUUAGAAGAUUGAAGGAAAAAUUAAAGAUGAGAAAAGAAGAAUUACAAAAAUGUACCUUACAAAUCAUUUCAAAGUUCAAGAAAAAAUUGAAACCUUAAAAUUUCAACAACAGUUUAGCCAAAUGUAAAAAAAAAUUCACAAAACAGCACAACAGUAACAACUAUGAACACUCACCUAAGGAGAUGAAGGAGCUCAGUGAUGAAGAAAAUGAUUAGAUUGAAAAACCUUUUUUUCAACAAUUAGAUUGAAACCGAGAAUGGGGCUUUGCAUUCUGAUCCGCAACUAUGUUCAUUCUUACCAGUGCAGCUGGCGAUAUAUCAGUAAAACUCAUAUCAAACUCACUGAUAAUGAUGAAAACAACCCUUGAUCGACAAGCUGGGAGGUCGACGGUCAGUUGCUUCCCAAAGCGCUUGUAUAUAGUAGUAAUAUAUAUAUAUAUAUAUAUUAAUUUUUAUGUUCUUUCAUUUCUUAAAAAAAUGUCGACACUGCUUGUAUAAGGUUCUGCAUAUGUCAUUGUACAUGAAUACCUCUAGUUGCAUGAUGCCAUUUCUUGUUUAUAAAUUUCAUAGAAAUAGAAGAGUUUAUGCUAUGUACAAUGCUAUCGUCAAGUCACUUUUAUAUGUUCUAGAAAAGUAGUUGUUUUAUUUAAAGAUUAUAUGUUUCAUAUUUAUAACAGAUAAUUUGGUUCAUUUUCAAGAUUAAAAAUUCUACAAUUUUUGAAGGUUUAUCUAUAUAUCUUUUUUAGGUUACGUAAAAAUAUAAAUGAAUUGAUCAAAUUAACAGUAUAUAUAACUUAAAACUUUAAAUAUAAUCAAGCAAUAAGAGUCAAGUCAACUUAACAUUUUUGUCUCUUCUGAUACAUACUUUCUAGCCACCCUCUAUAAAUAGCAUACCUUUUUUGGCUGCAAAAUCAAAUGAACAUCUAUAUAUAUCUCAUCAAUAAGGUUGUCUUCAAAGAAAAUUAAAAAAAGGAAAAGUUAAUGGUGGAACACUAGUAGACAAAAAAUGUGAGUAGUUGGCAGUAAAUAGGUAGUAUCUUUAUAAUUAGUGAGGGGGAAGAGGGGUUUUUCUUUGGUCAUGCAUGCAAUCACGACCAGUGCCUUCCAAGGGGCUACACCAGAUUAUUCAAUUGUACAUGUCAAUCACCCCGAGCCUCUCGUAGUCAAAUUCAAUCAUGCUAACAAGUCCCAAAAUAUUUUAUAGAUUUAUGUGAAGUCUCAAGUCAACCAACGAUAUGUUAACACUAAAAAAGGGUUGUGUUCCUCAAUCUAAAUUUUAAUCCUUGUAAAACAACAUUGCACAAAAGAACCUUCUUAAACCCUUAAGGUCUCAACUUGGACCUUCCCACUGAGUCCAAAAAUGUGAUAUAAGCUAUCCAAAUUGUCAAAACAAGGAAUGGAGUAUAAAUGUACAAAAUGGGGUUUGGAUUGUUACAUUGGGUUUAGUCUUGAGGGCUCGAUGAUGUCUCAAUAUGUUGAGCUAUUUGAUGAUUUACAAACAACUAAAGAAGAAUCAAGUCCUUAGAAAGUGUCAAUAUGGAAAUUAUAGUGUUUAUGAUUGACAAACAACCACAGAAACCAAAUCCAUAACAUGGCCAUUGAAGGAACUGCAUUGCCGAAGUUCUAUUACAUAGUGAAAGAACUAGGUCCUUCUCAAAUAACUAGAGCAAAGCAAAUUUUAAUGCAAGAAGGAUUUGUUGAGGAAUUGAGUUUAUAGGAUAAACACAUGGAUCAAGGAAAAAGGAUACGACAUGAAAAUAUUACUAUAAUUGCACAAAAGAAAAGAGCUAUGUAUUUAGGAGAUAAACACGUGGAGGUCCAAAAAAAAUAAGGAAACCAAAUUCAAGUAGAAUUGGAUUCCAUGACCAAGUUCUAGUGGAAUUUGGAGCAAGAAACCAAAUCACUACACCUAUAUAAUCAUUACAUUUUUCCUAUUGAACUUAUGGUAUUCACAUAAAUUGAGAAUCAUUCUUGGCAAAUAACAGUUAUUAUGAGAUAGUGUCUUGUGAGAUUCAAACGAACGAUCAAUAGAAGACCAUAUCGACUAUGUCUUCUUUUAGCAAACUUAGUAUCUUUUUACCAAGCUAUAACUCAUAUAUUGUAUCCACUGGACUUAGUAGUCCCUCCGUUCGGUUUUACUUGAUAUAUUUUGAAUUGGCAUACCUAUUAAGAAACAUAAUUAAUAACAUGACUAUUUUACUAUAAUACCCCCGUUAAAUUAUGUUUACAUUGUAUUUUGAAAUUAAUUUGGAGAAAAAAUAAUUAAUGAAAAGAGUAAAAUAGAAAAAAAGAAGUUGUCUUUUCUUGAUAUGUCUAAACUAACAAGUAAAAGUAAAAAAUUAAUAAGGAAAUUAGUGACAAGUAAAAGCGAAUGGAGGGAGUAACUCUUAAGCUGCAUUUUAAAAAAAAAAAUAAGAUUAGGACAUCUGAAUCUGAAUGCAUAUAUGAAUAAUUAAGAUAUUGUCUCUAAAUCUAAACACUGAAUGAUUAAGACUGUUUAUUUUUCAAUAUCUGAAUGUGUAUAAUUCAUUUAUUUGUAACUAUAAUAAAAAUAUAAUUCCAAUAAAAAAUUAAUUAUAUAUUAAAAAUAUUUAAUUUAAUAAAUAAAAUUAUUAUUCAAUCAGAAAAAUAAAAUAUUUAUGUUUCUAAUAAUGAUGGAGAUGGUUUGUAAUGGUAGUGGUGGUAAUAGUUGGUUGUAGUGGCUAGUAUUGUUGGCGGUAAUAGUUGUGAUGGUAGAGGUGUUGGUGUUGUAGUAAGCGUCAUGAUGGUGGUGAUUGGUAGUGUUGGUAGUAGUUUUGUGAUGGUGAAGUUGAUUAAUGUUAGUAGUUGACAGUGUUGAUGGUAGUGACUGAGGAAUGUGUGUAGUUAGCGACAAUUCUAAUUGUGAGGGUGGUGGUCAUGAUUUGUAGUAGGGAUUGACCAUACUAGUGGCAGUGACUGAUAGUGGUGGAGAUUGUGCCAAUGGUGAUAAUGGUAGUGGUGGUGAUUGAAGAAUGUGUGGUGGUUGAUGGCGUGUUGGUGAUAAUUGGUAAUGGUGCUAAUUGUGAUGGUGGAGUUGGUUAGUAAUAAGGAUUGACUGCAGUGAAUAGUGAUGAUGAAGGUGGUAGUAAUAGGGGUGAUGAUAAAUAUAAUUAUAAUGAUGGAGGUAGUAGGUGUGGUAGUGACUGAUAAUAGUGGUUGGCAGCGCUGGUUGUGUUAGGUUCAAAAUUGAGAGAGUGUCACACGGAAGCCUAUAAUUUAUAAAAUAAAACGGUGAUAAUUCAGAUGACAAAUAAAAAUAUACUAAAGACAUAUUAUUAAUAUGAUUCGGUCAAACGAUCUACAUAUAAAAAACUAAUAUUAGAAAAACAUAAGAUCUACUGGGAGAAAAUCUCCCCUAAACAAGACUCUUUAAAGACUACAUUGUGAAUACUAUUGUAUUAUCGUAUGAGAACGGUGGAUCUUCUAUUUAUAGAGUUCCAAAACCUUUCCUCUUAGAAAGAGGUUAGCCAAAUAUGAAAAGGUUUUAUAGUUUUCUUUCAGAAAAAGUAAAAAUAAUUAUGGUAUUACUUUUAUUUUUCUUUCAAGAAAAAUAAAACUUAAACUUGGUAAGAAAAUCAGAACAAAUAUCCUAACAAAUCUCUUCUUUUGGCUUGAUUUUCUUGACAUAAUUUGAUCCACCUUAUUCGUAUGCAUGAUAUUUACACAAUCUUCAUCAUUGUUGCUUGCCAAGGUUAAAAAUAAGAUUUAAAAUAUUAUGGUUAAAAGUGGAUUAAAAAUAAAUAUUUUAUUUUUAUUUUUAAAGAUGCAACAAUAUGAAUGUUGAAAUAUGAUUAAAACUUCUUCUCCACACGUAGUUGGAUAAAAAAUAUUCAUUAUCAUCAAAUUGAUUGCAAAUUGAUUAAAAUCGCCUUAAACUUGUCUUCAACCUCGUUUCACCAAACCAUUGGACCUUUGAACCGUAGGAUCUGAUACCACUUGUUGGGUUCGAAAUCAAGAGGGCGUCAUGCGGAAGCUUGUAAUUUGCAAAAGAAGAUGGUGAUAAUUUAGAUGACAAAUAAAAAUAGGAAAAAGACAUGUUUCCCCCCUAAAGUUGUAAUGAAAACUCACUUUAGCCAUUAAACUUAACUUGUAAUUAUUUACCCCCCUUAACAACUUUCAAGUGAAUUAAAUUCAGCCUUAAAAUCACAAUCUCACUCUCACAACGGAGAGUGCAACACACACGCAUCAUGUCAUUGCCAAAUUAGUGCCAUGUCAUUGCCACGUAAGAAAUAAAAUUUAUUUUGAAAAAAGUAAUCCCACACACAUACUAUUUUUAUAUAUAUUUUUUAAAAAAGUAAAAAAUAUAUAUGUACUAUUUAUAUAUAUAUGCCCCCUCCCCCAUUUUCCUUCUUCAUCAGUAUCCCCUCCUCUUUCUUAUCCAGAUUGCCCCUCCUCCCCCCUCCUCCCCCUUCUCCACACCCGAAUCUAUCUACAAAUCAAAAUCAACCACACCCACAUCAAAAAAAUAAUCAAAAUCCAAUCUUUAACACUCCAACGAUCACCCAAAUGAAAAUCUAAUAUUAGAAAAAUAUAAAACCUACUAGUAGAAAAUCUCUCCUAAACAAAAUUCUUUAAAGACUACGUUGUGCAUAUUAUUAUGUUAUUGUAUGAGAAGGGAGGAUCUUCUAUUUAUAAAGUUCUAAAAAUUUUUCUCUUAGAAAGAGGUUAGCCAAAUAUGAAAAAGUUUUAUAUUUUCCUUUCAAAAAAAGUAAAAGUAAUUAUGGUAUUACUUCUAUUUUUCUUUUAAGAAAAAUAAAACUUAAAUUUAGUAAGAAAAUCAGGACAAAACCUCUAAGAUGUUGUGCUUGACAAUGGUAAUGGUGGUUGCCAAUGGUGAUGGUGAUGGUGAUUAUGAUGACAAAGAUGGUAAUUAAGUGGUGGUGACUGAUGAUUGUGAAUAGGAAUAUCUUACCUUUAAAUGGUAUUAAGACUUUGUUCUGCAUCUAAAUAGUUAAGACUCAUUCAGAUCAAUUAAGUGCUUAAAUCUUAAUGAAAAUAAAUGUACUAAAUGGCUAAACCAUUCAGAUUUAAACCUCCAUUAAGCGCAAAUAAAUGAGGUCUUGUAUGGGCAGAUUUGGUGUUAUAUUCAUGACAUUUCCUUACCUAUCUUCUUCCUCUAUCUCAAAAUAGUUGGCAUGUUGGUUAAAAAAAAUUAUUUUAAAAUAGUUGACAUGUUUAAAAGAUGAAGAGAUAAAUAACCAUUUUUUUCCACUAUACCCUUAGUAAUCAAGACUAUUUCCAUAUUAAUUGAAGAAGAUUUAUCUAAUUAAGAUUAAUAGGGUUAUAUUAGUCAAUUUGCACUCCUUAUUAAUUUCUUUUUAAGAGUUGUUCAAAAAAUAAAUAUGUCAAGUAAUCAAUACACAUACACACACACACACAUAUAUAUAUAUAUAUACAUAUAUAUAUAUAUACACACACACAUACACAUAUAUAUAUAAGAAACUCUUAGACGAUCCUCUGUGGCAUGUCUUAGAGGCCUCCAUUCCCAUUUUUCUUUUUUCUCCUUUUUUAAUUUUUUUUCUUAUUUUUUCCUUAUUUUAUAAUUGAAUAAUUAAUCAUAUUCUGUCCUAUUUAUUAAGUAUCAUUAAAUUCUUUACUAGCCAUAUUAAUUUAUUGUCAAUAAGUUAUUAUAUUAAUUAUUAAUUACUGUACAUAGAAUUGAAAAGCCUCUCCAAUUGUGUAUUUCUUAUUUUUAAUCUCUUUCAAUUAUUCGUCUAUAAGUAUGUGUAUAAACAAAGUAAUGUGCCUUUUUUAUCAAAGAUUUUUUAAUCUUUCUCUAAUUAAAUAAUGAUAAUAUCUUUUAAUAUUUCAAGUAUUUUUUUAAUAAAAUAUUUAUAAGGAGUAGCUAUUUUUUUUAUAUACAAUGUAUUUGAAAAGAGUAACUAUUCAUAACUGAUACCUCUUAAAUUUAUACAUUCAAUAGUAUUCAUAACUCCCAUAAUUUUUAUGUCUAUAACUCCCAUACAUUAAUUUAUAAAUUUAUAAUACCUUAUGGUAUUCCUCUAUUUUACCUAUAUAAACUCGUAUUUGUUUCAUGAAGACUCCCAUUCAAAAUUAUUUUUUUUCUUCUCCAUCUCUUUUGUUUGUAAAUUAUAACACGUAAUAAGAAGAAGUAUAUGAAGGCAAAAUAUUUUAUUCUUAAAUAUUGUCUCAUGUUUAUGUAAUUGAUAUUCUUUCUUACUUUUAACGUUUUUUUGCUUUACAUAUUUGUUAUCCUCCAGCAGUAAAUAUGGUCAGGAAAAUCAAUAUUAAGGUAAUUUUAUAGUAAUGCGAUCAAUUUUUUUAAGAUGUAUAAUAUAGUUUAGAUUUCUUUCCUCUUUUCUAUGAAUUUUUUUAUUGAUCUAUUUGGAAUAGAAAUAUUAUAAAUAUCAUACAUAGUGCAGUAUCAUAAAUAUUUAUUCUCAAAUAUUCUGUCAUGUUUAUGUAGUUGAUAUUCUUUCUUAUUUUGAAUGUUUCCUUUUUUUUACAUAUUUGUUAUCCUCCUUCAAGUAAAUAUGAGCAUGAAAAUUAAUAUUAAGGAAAUUUUAUAGUAGUGUGAUCGAUUUUUUUUUAAAAUGUAUAAUAUAGUUUAGAUUCCUUUCAUAUUUUUUAUGUAAUUUUUUUAUUGAUAUAUUUGAAAUAAAAAUAUUAUAAAUAUCAUAUAUAGUAAAAUAUCAUAUUAACAAUUGUCACAUUCUUGUGUUUUAUAUUAUUAUAAUUAAUAGUUUAUUUAUUUAUUUUAUUUAUUCAUAACUUCAGCUUAAUUUGAUUUAUUUUCAUAAUUAAUAAUUAAUAUAAUAACUUAUUGAUAAUAAAUUAAUAUGAUUGUUAAAGAAUUUAAUGAUACUUAAUAAAUAGGAUAGAAUAUGAUUAAUUAUUCACUUAUAAAAUAAAGAAAAAUACAAAAAAGGUCAAAAAAUAAUGAAAAAAUAGGAAUGGGGGCCUUAGAAGUAUGUCACAUCAGCAUAUUUCUAGAGAAAAUUGAAGGAAAAAUAUCUUUUAAGUCGUGAAUGAAGAAUUGGUGACGUUGACCAACUUAAAGGGUCAAACAUAAUUAGAAAACUUGAUUAAUAUUUUUAAAACUUUUUAAUCUUUUCAAAAAUACAAAUCAACCCAAUCCACACCCCUUUUCAAUCCAAAUCAUCAAUCGUCUCUCGACAACUUCUCUCAACCAGCAGUUCUGCAAAUUUCUCCUUUCAAUCCCCAGCGACUUAAACCUACGAUGAAAAAUAGUUGGGCUUUGAGUUUCUUUUCGAUUUCAACCGUCAAUCAACGUGACAGUCUUGCUCUCCGGACACAACAACUUUGAAUUCUUCAUCGUUCCUUUUCUUCUUUCAUAGGUAAAAAAUUAUGGUCUUUUUAGUUUUGAAGAAAAUGAGGAACUUGAGCUAACUUCUCUUAUCGUAUUGGUUAACAAUUUCAAUAUUUGUUGCUUUAAUUUGAAAUACGGUCUGAAUAAAAUCCUAAUUUCUAGUAUUUUUUUCUCUUUUCUUUUCUUCUCUUCUCUUUUGUUGUUUGAUUUCAAAGUUUAAUUUAUUGUGCCCAUUGCUGGGUUGAUUUUUUCUUAUUCUUGAUAAAACUGGUGAUACUGUUGUUGUUCUGUUGAACAAAAUCGUGCUACUAUUUUUUUUCUCCAACAGAUUAUUUAUCUGGUGCAACAUAUUAACCAUCUGAUGCAACAGCUUUAGCAUAUGAUAUAACAGAUCAAUCAUCUGAUGCAACAGAGGAACUAUUAUAUGAAAAUUUUGAUGCAACAUAUUAAACAUCGGAUGCAACAGAUUAACAAUAUAAUGCAACAGAUUAAUCAUCUGAUGUAACAGAGGAACCAUUGGAUAAAAAUCUAGCACAACAAAUUUAACAUAUGAUGCAACAGUUUAGUCAUGUGAUACAACAGAUUAACCAUCUGGUGCAACGAAGAAACUAUCAGAUUAAAGAUUUGAUGCAACAGAUGAACCUCGUGUUGGAUAAAAUCCUAUCAACUCUUCCAAUAGGACAUAUCUAAGACUUGAUUUUUCCAACUGAGUAUUCAUCUGUUGCGAUAGACGACCCUUCUGUUGGAAGAAAUCUAAACAAUAUUAAUUGUUGAUAACUGUUCCAACAAAUUAUUCAUAUGUUGCAACAGAUGUAUGACCUGUUGUACAGACUAUUCAUUUUUCUCAACUGAUAAGUGAUAUAUUUUGUAUUGUCAUAAUAGAUUACUCAGUCGUUGCUACAGUUAGUUAACUAUUUCAAUAGAUUACUCAUAUGUUGCAACAGAUGUGUGAUCUAUUGCACAAACUAUUUAUCUUUCUCAAUAGAUGAGUGAUAUGUUUUAUAUUAUCGUAAUAGAUUACUCAACCGUUGCUAUAGGUUAUUUAACUGUUCUAAUAGAUUACUCAUAUGUUACAAUAGAUGUGUGAUCUUGCACAAACCAUUUAUCUUUCUCAAUAGAUGAAUGAUAUAUUUUGUAUUGUUGCAAUAGAUUACUCAUCCAUUGCAACAGGUUAUUUAACUAUUAUAAUAGAUCACUCAUAUGUUGCAACAGAUGUAUGAUCCAUUGCACAGACCAUUCAUCUGUCUUAAAAGAUGAGUGAUAUGUUUUGUGUUAUUACAACAGAUUACUCAUCCAUUGUAAUAGGUCAGUAUUUGGUGCAACAGAUAACCUACCUGGUGUAGAUGUAUGAUUUGUUGCAACUAUUAUUUUACUAUUUUGCAUGUUAGAUUUAUUGUUAUUCAUUUUUAAUGAUGCAUUAAUCAACUAUAAUAUAUUUUUUAUGUUCCUAUUAAUUUUAGAUAAUAUGGCUCCCAAAAGAAUAAAAACUGAAUCAAGACCAAGUAAAGGAACAAGUGAAGCAGCUAGGCUACAUCCACCACUCUAUGAGCUUGCUUUACAAGCGUUAUCUCAAUCAAGAGCAGAAUAUGAUGAACAUGGAGAGGAGAAAUGUAUCAAAAGAGAUGAUCCAAAUUCUAAUAAGCUCUUUCACCAAAGAGUUGAUCAAAGCCUUCAGCAUUGAUCGUUAUCCUGUGAGAAUGCAGUAUAAUGGUGCCACAGAUUUAACGGGUGAUUUCAUGGUUAAGUCAUCCAUGGAAAAAAUUUUCAACGCCUUCAAAAAAAUACUUUGUGAACCAAAAUUGGAUGCUUAUUUUAGGGACAGCUGCUUUGGAAAAAAUCUUGAUUUGCUGGAGGACAACAAUGCUCAAGCGUAGGUUUAUGUAUGAAAACAAAGAUAAGAUAGAUGAAGUGUGGAUAAAUUACUGUAGCAUGCCUAUUUGUUUUGGUUGGAAGGAGUUUUGCAUAGUUACUGGACUAAAAUGUUAUCCUGCUCCUCCUUCUUAUGUUAUACCUAUUCUAACCCAAAAAAAUACCCCGCACACUCAAAAAAGGAAAAGAUAAGUCGUGUGAUCGUGAUGACCUGGUGUCCAUUGUUGAUCCAAGCUUCAAAAAUAAAAAUUUAACAGAAGUGUUGAAAGGUAAAAGAAUUUCAAAGAAAAACAAGAAGUCAUUGUGCUUGGUUUGUUUUGUACAUAAUAUUCUUUGGGCAAGAGACGUUAACAACAACAUAAGCGUUGGUUUAAUAAAUCUCUCUGAGUAUCUUGAGGCGUUUAAUAGCUAUCCUUGGGGUUAUGAAAUCUUCAAAAUGACUGUCAAAUAUUUGUUGACUUCGUUAGCGCCAAAGACAAUCAACUUAUAUGGCUUUCCAUGGGCUUUCGUGGUAAAUGUUUCUUUUUUUUAUUAUGAUAUCAUUCAUUUUUUACUCAAUAAUAGUUUUGAUUUAUUGACGUUAUUUUAUAGUCUUGGGAGUUUGAAGUUAUUCCUUAUUUGCGACAACAAGUGAACUACCAGGAAGAAGUUUUCUGCCUAAGAAUCUUGAGAUAGUUGUCGGUCAAAACUGAUAAAAAUGCAAAAAAUUUUAAUCUCUUCAAUCCCCCGAAGGAUGCAGUAAGUAUAAUUAUAAUUAAGUUUUUGUUUUAAUUAAUAAUUUUUUGAACAAUCUAAUCAUCAUUCUAAUAUAUGUAAUGAUUUAUGUUAGAUUUUGCAUCCAUCGCUAGUUUCGACCAAUCGAGAGUUGAAGAUGCCAUUUUUUCUUAAUUUAUGAUCUGUGCAAACUUUAUUGGACCCUAAGGUCAUUGAAAGAAUAAAAAUGGAAUUGUUUAGAGCAACAAACAAUAUAAGAAAAAUAAUUUUGGAGGGUGGGCUUGUUGUUGUUGAUGGUCUUAGUGGUGAUGGAGCUGUUGGUGGUGGUAGUGGUGAUGUUGUAGGUGCUAAUGAUGCUCCUCUUACUGUAUUUAAAACAAACUAUUAUGAGUAUAAUCAUACUGGUUAUACAGAUUUUGCCUCUCCCAGCGAAUAUUCUGCAUGCAAAUGUCACGACGGCAAGGCGAAACAUAAUGUAGUGAUUAAUGCUAUUAAUGCAUUAACUGCUUCUGUAAAAGAAUUGACAUCUAAGAGGGUGUCAUUCCAUCAAAGAGAAUUUUAUAUCCAUCCACUCCAUUAGAGAUUAAGGCUAAGAGGAGAAGGAAAAUAAUUUCCAAGGUAUUAUCAAACAUCCAAAAAAAGUGAAAUUGUAACUCCUCUGUUCGUGUGUUACACUGAGAAAUGUACAAUGUCCAAAGGGGAGCAACAUGAGCUAAAGAAGGUGAAUAUAUAUGUCUGUUCCAACUAACAAACAAACACAUAUCUAUUUCAACUGAUGACAAAUCUACUGAAAAUUAUCAAAUAGAUAUAUAUGUUUGUUUCAACAGUUGACUAACUUGUUGCAUCAAAUAAAGUAUCUGUUGCAACAUAUGUCUCGUCUGUUUUUAGCAAAUCAAACAGCUCUUCGUACCACUUUUCUUUGUACCAACAGUUGACCACUCUUCUGUCGCGCCCUAUUUUUCUCGCGGAAGGAGAGAUUCGACUUGCCAAACUCUUUUGGGAUGCGUUAAAAAAGGGUGUGAAAGUCGUCACCUAAUGUAUUAAGGUGUAUUAGGGCACCGGUCUAGGCUACUACAAAACUAUUUUGUUAUUUUGUCUUAGUUCACCAAAAAUUUGGGUAAGGGUUCAAAUUACUUCAAAAGGAAGGUGUUAGGCACCUUUCGAGGUCCACAAAGGUGGUUUCCGGCCAAAUUCGUACUUUACAUGGGGAUUCUAUGUGAUCAAAUAAAAGUCUUUUGUUUUAUUAUUAAUUUUACAUUUAGCUAAGUGGUAAAGUAAUUAACAAAUAUUUAACUAAUUUAUUUUAACUAUUAAUCAUCUAAGUGAUCAAAUAUAUAAAUAAGACAAGCGAGAAGAAAAAAAUGAUAUAAUUUAUAACAAAGGGGACUGCUUAUGUAACAGACUAACUACCCCAAAUAAAUGAACAUGUAAAGUAAAUAAACGACUAAAAAGAAAUCGUCCAAGUCAAACAAAGAAAUAUUUUGGUCCCAUUCGGAUCAGAAACCCAACUUGUUAAUCAUCAUCUGACCCAAGGGUUGAACUCUUAGACAAGUAAUAAUGUCAUUAGCCUCGUUGUUAAUAUCUAUUGGAAUCAUCAUUUCCGAAUGACUACCCGUCCCACCCCACCUAGGAUGGAUGUCAAGUCUAAAGGCAUUCUAUGACAAGGAUAAAACUAACGUUUUUAGUAAUACUUAUUGUCCUACCUAUCGCUCAAGAGGCAUUGGACUUUGCUAUUUUGGAUUUGUGUUCUAGACUAAAAGAAAGCUAUGUUGCCUAGGACUCAAAGAGCGAACAUAUUGGACAACAAGUAGCACGUAAUAAUCUCAAGUUAGCCUCUUGAUUAAUUAACGUCAAUUACUGUGAUAGGAUGUAAAUACAAGCAAAUUAUUUAUUAUGUUGUUAACCUAUAGACAUGAUAUCUAAAUGUUCAACAAGUAGUGAUAAAAGACAAUUGUGAUUCAUGUAUGCAAUGAUGUAAUGUGUGUUCAAAAAAGUUUUCAAGGUGUGAUAAUUGUGUCAAGAGAUGUGCUCGCGAAUUAAGUGUUAUAAACUAUAAUGAGAAUAUAAGAAACUAGUAAAAUAUUAAAGGAUGCGUUAACAUGUUACGGAUGCACUUAAAUAUGGAGAACAGAUUAACAUGUAGAAAAUGUAGAGAAUUAUUAGUAUUUUAGCAUGCUGGAAGUCAACUAAACAUGUUGAAAAAUGAAUUAAACAGGCUGAAGAAGUUAAUUAAACAUGCUAAAAAAUUAAUUAAUCAUGCCGAAAGUUACUUAAUCAUGCUGAAAAGUUACUUAAACAUGCUGAAAAAAAUUAAUUAAUCAUGCUGAAAAUAACGUUAAGGCGCAUUUUAAACAGGCUAAAAUUAGAUUCAUUAUGCCAAAAAUUAGAUUUUUAAUGAACAGUGAAUUAACACGUGGGUCACACAAGAAAUUAAUAUGAACAUGCUAAAUGUGCCUAGGUAAACAUGUAAAAACGUUGACACAGUUAUUUUAAUGUAGACAUGCUGGAAACUCAAUUUAAACAUGCUGAAAAAUAUUAAAUACAUUGUUCCACAUGCUAAAAAUGCUCAAGUAGACUAUUUAACAAGUAGGACUGAAAACGCUCAAGUAGACUAUUUACCAAGUAGGAAACGUUUAACGUAAUAACUUGCAUGUUAACAUACAAAAUGCUUGAAUUAAUUGUUAAUCAUGUAAAAAAAAUAUUACUAGGCCUAUAAACUAGUUUAGAUAUACUAACAUGCUAAAAAUCAAUUCAAUGUGAUAAAAAUACAUCAAUAUGCUCAAUGUGAAUAUAAGGUGUCGAUUUUAGUUAGAUUAAGAAUAAUUAAUAAAUCGUAGAACAUGAUUCAUAUUAGUAAAUCCUAAUUUUGUGCCUAGAUGAUUCUUGUAACACGUAUUACGCAUAACCCUAGGCUGCCUACCUAUAUCGUUCAUAGAGCACGUAAAUUCCCGCCUCCGAAGCAGUCCCCCAAAUUUAUUUAUUACAAUUAUAAUAAUGUUUUUACAAAGUAUUACAAAUCAAAUAAGAAACCAAACUAAACUAAUACAACCCAGUUAUAUAACUAUCCCGGCGAUUCUUUGAAACCCCGUAAUUGUCUAUUUAAACCUGCGAGACAAGAUAUGAUGGCAAGCAAAUAGGAAUAUAUAAUAACAACAUCGAAUUAUUCCUAGACAUGCUUUCUUAAGGCUUUCACAGCAUGAUGCAAUCAACACACAUAGGGUAUGAAAAUUACAUUAUUUUGGAAACUUACCGGUGAGCAACAACAAAAGAAAUAACAAGAAUAACAAAAGCCAGGCACUUGUAACAGUGAAAGAUGUUUUAGUAAGCCCCGAAGAACAGUAGAAGAAACCUCAAAAGUAUCUAAUUACUUUUGUUUUAGAGAGUAGUAGUAAUAAUUGUAAUAGAACUUAAAAGCUUGUAAACUUGAGAAGUCUGAGGGUUUUUUGUAUAUAGAGAGUGUAUAGGGAGUGAAAGAGGGUGAUAAGAGAUCCCCAAAUAAUAAGAAAGGGCAUUGUUUAUAUAAUAAAAGAGUCAAGACAAAUAACGGAAAAAGAAUAUCUUUUGUCAAUCAAUUAAGAAAAAAUAAAAUCAGUCCAUCAAUCAAUGACAAUUUUUCAUAAAUAUUCCACCUAUAUUAAUCAAGUAACUUAAAUCAGCCUAAGCAUAGAAGGAAGAGAAAUAUCAAUCAACAUAGAGCAUAUUUGAUGUAAUCAAUCAACAAAAUUAUCCUUAAAUAUUAAGAUCACACUCAAUAAUAUAAAAUUAGUCAAAAUAAUCAAAUUAUCCAUCAAUUCAAAUUUUCUUAAUUAAGUAGAGUGAAUCAAUCAGCACACAUUUACCAUAAAUAGAUUUAAAAAUAUAAAAUAAAAAACACUAAAAAUACAGAUAUGCAUCCGCUUUUACUGAUUAGAAAAUAUGAAACAAUUAAUCACAAAUUAUUUUAAUUGCAUGAUUUUCAAAAGUUUUCAUACACAACCUGAUAAUGUAAAUCAGACAGAUCCCCGUAAUUAAGCACGAAACAGUUAAUGUUAUUUUGCACAUAAAUCAGACAUGCCAAUGAACAUAUGAACAUCACAAUUCCAUCGUAUGCAUAACAAAAAAAAUUAAAGUGAACAUUUGGGGUUUGGACAGUUCACACAGCAACAGGUGUUUUGACACACGGAUAUAAACACAUAAACGUACAUUACUUGCAAGAAUCAAUUCACAAUUAAUAAUUAAGUUUUGUCAAUUCCAAAUGAAAUAAAAAAAUGUCGACAAAAAAUAAAAAUAUAUAAGAAGAUGAUAACUUUUAAAAUAGAAAUGGGGAAAUCAAACCUUGGACAGAUCCUUAAGAAUCCGUCAUGAGGAUGAACGUUUUCUGGUGACUCGAACUGAAGUAGCGGUGGUAGGAGGUGGCUGAUUGUUUCGCCGGCUGGGGAUGUUCGACGGCGUCAGUAACGGAGCAGCGACGAGGUACUGGGCCUUCUCCGGUGAAGCAGCGGCGGGGAAGGGCGAACUAGUCGCGAUGGCGAUGACUUGUGCUGGCAGAUCUGGGCAUUGACAGAGGAGAGUCGUGACGCCACGGCUGGAGGCGGUUGUUUCACUGGCGGUUGCUGCAGAUCUGGACGGAGGCGGUGGAGCGGUGAUUGAGGAGUGAGGGAAACGGUGGUGCUAGUGGCGGCGAGGUCGCGAUGGAACGGGUAAGGAGGAGGACGGGAGAGGUGGGUGAGAGAGAGGGAGAAAGAGGCGGGUGAGAGAGGGAGGUGGAGGCUGAUGAAAAUAGUAAUGAGAUUAGGAUUUUGGGUUGUUGGAUUAAAAAGAAAAGAAAGGUGUAGAUCAAAUCUCAGCUGUUAGAUCAAUUUUGAUCAACGAUUAGAAUUUUAAGUCUAUGUGGAUUUAGAAUAGCUAGGAUCGCAAGAAAUUGGGUUAAAAUUGUAAUGGAUUGAGUAGAAUAGGUUGUAAUUGUAAGGAAUUUGAACAAUAUUGGACUAAAAGGUUAAUAAAUUGUGCACGAUAAUUUUAAUUUAGGCUGUUAUUUAAAUUAAAGUAGAGAUAAUAAUAUAUGAUAAUAAUAAUAAAUAACAAUAAUAAAUAAUAAAUAACAAAUAAUAAUAAUAAAUAAUAAAUAAAAUAAAAAAUAAUAAAUUAUAAUAAUAAAUAAUAAUAUAUAAUAACAAUGUCAAUAAAUAAUAAUAAAUAAAAAUAAUAAUAUCAGUAAAUAGCAUUAAAUAAUGAAAAACUAGACAAUGUAUUUGUAAAAAUGUGAAUGUUCACAAUUGCGUAAUUUACUUAUUAAAAUAUCGUAUUUGAUUUUAAAAAUGAUGCUAAGAGAUAAUAAAAUAAUUUAUGCAUUAUAUAAAUUAUAAGUGAAACACGUUAGCAUGUAUUUAAGGUAAAAAAAAAUAAUAUGUAAAAAUAUUAAUAAUUAAAAUUAAAUAAUUUUGAUAAAAUAAAGCCUAAAAGUAAUAUUGGGAGGUCAAAAUUGGGUAUCAACAGCUGCCCCUUCAUUGUUUAAGAAUGAUGAAAGAAUUUUCAAGCAACGAAAGUUGACAUAGUAGCCAAUUUUGUCCGACCGAGAUGACAGUUUGCUAGGAAGAAAGCAACGAGAGGUGUUUAAAAGAGUGUGGACGAGACUUUGGCUUUAAGUCGCCUACGUAUCUUUGUUUUUACGAGAAUCAGGCCGUGUGUAGUUCUAGAUUCAGGAAUGAAUAAUAUUCCUAAAGAAUAUUAAUAACAAAAGUAGGGGCAUUGAUAAUGGUAUCGUAGAUCGAUGAGACGAUUACAACAACAUAUGGAAAAGUUUGAAAACUUUGAGGUAAGUAAGGUGAUGGAUGAGUUAAAGUGGUGGAUGACUAUAUGGAGUAAUAUUCCAAAAACAGAAACAAAAAUUAUCUCUGUUUGUUAUUCCUUCUUUGUUACUUGUGUCUUUGCAUCACUCAAUAACAAAAAUUAGGUAUGUAAGAAAUAAACAAUUGAUAAACGUAAUGUAAAUGAAGAAAUAAAAAAAGUGUAUCCGUCGUAUCGUGGAAUCGUGUGAUCAGCUACUUGGUUUCUCAUUAUGGGAUCGGCUCUCGGAAUUCUCCAUGCAUUGUGAAACCGUGUGAUCAGCUACUUGGUUUCUCAUCGUGGGAUUAGCUUUUGGGCUUCUCCAUGUAUCGUGAAUUCAUGUGAUCAAUUACUUGGCUUCUCAUUGUGGAAUUAUGUAUCGUUAAUUCAUUGAAUCAGCUAUUAGGCUGCUCAUGAUAAGAUAAUCUUUACCUAUUAGUCUUGCCAUUUUUAGCUCGACUGGAUAAAAUGGUUAGCACGAAUGUACAUAUAUGUAUAAAAGAUUAAACAAUGUAGUAAAAAUAACCAUAACAAAAGGAAAUAAGAAAGCGUAUCUUUUCACAAGAGGGCAACGCUUUGUUCAUAUAGAUUUAAAGAGGUUAUGCUUAAUCCACACCAUAUCCAGUAAAGCAUCAACAUUUUGUAACACCGCGGUGAUUGUGCUUAAAAUGUUCAGUAUUAGAAAAUAGAUUUUUAUUUUUGAGUAAACCGAUCGAUUUCCAGAGGACAAAGCUUAGCCUCAGGAAGAUUCUUGAUGGAGUCGUGCUUAACUCCAUCGAAUUUUCAAAACAAUGCUUAGUUUGGAUGAUUUCUCGAGAGAGGGUAGUGCUUAACCUAUGAUUUCUCGAGAGAGGGUAGUGCUUAACCCAGCUAACUUUCAAAGACAAUGCUUAGCCUUAGUCAAUUUUCUCGAAAAAGGCUAGUGCUUAACCCACUUGACUUUCUAAGGACAGUGCUUAGCCUAGAGAGUUUUAGAUUGAGUGGUGCUUAAAUCCAUCGAAUUUCUAAAACAUUGCUUAGUUCCGAUGAUUUCUUGAGAGCGGGUAGUGUUUAACCCAACUAACUUUCAAGGACAAUGCUUAGCGUAGUGCUUAACCCACUUGACUUUCCAAGGACAGUGCUUAGCCUUAGAGAGUUUUAGAUAGAGUAGUGCUUAACUCCAUCGAAUUUCCAAAACAUUGCUUAGUUCGGAUAAUUUCUCAAGAGCAGGUAGUGUUUAACCCAACUAACUUUCAAGGACAAUGCUUAGCCUCAGUCAGUUUUCUCGAAAGAGAGUAGUGCUUAACCGACUUGAAUUUCCUAGGACAGUGCUUAGCCUUAGAGAGUUUUAGAUAGAGUAGUGCUUAACUCCCUCGAGUUUCUGAAACAAUGCUUAGUUCGGAUGAUUUCUCAAGAGAGGGUAGUGCUUAACCCAACUAACUUUCAAGGACAAUGCUUAGUCUUAAUCAGUUUUCUCGAAAGAGGGUAGUGCUUAACCCACUUGAGCUUCCAAGGACAGUGCUUAGCCUUAGAGAGUUUUAGAUAGAGUAGUUCUUAAUAACAUCGAGUUUUCGUUACAAUGCUUAGUUCGAAUGUGUAACACCCCGUAUUCAAGUACGUGUAUUGGUGUAUUCAAGUACGUGUAUUGGUCUUAUUUAUAUGGAAUUAAUUUUUUUAUUUUAUUUAUACCGGAAUUUGCCCGUCGAUGGUUUCAUGCGAAGGUUAUUGAAUAACCUUUCCAACGAUAUAAAGAUUUUCAAAAAUGGAUAGGUUUUGGAUAUAAUCGAGCACAUUCAAAACUAUAAAACGGUGGCCAGAAUAUUUGGGAAUAGUAAAUGUGCAGGAAAAUUUCCUGCACACAAACUACUGAGGUCAGCCGAAUUUUUGGGUCAACUUUGAAUGAUCAUAAAUCCCUUAAUAUAAUGAAUUGGGAGAUCUGUGACCUAUGAAAAGGAAGAUCUUGAGUCUUAUUUCCAAUGCAAUUGGUUUCAUCCAAAUUCAACGUCUGAGUAAGGAGUUAUACUCGUUUUACUUCAGCCUAUCAAAACAGAUUUUUAGGGUCAACUUCAAACGACCAUAACUCCUUGUACAGGACGAACUGGGUGGCCUACCUUAUAUGAAAUGAAAGCCCUUUAAAUUAUCCUUCCAACGAUACUAAUUUCAACCAAAUCCGAUAUCGGAGCAAAUAGUUAUGGUCUAUCUACUUUAGCUUACCAAAACAGUCCACCAAAGAACAGAUUUGACAUUAUUUAAAUUUUAAAGGCAUUUUGGUCAUUUUCUAUUAUAUUAUGGAUGGGAAUAUAUGUAUAUGAGUUCAAACACUCAUUUUCAUCAUCAAUCAUUGAGAAAGAACAAACCCUAGCCAAAUUUGACCUUUAAAUUACUUUAGAUUCAACCGUAGAAAUUCUAAAGUAAUCCGAUAACUGCGUUUGUCAUCUCGAGAGCUUCGAAUGGCACCUAUUAUUUGUGCAAANNNNNNNNNNNNNNNNNNNNNNNNNNNNNNNNNNNNNNNNNNNNNNNNNNNNNNNNNNNNNNNNNNNNNNNNNNNNNNNNNNNNNNNNNNNNNNNNNNNNNNNNNNNNNNNNNNNNNNNNNNNNNNNNNNNNNNNNNNNNNNNNNNNNNNNNNNNNNNNNNNNNNNNNNNNNNNNNNNNNNNNNNNNNNNNNNNNNNNNNNNNNNNNNNNNNNNNNNNNNNNNNNNNNNNNNNNNNNNNNNNNNNNNNNNNNNNNNNNNNNNNNNNNNNNNNNNNNNNNNNNNNNNNNNNNNNNNNNNNNNNNNNNNNNNNNNNNNNNNNNNNNNNNNNNNNNNNNNNNNNNNNNNNNNNNNNNNNNNNNNNNNNNNNNNNNNNNNNNNNNNNNNNNNNNNNNNNNNNNNNNNNNNNNNNNNNNNNNNNNNNNNNNNNNNNNNNNNNNNNNNNNNNNNNNNNNNNNNNNNNNNNNNNNNNNNNNNNNNNNNNNNNNNNNNNNNNNNNNNNNNNNNNNNNNNNNNNNNNNNNNNNNNNNNNNNNNNNNNNNNNNNNNNNNNNNNNNNNNNNNNNNNNNNNNNNNNNNNNNNNNNNNNNNNNNNNNNNNNNNNNNNNNNNNNNNNNNNNNNNNNNNNNNNNNNNNNNNNNNNNNNNNNNNNNNNNNNNNNNNNNNNNNNNNNNNNNNNNNNNNNNNNNNNNNNNNNNNNNNNNNNNNNNNNNNNNNNNNNNNNNNNNNNNNNNNNNNNNNNNNNNNNNNNNNNNNNNNNNNNNNNNNNNNNNNNNNNNNNNNNNNNNNNNNNNNNNNNNNNNNNNNNNNNNNNNNNNNNNNNNNNNNNNNNNNNNNNNNNNNNNNNNNNNNNNNNNNNNNNNNNNNNNNNNNNNNNNNNNNNNNNNNNNNNNNNNNNNNNNNNNNNNNNNNNNNNNNNNNNNNNNNNNNNNNNNNNNNNNNNNNNNNNNNNNNNNNNNNNNNNNNNNNNNNNNNNNNNNNNNNNNNNNNNNNNNNNNNNNNNNNNNNNNNNNNNNNNNNNNNNNNNNNNNNNNNNNNNNNNNNNNNNNNNNNNNNNNNNNNNNNNNNNNNNNNNNNNNNNNNNNNNNNNNNNNNNNNNNNNNNNNNNNNNNNNNNNNNNNNNNNNNNNNNNNNNNNNNNNNNNNNNNNNNNNNNNNNNNNNNNNNNNNNNNNNNNNNNNNNNNNNNNNNNNNNNNNNNNNNNNNNNNNNNNNNNNNNNNNNNNNNNNNNNNNNNNNNNNNNNNNNNNNNNNNNNNNNNNNNNNNNNNNNNNNNNNNNNNNNNNNNNNNNNNNNNNNNNNNNNNNNNNNNNNNNNNNNNNNNNNNNNNNNNNNNNNNNNNNNNNNNNNNNNNNNNNNNNNNNNNNNNNNNNNNNNNNNNNNNNNNNNNNNNNNNNNNNNNNNNNNNNNNNNNNNNNNNNNNNNNNNNNNNNNNNNNNNNNNNNNNNNNNNNNNNNNNNNNNNNNNNNNNNNNNNNNNNNNCCCCACGGGGGACCUGCAUUUCAUGCUGCAGGCACAGGUACCUCAGCUCAUACACCGCACAAGUAGGAGCCAGGAUAUCCAGCUGCUUUUGGUGAGCUCCAGUUUGCUUCGGGGCUUUCCGUGUCAUAUCCAGUCACUUUUGGUAUUGUAUAGAAGUUAGUUAUAUGGCGGGGGGUGUCCCGACCUUAGUUAAACUCUAUGUAUUGUCUAGAGGCUUUGUAGACCUAAUGUACAGUCAAAGUGGUGUUUUGUUAAUAGAUGUGAUGGCUUAAAUGACCAAGUAUUGUAUAUACAUAUAUAUAUGUGUGCUCGAGCUUAUAUAGGUGAUUAUUUCCUUUUAUAUGCGACAUGAUGCUGUCCGAAUUUUGGGUUGUCAUAGAGCUAUGCAUGGUAAGUAUAAGGUUAUGAGCUGAUUCUCCCGGGCCUCCUCGGUUACGGGUGCCAGUCCGCCCCAAUAGGAUUUGAGGUGUGAUAGGAUGAUUUAUCGAGAGUGGGUAUUGCUUAACCCAACUAACUUUCAAGGACAAUGCUUAGCCUUAGUCAGUUUUCUCGAAAGAGGGUAGUGCUUAACCCACUUAAUUUUCCAAGGAUAGUUCUUAGCCUUAGAAAGUUUUAGAUAGAGUAGUGCUUAACUCCAUUGAGUUUCUGAAAUAAUGUUUAGUCUGGAUGAUUUAUCGAGACUGGGUAGUGCUUAACCCAACUAACUUUCAAGGACAAUGCUUAGCCUUAGUUAGUUUCUAAAAAAAAGACAGUUUUUAACCCACUCAGAAUGCAAAACGAUAAUACUUAACCUUAUGUAUUCUGAUGGUGUAUAGCAUACUUAAGAUUUUUACUCAUCAUUUUAUUCCUGCACUCAAAGAAAAACUGUUAGUUUUUUUAAAAAAGGGAAAGAUUGAUUCGUGUCUCUGUCGGCUCCUUUGUUCAGGUCCCCAAUUCAUUGUAUUUAUAUCACUUUCUUGAGAUUUCAUCCUUUAUGAAAUUUUUGAGGAUUCCUCAAAAAUUUCUGGCCCAGUUCAUGGCCUCAAUCUUGCUAGCCUUGAAUUUGUUGAAAUGCUUCUUGAUAGAAUUUUUGAGACCCUCUCAAAAAUUCUUCCCCAGUUACAUGUCCUAUUCGUCUUGAACUUGUAGGAUCAUAGAAUUUUUAAAAUCCUGUCAAAAAAUUUUCUCCAGUUACGUGCUUCAGGAAAAUAUAAAAAUUUUAUUAUGAUAAGACCGAAAUCCACAGGAGCGCCUACGUAUCCCUCUUAAACGGGAAUCUGGUCGAACAUAGUUCAAAUUACAUAAGAGAAAUUCAUAUUUUCCAAGCAUAUGUAAAGGUUAUAGUAACUUAAUUUCUUGAGAGACUAGAAUGAAUAACGUGAUGCCUCUUUCUUAACGUUAGAUAGAUGCCAAUGCUUAAUCAACAUCAAGAUAUGGCCCCAUCACAUUUAUCACCUUGGUAUCAAUCAAUGCUUGAAUUUUGUCCUUUAAAGCAUGACAUUCCUCUGUGGCAUGGCCUGUCAUCCCUGAAUGGUAAGCAUAGAUUUUGGAAUGAUCAAUCCAUUUCGCAUAUGGAUUCAUUAUAAUUGCAGGAAUUGGAGUAAUGUAGCCAUCAACCCUUAAUCUCUUAUAAAGAUAGUCUACAGGUUUGGUCAAAGGAGUGUACUGUCUUGACUGAUUUUUCUGACGCUUAGCUCAAGUUUUGAUGAAUUGAUUGGGUCGUAGAGCUAUUGGUGAAUUUGGAUAAGCUAAUGGUUGUUGGAAGGUAGUUGGAGGUAUUUGGAAGUGGGGAGGUUGUUGAAAUGGAUUUGAAGGUGCUUGAUAUAUGGGUGUUUGGUAUUGAAGUGGGGGAUAUGGUGUUUGGUAACUUGGAAGGGUUUUGGGAUCUUGCAUAGUCAAGACAACAUUUACUUCCUUCAUAUUGUUAUUCUCAUCAUCUUGUGAAGUCUUUAUCUCUUAUAGUGCCUCUAAAUCUGUUAUCAUGCCAUUUUUAAUUCCUUCUUCAAUUCUCUUGCCCAAUUUGACGAUGUCAACAAGCUUUUGAUCCUCUACAAGAAUCAUCCUUCCAUAAUAUUGUGGCUCUUGGGCGCAAAUGAAGAAUUCCUUCAUUUCAUUUUCAUCUAAAGAAGGGCGCACUUUAAAAGCUUCACGUAUCCAUCUCAUUCCAUAUUCUUGAAACGAUUCUGUAGGUUUCUUUUUUUAACUUCUGAAUAUAGAACCAAUCAUGCGCAUUCUCAACAUUGAACCCAAAUCUUUCUACGAAAUCAGAGGCCAUAUCGAUCCAUUUUGACCAUUUUAUUGCAUCUUUUGUGACAUACCAUGAUAAGGCAUCUCCAGUAAAGCUCCUCAUGAAUAAUUUAAUAAGAAUUUUCUUGUUUUUACCGACUCCUGCCAACUUUUCACAGUAUAAUUUCAAAUGGACUUUCGGAUCUCUAGUCCCAUUGUACAAUUCAAAUCUAGGAGGUUUGUAUCCCUCCGGCAGUUCAACAUCAGGGUAUAUGCACAAAUCUUCAUAACUUAGCCCAUUUAACCCCUUAUUACCUUCAAGUUGUUCCAAUCUUUCAACCACGAAUUACAUAAGGGCGACGUUUGUCGGAGGUUUGGAUUUAUAUUGAUGGUGGGUAAAUGGGAUCGUUUUGACAUAACUUGGGUCUAAAGUAUGGAUGAUUUGAUGAGGAAUAUUUUUGGCAAACGUUGGUGGUGUAUUAUGGGCAUAUGAUAUUGUUUGAUAAUUUAAUAGAGCUGGAUAUACAUGAAAUUGUGGUGGACAAGAAUGUAGAUGUGAGUUAUGUUUAGGUAGCGUGUAUAUGUGGCUUGAAUUAUUUGGGGAUGGUGAAAUAGAAAGUGGUGGUAAGAGGUGGCUUGUGAAUGUGGCAUUAGAUUUAACAACAGUGUUACCCCCAAUUUGUGGUUUGAGAGGAGCAUUCAAAGCAAGGGGUAAAUUAGACAAGUUACGGGCUUAUGACAAUUCUCCUUGUAGUUGAAGAAUUAUUUGUUCCAUUUGUACGAUCAUCUCACCAUGCUCAUUUCUAGUAUCGUUGUUAUCACCCAUUUCUUUGUCUUGAUGACUGAGUCUUAAGAGAAGGAGACCGAGCCCUUUUUCAGUUGGUGUAAUGGGCAAGAGAAUGCACGAAUCAAUCCUUUGGGUAUGGGAGAAAAUAAAUAAUGAAAAAAUAAAAAGAGUCAAGUUAGUAAGGUAUAGGUGACAUAUAGGAAAAGAAUAAACCUGUUAUUUUGUAACAAAUAAAACAUUUCGUAAUGGACAGGCCCUUAUGUUCCUGUACCACUCAAAGAAAACGUUAGUUCAAGAGAAAUGGUUGUCCUAUAUUUGAAUAUCGUAGCUGUAAUCUGCCCUUAAUAUGCUCAGGAAUUGGGCUUAUUAGCCCGACAUUUUGGCAGUGUAAUUGAAAAUAAGAGAAAGAAAAUGUAUUUUUUAAAGAUUAAGACCGGACCCAAAGUGGGCUGCCUAUGUAUCCAAAUGGAGGUCAGCUUGAACGUAGUUCAUGAGGGUAGGGUAAGGAUAAAGAGGCCUAAAUGUUUGUCUUGGGGGAUGAGAAGGAGGGCUAGAGUUUUUUCGGAUAUUGAGGGAGGGGUAGCUGAUGACGAGUUCUUUCGAUUGACAAUUCAGUCCACAAUAGCUGAUGAUUAAGUUCACAAAAUCAUCAUAUGAAACAUCACUUUGGACUAUCAUAGCUAUUGUCUCUAGCAUUUCGCCCUCCUUCUAACACCAUAUAUAUCGAUUGCUCUUCUCGAUCCAUUGACCAUGACAAUCCACCCCUAUUGUUAUUGAUCCCUCCAUUAGUGGUACCUAAAUAAAGUCAUUUGUUAAAAAUAGUUAAUAGUGAUUCCAUAGUGUCGUAAAUGAAUCCUAACAGAUAUGUAAUCUAUUCCAACAGGUAAGUGAUCAAUCACAAUAGAUUACUUACCUGUUGGGAUUCAAGUUACGCUCCUGAAGCUGAUUUCAACAAACGAGUCAUCUGUUGUAACAGGUGAAUGAAUCAUAUGUUGCAACAGACUAUAUAUCUGUUGUAACAGAUAAAGCACCUGUUGGGAUAGAUGUUAUGAUACUAAGGCACCUUUGAAGCUGAUUCUAACAAAUGAGUGACGUGUUGCAAUAGAUAAUUAACCUAUUGCGACAGAUAACUUACAAAUUGCAACAGACAACGAUCUGUUGGAAUUGAAGUUAGGUUCUAUCGCAAUAGGUUACUAAUAUAUUACAACAGAUAUUUAUCGUCUAUUAGAAUCGAGUUCAGUUUUUGUUACGACAGGUUAAUAAUCUAUUGUAACAGAUAUUUACCCUGUUGCAACAGACAACACGUCUGUUGGAAUCGAGUUUAGGUUAUAUUGCAAUAGGUUACUAAUCUAUUACAACAUAUAUUUAUCAUGUUAUACCAGAUAACUAAUUUGUUGCAAUAGAUGGGUCAUAUGUUGCAACAAAUAACCCAUCUAUUCGAUUCAUGUUACGACACUAUAGAACCAUAAACACGAAUCCAACAUAUGAGUCUUCCGUUGAAACAAAUCUGUUUAAACAGAUGGAUCUUAUGUUCAUUCAUGCUCGCGUGCUAUCUAUUAUUGAAAAACAGCACAAUAGCAGUUACUCAGAUGACAAAUUCAACUAAAAAUCAUAAUUUGACUUACCAAAGUCUCCUAUGAAGUAAUGCCAAAGUGGAAAGUGAUGUACGAAAUAAAAUUUGACCUAAGAAAUUGGUCAAAUAACAACAGUAGCGGUAACAACAUAAACAACAACAACACUGGUCAACGAGAAGAAGAUGAAGAUGAUAAUGAAGUAGAAGAUGAUGAUAAUGAAGCAGAAGAUGAUGAAUAAAGCAGCAGCAACAAUGAACAACAAAAAUCGCUAAGAGAGAGAAAACAACAAUGGAUGAGAAGAGAAAGAGACAUUUUUUUUUCCUCUGUUUCUCGUUAUAUUAGGUAAACAUUUGGAUCAAAGUGUAAAUUUAAAAACUUCUGGGCUAUCUCAAACUUACACAACUUUCUUAAUCCAUUAUAAAGUAAUUGCCACCUCCACUCAAUUAUUAAGACUUGUGUCACCUACACCUCGUUUUAAAACUCUUUUGUCACCUACAGCCCAAAACCCCAUAUUUCUAAGCCUUCUUCAUAUACAUACGUAUAUAUGAAAAAAAUUUAAGAUGUCUAAUAUAGUUUAGAUUUCUUUCCUUUUUUCUAUGUAAUUUUUUUUAUUGAUAUAUUUGGAAUAUAAAUAUUACAAAUAUCAUAUAUAGUGCAAUAUCAUAUUAACAAUUAUAACAUUCUUGUGUUUUAUAUUAUUAUAAUUAAUUAUCUUAUUUUAUUUAUUCAUAACUUCAGCUUACUUUGCUUCAUUUUCAUAACUUUUAAAAAUAUUUAUUUGAUGUGUAAAAGAAUGCCGUCAUAAGCGAAUGUAACACUAAAGGCACAAGAUAGAAAUUAUAAUCAACAUGUGCAUAGAAGAUCAAGUACUCCUACAAAAGAUAGAGGUUAAAACAAAAAAUAAUAUUUUCAACUUAAUCCUUAGAUUAUGGUUUUAAAAUAUGACCUCUUAUUCCAUUUACUUCAUCACUCAUACAUCCUAAAUUAUUUAUUCUGCUAUGUAUAUAUAAAAAAGUAGGUACUUAAAAACGAGCAAAGGAUUUUAAUUUUAUUGUUGAAAAAAAAAAUACUAUUAUGUCUCAAAUUAAGAUCAAUAAAGAUCUAAAAUGUCUUGACUGGAAUAUUAAUGUUAUAUACUACUUCAUUACAAAAUAGUGAAAUGUAUUCAUUUACUAAAUUUUUUAUAGUCACACGAAGCACGGUUAAUUUCACUAGUUUGAGAUGAAGGGAGUAUAAUAUUGAGACUGUUUAGUAGAAUUUCUCUCUUUGCUGCUUUACUUUGCAUGUUAUAGCUUAGUGGGUUAGCCUUAGUGUUAAUUAGUAACUCGUUAGGUGCCUUGUCGUGGCCUAGACCCAUAUUUGAGUCUUGAAGAAAAUUCUAACAACAGUAGAAAUGCUUAUGUUUUAUUUUUCUGAAGGCAGAAAAAAAUAAAAUUAAAUAAAUGAAUUAUUCAUUCAAAUUUUAGUUUGAAAUUUAUGUGUUAAUCAACCUAUUUUUCUUUUUAUUAAUCCUAAAACUGGGAUAGAAUUAAGGAGGUUUACAUAUAGAUAUAUGAAUGACCUGUUUGUGUAAAAAAUUCUUUAUAUUGACUGUGUAUAUAACUUAAAAUCUAAAUGUAAUUAGGCAACAAGAAUCAGUCAAAUUAACUUCCUCUCUUCUACUACGCUCUGCAACCUAACCACCCUCCAAAAAUAGCAUACUGUCUUUUUCUGGAAAUCAAUGAACACAUCUAGAACUCAUAUCAAUCAAUGAACACAUCCAGCACUCAUAUCAAUAAGGUUCUUAUCCGUACAAAAGAAAAUUAAAGAAACAAAGGGAAAGUAAAUGUGUAGUAGGGCAGUAAACCAAUACUCUCUUUUAUCUUAAUUUAUAUGGUACAAUUAACGUUUUGGAGUUCAAACUUGUAAACUUUGAUCACGAGUUCAGACAUAGAAACUUUAGGUUUUUGAAAGAAAAUCAUAUUUUUGAAAUUACACAAAAGAAUUAUUAUAAACCACAACAGUUAACAACUUGUAAAAUUUAAAAGGAAUAUAAAGAAAUUUCAAUAAAAGAAAAACUUGUUUGACUCAUAAAAUUCUAACCGUGUCACAUAAAUUGGGUCAGAGGAUGUAGUAGCUUAAUAAUUACUAAGGGGGUUGGGUGGGGUUCUUAGGCCAUGCAUGAACUAAACUCACACCAUCUGUUCUAUAUAUAUAUAUCUGAUUAUUGUUCUCAAUUUUGUUCCCAAAAUUAGCACUUGGCUUUUAGUCAUGGAGAGAGUAAAAAUAUUUGAAUUCAUCUUUGUUGCCACUUUCUUGGUAAUGAGUAGUAGUUGUGUUUUGGGAUACAAUGUUCCUUCAAUUUUCAUAUUUGGAGAUUCUAUACUUGAUUCUGGUAGCAAUCACUACAAAAAGAAUCGCUCAGUACAAGCUGAUUUUCCACCAUAUGGUUCCAAUUUUUUUCACCAUCCAACUGGUAGAUUCACAAAUGGUCGAACCGUUACAGACUUCAUUUGUGAGUUCUUAUUACUCCUCGGAAAUAGAAUUUCCUUUGAUAGGAAGCACUUUUAUUUAUCCCGCUCUAAAAGAAAAAAAAAAGAAAUAUAAUGAUAUAUGUAGUUCGUUUAUCCCAUCUUAUAUAUUCAUAAUAUAAAUUUUUUUAUGCUAUCAUGUCAUUUGAAAUAUUAGUAUAAAUAACUAAUAAUAAAUUUGGGAUAUUGCUUAUUCAAGAGUAUUUGGAUCCCCUUAAUAUGAGGGAAGCAUAUAUUGUUGUGGUAAAGGAGAUUCAAAAGUUAUUUUAGGAUGUAGGUUCAAAUUUUAUGUGAAAUAUUCCUUACACAUUUCUUGAAUUUCCUUGCUAAAAUUUUUCAGUUCACCACUUGUCCAUAACAUGUGAAACUAUUAUACUGAAGAUUUAAACAAGCAACUUUUUAUAAAAUGUUAAAAUGCAUUUUAUAGGGGAUAUAAAAGUAUCAUUUUACCGUCGGUGGAUAUAAGGUGAAUUUUUUUCUUGUAACUCCAAAAUUAGCUAUUCAAGAUGUGGUUAUAGUACUUUAUUUAGUUUUCAAAAUAAUUUGAUUAAGCAAUAUUUAAGUUCACAUUGAAAAUUAGAUGUCUUAAUCCAAACAUGAAAAAUUAUGUAUUCUUUUUAUCUCAAUUUAUGAGAUACUUUUCGUUUUUCAGGAGUUUAAGUUUGACUGUAAAUUUGAAUAUAAAAGCUUCUAAGUUUUUUCAAAUAAAAUUUAUAUAUUUAGAAAUUAAAUAAAUAGUAUUAUAAGUUACAAUUAGGGGUGUUCAUAAUUUGAUUUAGAUUGAUUUUGGAGUAAAGACACCCAAAGUCAGACUUUUAAUUAUUAAAAUCAAAUCAAACUAAACCAAAUAUAAUUCAUAUCCAUCAAUUUUGUUAUUGUCGGUUUGAUUUGGUUCUUUUUAUGAAUGAGCUUAAGGUAUAAAUCUCAUAAUUUUCUCAUGAGUAAAUCUCAUAAUUGUUUCUUAAAAGAACCAAAUCAAAUAUAUAUAUAUAUAUANNNNNNNNNNNNNNNUAUAUAUAAUUGUGUAUAUAAUUUAUUGGUUUCAGUUUAUUUUUAAUAAAACCAAACCAAACCAAACCAAUUAUUGUUAGUUUUGAAAACUUAAAUUCAAAUCAAACCAAAAUCAAUUUUUUAUUUAAUCAGUUUGGUUCAUCUUUUUGAUUCGGAUUGAUUUCUAACUAAACCAUAAAUACCCUUAGUCACAAUAAUUGAGUUCAAAACAUUUAAAAGAUAUUUAAAAAAAUUAUGAUAAAAAAAUAGUCUUAUUUGAAUUUCGAAAUUCGAAAAAUACUUUAUAAAUUGAGAUGGAAAAAGUAAUUCUUUUUGAGAUGGGGUAAUAUUUGUCAUAUGGAUUUUUUAUUAGUUAUUUUUGGUUUGAUGAAAAAUUAUUGCAUGCAGCUGAAUUUAUUGGGAUUCCCCUACAAAAGCCAUACCUUCAUGAGUUAGUAAAUGGAAAUUGGAAGGAGUAUUCAUCGAAAGGCAUCAACUUUGCUAGUGGUGGUAGUGGAGUUCUACGAACAACUAAUCAGCAUUUGGUAAGAAAUUUUACAAGGACUUAGCUUGUUGAUAUGCUUGUAUUAACAUCUUUUAAUUUACUAUGGUUAGCACAGAAAUAUGCACGUUACUGACAAAGAAUGCUAAAAUUUUUACCGUCAUUAGUUAAUUGUCAUUGAAUUCAGUGUUGUUAUAGGCUUUAGGGACAUUUACAAAGAGCAUAAAAUAUAUUUAUCAUUAAUAAUUACAUCUAAAAAGAUAACUUAGCGACAAUUAAGCUAUUGCAGUUAACUAAUUCUCACUAAAUUUUUUUUUGAUGUAGUGAUAUCACUCUUAUUUUUCUCCUCCUUUCUUCUAAUGAGCCUGAAUCCUAAUUAAAUGGGGCUUACCAUACAAAAAAAUAAAGUAUGUAUGAUAUAUUGAUGUCAGAAAGAAAUAUUGAACUAUCAAUAUAUAAAAGUUAUAUUAACAAUAUCAUUAUAUAUUUAACUUAAAUACUUAGAUAAUUCAAAUAUUUUUAUAUGAUCAUAGUAAUUGACUUGCUAUAUUAGAAGAUUACCUAACUUAUUUUUGCAAGUAUUUACCUGCCUUUUAAAUCAUCUGAUAUCAAUACAUAUAGGAGCUAAACUCAUAGUAUGAAUUAAGGAUUUAUCUAUACACAAUUAAUCAAUAAUGCAUCGGUAGUGUAUAGAUUUUUACACUAUCAAUCCAAUUUACUCAGCUAUAACAUAUGUAUUGUUACUCUAUUUUUCAUGUGAUCGCAUCAGACUUGCUCUACAGAUUUACAUAUGAAUAUUAUCCAAAUAACAUGACCAUGGUGAUAUCAGACUUGCUUUAUUUUUCAUGUUAUCAUAUCAGACUGGACUUUUUUCUUCUUUUGGCCAUAUGAAUUGAUAUUAAUUUUGUGACAUUUGAAACAUAUAGGGAGUGACACCAAUUGAAGAGCAAGUUGAACAAUUCAAAACCUCAGCCCAACAAAACCACAUAAACAACGAACAAGUUCAAGAGUCACUCAUAAUAUUCACAUCAGGCUCCAAUGACAUGUACAUAUACUUCCAACCAUCUGGUGUCCCAAAACUGACCCCCGAUGCAUAUGUUAGGCCAUGCUAGCUCAAGUUACAAACUUUGUUGAUCAAAUUUGCAAGUUAGGGGCUCGCCGGAUCGCCUUGAUUUCAUUAGGCCCAGUUGGCUGUAUCCCAGCCAGGGUCAACUUGCCCGGUGCACCAGUUAACAAAUUUUACGGUAAAAUGAACACUAUGGUCAAAAACUAUAAUGUGGGGUGGGAGAGUUUGGUAAAAGGGAUAGAUACCAAUCAAGUAUCCAGGUUCAUUUGCUGUGUAUGGAGCUAUGUACAAGACUAUUAUGAACUUCAGAGCUAAUCCUAAACGAUAUGGUAAUUUCUUAAACUUCUUUAUUCACAUUUUAUGAUUGAUUUAUUUUCUUUAUGCCCUCAACUUACAUCUAUGGCCUCCAAUUUUGGGUGUGCAUAAGUAAACGAACUUAAACUUGUAUAAAAUUGAACAAGUAGACACAUGUGUUCUAUGAGGCUUCCUACAAUUUGCGUCCUAUGUGUAUUAUAUGCCACAUAGGCGCGCGUGUCUAUUUGUUCAACUUUAUACAAGUUCAAGUGCCUACUGUGCUCAUCCAAAGUUUGAUGGCAUAGAUGCCAGUUGAGACAAAGUUAAAGGGCAGGUUUAUGUUUUACGGUUAUUUUCAACUUUAUUCCAAGUAUAAGGGACAUUUUCUGUUAUUAUCUCUAACUUUGACACUAUCAUGUUAACUUUAUUUAUGAUUUAUGUACAAGUCAAGAUAGAUUCUAAACUAACACAUGAUGAUUUGUUAUCACAUCUAUAGGCUUUUCAGAUGCAACUAAUGCAUGUUGUGGUAAUGGAACACUUGGAGGGGCAUUGCAAUGUGGUAAAGAAGGCUACAAGUUAUGUGCAAACCCCAAUGAGUACUUGUUCUGGGAUUUUUUUCAUCCAUCAGAGCAUGCUUAUAAUCAUGUCUCGAAGAUACUGUGGGCUGGAACCAAUUCUCAAGUCCGACCUGUGAAUCUCAAGACACUGGCCAACAUGACCUUCAUUCAACGUUAAUCAAGGAAUUUAAUUUGCCUUUUGAAAAUCUUAAAAUAGAGAAUAAGGGGUCCUUGUCUUUCAUUUCAAAGUUUAUGUUAUGAUGUUUUAAUCUCUCUAGCUUUAAGGAAGGGUAAGGUCACGUACACUCUAAUUCUCAAAUUUUACUUUGUGAAAUUACACUCUGUGUGUUGUUGUUAAUAUUCUGUAUUCAUAUGCAUAUUUUUUUCUUCUCAUGUUUUUUUUGAGCUUAUUGAACUUAUAUCACAUAUAAAAAAAGCAUAGACAAAUUCAAGAUUUAAACUCUCACUCAACACUGAUACAAUUAAUUGUGUUUAGAAAUAGAGAGUGAAGUCUUGUCUUUCAUUUCAGAAUGUUAUGGUGUUUAUAUGUAUAUUUCUUUAUUUCUCGUUGAAGAAUUUAAUCAAACACACAGUUUGCAGAAUUAUUGAAUUUAUUUCACUAGUCAGAAAAUGUAAUCACAUACAAAGACGAACUACACGAUAUAACAUAAUAGUCUAAAAUCGGAGCUUGUUAUAAAGUUGUUCCAAUACAUCGAGUAGAAGAAUCUUCACAAGAAUUUUCAAUGAACUUGACAGAAGGAAGAAGAAAACUUUUUCUUGUUUGCAUUUGUUUUUCAGGGAGGGAGAAAAGUUAGUUGUUUCUCUUCAAAGAACUCUUUUAUAAAUUCAAAGGGACACAAGUUUUUAGAUAGUUGUGUUUCUUUUUCUUUUUUCUAAUUAAAAUAUUCAACUAAUUAUUGCUCCCUUCGUUUCAAAAUGAAUGACCUACUUUCCUUUUGGGUUCGUUUAAAAAAGAAUGAUCCCUUUUCUUUUGAGAUAAUGCAUCAAAAUCACCCUAAACUUGUCACUCCAACUUACUUUAGCACUUAAACUUAAUAUGUAUUUAUUUACCCCCGUAAUAUCUUUAAAGUGCAUCAAAUUCACCUCUUAUGCUAACGUGAUAUUUAAAAAAAAAAAACACGUGAAAUUAAUCGAAUUUAUAAGGAGAGUUGGAUUUUUAGUCACUAAUUUAUGAUAUUUUUUUGAUGGAUAGAGAAAUUGAUGAUGAUGGAUGUAUAUAUAUAUAUUAUGUGGCGGUGGUGCGGUGGUGUGGUUGGUGGAGGACGGUGGGGGGAGGGGUGGCGGGCUGUAGCAGAUAAGGGGAAAAUGGGGGUGGGUGGGUGUAAGUGGGUUGUUGAUUCCUUGAUCUGCUUUGUGAAGCUGAAUCUGCCAUUGAUGAGCUUGAUAGGUAAACAAACAGGGGAAGCAGAAUUUGGGGCCUUAUGGUGGACAUGCUAGCUUUGACCUUACGCAGGUGCUUGCAAGUAGAUGAUGGAUGCACCUGUCCACAAAAAAUCGAUGGUGGUAUUGAAUUUUUCAAGUGGGUUGAGUUUUCCAGCAAAAAUUCACCAAAAAAUAUGGCAGGUGUAGUUGUGUGGGGGUGGAUGGGGAUGUGUUUAGGUGUGGAAGUGUAGGGGUGGACGGGGAUGCUACCUAUCUACCUACCUAUCUAUCUAUCUAUCUAUCUAUCUAUCUAUCCCUCCGUCCGUUCAUCCAUCCUUCCAUCCGUCCAUCCAUUUGUCCAUCAGUCUGUCCAUCCAUCCAUCCAUCCAUCCAUCCGUCCAUCCCUCCAUCCAUCAAUCCAUCCAUCCAUCUAUAUAUAUCUAUCUAUCUAUUUAUCUAUCUAUCUAUCUGUCUAUUUAUCUAUAUAUAUAUAUAUAUAUAUAUAUAUAUAGCGAGUGUGAUGCACUCUCCGUAAUGAGAGUGUUGUUGUAUUUUUAAGGUGGUAUAUAAUCACUUCAAAAAGAUUUAGGGGGGUAAAUAAUUAUCCGUAAAGUUUAAGUUCUAAAGUAAGUUUUCAGGACAAGUUCAGGGGGCUUUUUGAUAUAUUAUCUCUUUUCUUUUUUUGGUAACACUUUAAUUACAGCUUUCCACAUGGCAUGUUUAAAACCACAAGAUUAACGGACAUUUUGGUACAUUUGAUACAACUUUAAUUUAAGGCCACAAGAUUCAAAAGUUUUAUUUAGUUUCUUAAACUUUGUGCCAAAUCAAAGUAGGUCAUUCUUUUUGAAACGGGGGAGUAUUUUUUAUCUCUUAAUAUGGAUCUAUGUUGAUCCACAUGGGUGAUUUGAUCCAAUUUUCUUCAUCUCUAACUCACCAUAGUAGGUCAACUCUCAUUCCUAUUCUGUAGCAUUCAUUGAUUAGACCGUUUGACCAGUGAAUACUUCGAGAGCUUUGUUGUUAUACAUCUGUUAGGAAUAUACAACAUCUCUAUCAAUGAAACUUAGAGAAUAUUAGAGUAUGCAGUGCCCUAGAUCAUUUAUCACAUUCACAUUUCUCAUAAUCUCUUUUUCUUAAUUUUGAACUUGUCGCACUAACAAGCAUAAAUGACCGAUCAAUGAACACAAUUAAUGUGAUAAUUCUUAAUGAUCUUCCGCAUCUCAAAAAUCUCUUAAUCUUCCUUCAAACCAAAUCAAUCAUGAUGUCUUAGCAAUAUACUAAGAUAGCAAAAACAAAUUGAAUUUUAAGAAACUGAUUAAAGUCAUGAGGAUAUAAUGUGAAAAAUUACAUAUAAUUUUCAGAGUUUCACACAAUAACAAGUAGAGACUAAAGUUGUAUCGCCCUUAUGGAUCACUAGAUGCAUAUAUGAUAUGAAACAUGUAUCACAGUAUUGGCUCUUUUUUCAUCGAGCAUAUGUCUUUUAUUAAUUAAAUAUUGUGCAGAUAAUAGUUCAGACAACUCAUGUCUAACUUUGAGUUCACAAAUCUACUCAAUCAUUUUAUUCUCCAGAACUCACAUCCGACAUUAAAAAUAGACUAACUCAUUUUAAUCACAUAUAAUUAAAUGCAACCUAAAAACGAUAUUUUGAUUAUAAACUUUUAACUUUCUUUUAUCAUCACUUCUGAUAAUAAUAAGUUUAUAACUGUCUCAUCGCAACUGCUUUUCACUUAGACAAUAAAGGUGAUUGUCGUGAAUAGUUCAAUUUUUUUAUCUGUUUAAUAUACUUUUUAUUCUUAAAAAUUUAUGUACAUCACAUAAAAAUAAUAUAUGUAUAUGAACCAAUAAGAAUGAAUUUACAUGAACAUGAUAUGAAAAAAAAAUAUAAAUACAUCAACAUCUAUGUAAAUUUAACGAUCUUACAUGUAUUUCAUAGGCAUCACAUGAUAUGAAUUUUGUUAAUGGAUUUACUAUCAUGUGAUGCGUAGAUAUGUAUUUCACGUUCACUUUCUUUUUUACAAUUAUAUCUCUUGCAAAAUUAUACUUUAUGUAAAUAUGUUUUGUCUUGCCAUGAUAUUCAGAAUUCUUUGUGUAAGCUAUUGCAAUCUGACUAUCACAACAUAUUAUGACAUGUUAGACAACAUCCCUUACACAUCCAAGUAGAUCAAAAAAAUGUUUAAGUCAAAUAACUUAUUGUACAACAGAUAAAAGUACUACAAAUUCAAUUUUCAUUAUAGAUAAGGCUAUGCAAGAUUGCUUCUUUGUACUCCAUGAUAUGACCAUUGUUAAGCAAGAAUACAUAUUCAGAGGUAAAUUUUCUCUCCGUUAAAUCUCCUCCCUUAUCAACUAUAUAAUCUUGAAGUUGUAGAUCAUUUCUUUGAUAAUAUAAGAAAUAAUUGGCCGUGUAUUUAAGAUACCUCAAUAUCCUUAAUUGCUUUUUGAUGUUGUGAUUCUGGAUCGAAUUGAUAUAUACUAACUAACCUAAUGACUUAACAGAUAACAAAUUUAGUACAUAUCAUUACAUACAUAAGACUUCCGACUAAAUUGGCAUACAUAACUUUUCAAAAUUGUCCUUCUCAUGUGGAGUCUAAGGGCACAUUUUUCGAUUUAAAACUUCACUUUUAGAAAUUGGAGUUUUAUGAGUUUGCAAUCUUGCAUAUUAAAGUGAUCAAGACUUUCUUAAUGUAAGGUUCUUAUGAAAGAUAUAAUAAUCUUUUCAAACGAUCUUUUGAAAUCUUAACUCCAAGAAUGUUUGACUCUUAACCCACAUCUUUUAUCUCAAAAGUAGAUGAUAAGCACUCUUUUAUUUCCUUUACAUAGUCUAUGUCAAUUGCAGUUGUAAGUAUAUCAUCUAACUAAAAUGAUAAGAUUACAAAAAUUAUCUUUGAAUCUUUUGAUGCAUACAUAGUGAUCUUCAUGAAUAAUAACCAUACGGUAUUAUGAAAUUAUGGGAAUGUAAGUACCAUCUUCUAGGAGAUUGUUUAAUGACAUAAACCUAUCUACGAAGCUAACAUACUUUAUAUUCUUUGCCCUUCUUAAUGAAACCUAUAGGUAGUUCUAUAUAGAUUUCUUCUUCUAGUUAUUCAUUAAGAAAUGCAGUGUAAGACCCCACAGAAUCCUAUUUGUUUGAGUCCUUUAAAGAAUGCUAAAAGAGGUCCCGGACUUAGAAAUUUUUAGCUAAGUGUUAGGACUUAGUCAUUUCUAAAGCCCUCAAACUUUGAGUAAUUUAUUUAUGACCUUAGAAAGUUAGUUUUCAAGUUGAUUCAUGAUAGGAAAAGUCAAUAGUACAUCUCGAGUGAGUUUUGGAAUUCUUAGACAAGCGUAAGGACAUGUUUGAAACUCCAAAACAGUUACUCAGGGGGAUUAGCCCGCGGCGCCCUAUCCAGUCCGGUGCUGGGGGAGCCCGCGAUGCAGACCGUGGCGCCUGCCCAGAGCAGCACUCCAUAACCCGCGGCUCCCUGGCCAGUCUGAGGUAAUUUCUGCAGUUUUGUUCUGGAUUUUUAAGGGCAAAUGGGUCAUUUUUCCUUUACCCAAUAGCUCCAUAACACGGGAUUAAAUCCCCAACUAGCAUAAUUGCUAAUCCUUUUCAUAAAAUCCUCUCAAGAACAAGCCCUAGCUUCAUUAGUUUCAAGAAUCAAGUCUCAAAAACUCACCACAAACUCUAUGAAAUUAACAAUCAAGGUAUGUUAGGUGUUCAUCCAAGGGUUCCCUUCCACCCUCGGAGUUCAAGAACCUCUUUUAAACUACAAGCUGAUUGCUUUUAUGGAUUUCAUGUUGAAUUUGAUUGUAUUCAUGAUUAUGAUGUUGUUUGGGUUUCUAAUCCAUGUUUUAUGAUAAGAUUAAUGUGAAGUAAUUAACCUAUGUAUAGUCAUGUGGAUUUAUGUUAAAAGUCCCUUGAAAUUGUAAGUUUGGAUUGUAAUCAUGAUCCCUACAUAUUUAUUAUCAUUAUGUGCAUGAACUAUGCUCCCUAAGUGUUUGAUAAAAUAUUCAUGUAGGUUGAAUUUGAAUAGAGAAAUUAAAAAAUAUUAGCAUGUAUACAAGUUUCUACCAUGUAUGUUUGAUAAAAUGCCUUAAUAGAUGAAUUGUGACAAAGUGGCUAGUUACCAUACUUUUAAGAUUGUGCUAUGUUUUACUUUCAAUGCUAUCGAGUCCUGGAGGUAUUCAAUACCCAAAAUCUAGCUAUUUACUUAGAAUUUCAGUAGCUACAAAAUAGUCUCAGUGAUGUCACAUACAGUAGUACUUAGUCCGUUAUAAAGCUCAGUGUAUUCAGUUAGUUAACAGAACUCAGUGAACUCAAUCCAGUUCAUUCAAUUAUCAUGAUCAGUAACAGUUCAGUCAAGCCUAGUAUAGUCUAGAAAUCAAUUUAGUGUUCUUUCAGUUGGGAGUAGGAUUCAGCAUUGAGCGAACCCAGGGAUGGGGGAUUCCUGCUAGUACAGGGUUUGACCCUUAGUAGCAAUCCCUGCAUUAUAGGACUACAUAGCCAGCGUAGGUUAAGAUAUCUUCCUGCCAGAUAAGAGUUGACCAAUCUUGUAUGGGUUUUCCUGCCAGUGAGGGUUAAUAAAAUAUCUUCCUGUCAGAUAGGGUUAACUCAUAGCCGAUGUUAGUAUCCCUUGGCAAGGUGCUAACACCCUUCCAACUGGGGUCACAGGUUGGAUCCCAACUCAGUUUAUAAGUGGGAUAUGUUGGUUAGAUGAACACUCCCACAGUUAUAGUUUUAAUUUUAGUCUCGGUAUAAAAUCUCAGUUCAGUUUCACAAAACCAGGACUGUCAGACAUAGUUACCAACCUCAGUACAGAACUAAGUUUAGUUUCACAGAAUUAGGAUUGUUAAAAAUAGUCACCCAACUAUCAGUAAUUCAGUUACCAGCUAUCUCAAUUAUAGUAAAGUAGAUUUAUAUGCAACAUUGCAUAGUCAAUAUUUACAACAGUUUCAGUUAUAUAUAUGUACUCUCAAUCAGUUAUACUUAUGUUACUCAACCAAUUAUUAUUCAUGCAUAUGAACCCUUGCCUAUCAGCCAACCUCACUUAGCAUACCGAUAUAUUCAAAGUACUGAUGCAUAUCCUUUCUUUUGCUGUAAUUCCCCAUAGAGUCCUCUUCCAGUUUGAACCUUAGAGCGUAUUCAGUAAAGCAGAAAUCUGAGUCUAAAAAUUUCAGAAUUACCUUCUCAAGUAUGAAAUAUUUUUAAUCGUGUGGAAUUUCCCUAAUUUAUACUUUUUGUCAUGUAUAGCAUUGAAUAAUCUUUCCAACAAUACCAAAUUUGCCCAAAUCAGACACUCGGGUGAAGAGUUAGAGCCAUUUUAGUGAAACAGUAUGCCACCUGGCACCUUAGUGCGUCGCGGAGCUAGCCAAAAUGGAAAUUGCCAAAAUCCAGUGAAACUCCAAGAUUCCACCGCAUCGCAGUAUAUUUCCAGUUUGUAAUCCCGGAGGCAAUGUGAUUUCCACCGCGUCGCGCCGUCGUGCAGUUUCCCAAUUGUCCAAAUUCUAGUAAACUGGUGCGAUUAUGGCGCGUUAUGGUGCACUGUGUCAACAAGUAAAAUCAGGAAUUUUUCAGUUUAAUUCCAAGGGCUUUUUGGUCUUUUCCCCUUUUCCCCAGCCUCUAUAAAUACCCGGCAAAGGGACCUCAGCCUCAUUUCUCUUCCACUUCCAAAAAAUUAGGGUUUCCAAAAUCAAAAUCCCCCCUUUUUCUCUUCAAGCAAAAAUCAAGAAAAAUCAAGAAAGAUCUAGAGAAAUCAAGAAAUCUUUCCAAAGGCCUUUAAGAAAAGAGUCUUCCCAAGGUAUGUAGAUGUUGAUUCUUGGGUCCUUUUCAUCCAAGAAGUUCAAGCACCUUUUUAAAAAAAAAAUUUAAAGAUUUUAUGUUUGUGAGAUUCCAUGAUUUGUAUGAGUUGAAAUUGAUGUUAUAUGUGUUGUUGAGUCUCGAUUCAUAUUUGUUUACAAGAUUUAUGGGCUUUGACCCUAGUAUGUGGGAUUUAUAUAAUGUUUGUGAUGAGCCCUCUUGAAGUUUUUUUCUAUGUGAUGUGUUCAUAAUAUUUAGGUGUAGAAAUGGUAGAAUAAGCAGAGCAUGUCCCCCAUAGGUUUAUUGAAAGCUUGGAUGAAGCAUAAGGGCCAUGAUAGUAUGUUGAAUAAGAAACCCCAAAUUGUGAGUUAGUUUAUGCAUGCCUAGUGUUUGAUAAAAUGCCCAAGUGGAUGAAUUAUUCCAUAAUGGUAGAAAAUUCCCAAAUAAGUGUGAACCCAUGCAUGUCUAGUGUUUGUUGAAGGACUUUAGUGAACAAGUGGAGAUGUGAUAGUAGUAAAUUCCCCAAUUAUGUGCUCUUUGAUAUAUGUUAAGCUUUUAAUACAUGCCAAGUGGUUACCAAGUAAGUUGAGACAUGAUAGUAUGAAGUUUUCCCUAAAUCAUGUGAUGUCCAAAUACAUCUCAAGACUGAUUUAGGUGUGGAGUACUUGAGGUAGGACCUUGUUGAAGGAAGUAUAAUCUAGUAGCAUGUUUCCCUACGCUAGUAUAUGUUGAUGGUUCCUAAAUGCUUGACGCGAUGCCUUAAUGAUUGUAAAGGUAAAGGUAUGUUAUGUUUCCUAAUUACUUGAAGAGAUGCUUGAAUGAUAAUGAUGAUGAAUGAAUGACUAUGAUGAUGAAUGAACGAUUGUGAUAAUGAUGAAUGAACGAUUGUGAUGAUGAUGAAUGAAUGGUUAUGAUGAUGGAGGAAUGAUUAUGCUUUAUUUUAUGUUAUCGAGUCAUGAGGGUAUUUAUACUCGAUAAUUUAGCUGCUGUCUAAAGCCCGUGUCAGUUUCACGAUAAUUCCAGUCGAGCCAUGACUCUCAGAACUCAGUGAAUUAUAGAACGCAGUAUCCUCAGACAGUUACAGAACUUAAAAAAUCUCAAUUAUCUCGAUAAUCUCUGUAUUGCUAGUAAUAUAGCCUCAGUCCUAUAAUUAGCUUAGAUCUAAUAGUAUUCAAGUGUUUAGUUAUGACCUCAGAAGUGAUUCAAACAAUCUAUUCAAGCUCUGUAUCAUCAGUCAGAUACCGCGAUUUAAUACCAUUUUCGUCAAAUACAACACUAAGUGAUCUCAGCGUAACUCAGUCAGAUCUUUUGAGAAACAUAAUCAGUAUCAGAUUCAGUUCAGUUGUGUUCAGUUAUGAAUUCAAUCACAGUCUUUCAGUUGGGAGUAGAAACUAGCACCGAGCGAGGGAAAGAAUGACGGCUUCUCCCGUCAGAGAGAGAGAGGCCAGAGUCAUUAGUAGCAAUUCCUGACCUCCAGAACUGCGUAGCCAGCGUAGGAUACAGGCGUCACCAUUAGGAAAAGGUUGUCACCUUCAGAGAGAGAGUAUUUGACUAUUAUAUUGCCUUAGGUUGACUUCCUGAUAAGGGUCAUCCAUCAGAGAGGAUUGACCAGAGAGAGGUCUUUACCUGUGGCACGGGAUUGACACCCUUCCAAUUGGGGUUACAGGUUGGACCCCACCUGUGGUAGGUCAGGGCAUAUCGGUUAAGUAACUAUUUCCCACAGUUUCAGUUUUAAUUUCAGAAUCAGUCUCAGUUUCUGUAUAAAUCUUUAGAAAUUAGGACUGUCAGAUACAGUCAUCUAUCAUUAUGAGGAACUCAGAUAGUUUCAUUAAUUCAUGGACCAUCCCGUCAGAUAAGCUUGGUCUCAUAUAUAGUUAUUUGAUAUCAUAUUCAGAGAUAUGCCACCAGACAGGCUUGAUUCACAGUCUCAGAUUCUAUGAGUGUCCUUGUUGUGAAAUUCAAAUAUAUCAUAUUUCUUAUCAUUGAUAAUAGUUUCUGAAAUCAUCUGUUAGAGAGGUUGACCUCUAAUCCUGUCAGUCGAAAGCAGUAAAGCUCAGAAUUUAGUCCUUGAUGUAAGUGCAUCCAGAUCUUGAGUUAUCAGUAUCAGAUGAGUAGUAAUUCAAUAUCUCAGUGUCAGUAGUGAGUUCAGUCUGUAGUAAGGCAGUACCUGAGUUUUAGUCUCUAGAGUUAUGAUGAUUGUGACUAUGGUCUAUGCAUUUAUGUAUAUGUAUGUGUUCUCGUGCGGCAUUAUAAUGAUUACUCAGUUUAGAUAUUAUGCAUGCAUGAGCCCUUGUAUUUAGCCUUACCCCAUCUACAUACUCAGUACAUUUCUGUACUGACGUAUUUGUGCUAUGGUAUUUUAUUUGGCACCAUAGGUUCAGAGGCACAGGACCCAGAGUUUUCUCAGCAGUUCAGUCCCAGUAAGCAGCAGUAGUCGUAGCAGUGAGUCCUCUUUUUUUGAGAAUGAAUUUCAGUUUACUAUUAUGGCAUCAAACUUUGUUUAUAUUUUCAGUAGACAGAGUUAGUUGGGGACAUAUCCCAUCAACUCUAUAGUUCAGAGAGUUUAGAGGCUUCUCAGAUAGAUGUAUUAGUAUUCUGUUUUCAGUUUUGAGUAUGUAUAGAUGUGUUGAACCUUAUGGCCAGUUUCCAUAUUUAUUUCAGAUAUUAAGCAGUGUACAGGUACAGAUAUCAGAAAAGGGUUAGCUUAUGGUCCUUUGGGGUCAUAAGCACCGUGUGACAUCUAGGGAUGGGAUCUCAGGUCAUUACAUUUGCACUAUGAUGUCUUAUAUCACAGGUUCAGACACACGGGCUCCUGAUCGUACUUAGCAGCCCAGCCUAUCAAUAACAGAUUGAGUGGUGAGUCCUCAUAAUUCGAGGAUAGAGUUAUCAUUUUAGUAUUUUAGUAGUUUAGUAUAAUCAAUAGAUGAAGUUAGUUGGGUACUUGUCCCAUCAACUCCAUAUUCAGACAGUUAGAGUCUUUCAGACGAUUAUUUUAGUCAAUGUUUAGUUUUUAGUAUUUAUUUAUCAGUAUUUGAUUUCAGUUAUGAACCUUAUGGUAGAUUUAGCCUAAUUUCCAUAUUUAUUUUAGUACUAUUAUUCAGUGAUUGCAGUAGGUACCAGUCAUGGGUUAGCUUAUGGUCCUUCUGGAUUAUGAGCAUCGUAUGAUAUCCGAGGUGUAUACUCGGGGCAUUACAAACUUGGUAUUAGAGCCUAAGGUUCAAUAGAGUACUAGGAAGUCUGAAAGCCACAUCUAGUAGAGUCUUGUGCAUGGGUGUGUAGCGUGCCACACUUAUGGAUGAGAGGCUAUGAGGCAUUUUAGGAAAAGUUUCCUUUUUUUAGUAUUCAUAUCGUGUGCGUGAGCAUGAGCUCAAAUUAAAUUCUCUGUCUAAUCCAAUGUUUUUCUCCAUUUACAAAAUAUUCCUCUAAAAAGGACUAAUAGAAGAAGGACUGGAAAUCAGCCAGUACCUCCGCCCAUUCAGGCAGAUCCCCUGGAUGAGCAUGUGUUCCACACAAAAUUCAGAGCAGCUUUUACCACUUUGGCUCAUUCUGUGGUAGCCCAGAAUGCACGCUCGGCUACCGUUCAGGCCAACCUAGUGGCUAAUACUAUUGUAGCUAGAAUUUAGAAAUUCACCCAAAUGAAUCCUUUAUCAUUUACAGGGUCUAAGCCUAAGAAGGACCCGCAAGAAUUCCUUGACAUGGUGCAGAAAGUCAUGGAUAUCAUUGGGGUGACUUUCAAUGAGUGUGAUGAGUUAACUGCAUAUCAAUUACAGGAUGUGUAUCAUACAUGGUUUAAGCAAUGCAAGGCAGAUAGAGGUGCAGAUGUAGGGCCCAUAGAAUGGGAGGAGUUUGCUACUACUUUCCUUGAUAGGUUCUUCCCAUUGGAGUUGAGGGAGGCUAAAGUUUUGGAGUUUAUUAAUCUGAAAUAGGGCAACAUAACAGUGAAAGAGUAUUCUCUCAAGUUUACUCAGCUAUCCAAAUAUGCCCCUCAUGUGGUAGCAGAUAGCAGAUCUAAGAUGAGUAAGUUUGUGUCAGGUGUGUCUAACAGUAUGGUAAAGAAGUGUAGGACUGCAAUGCUAAUUAAGGAGAUGGACAUAUCUAGGCUCAUGGUGCAUGCUCAGCAGAUAGAAAAGGCUAAGAAUAAGGAGAAGGAGAGGGAGAAUAAGAAAGCUAGAAAAAAGUAGCUUCAACUUUACCCAGCCUAAGUAAGAGGGUGGUAAUCGUCCUCAGUUCUACUUGAAAUCUUUAGUUCCAUCUCUGUCCUUAGUCAAUGCUCCAGUACCGAAAUUCAGAUAUGGAAAUAAACAUAGGCACCAGGCUUUAAACCUCAGGGUAGUGUUAGCAGUGCCCGAAUAAAUCUUCUUUGCCAUAAGUGUGAUAAAAACUAUCAUGGUGUCUAUAGAGCUGGCAGUGAUGUAUGUUUUAGAUGUGGAAACCAGUCCAUAGGGUCAUAGAGUGUCCUCGGGUGGGUUCAUAGAGUCAGGAUAACCGUCUCUUAGCUCAGCCUGAUCGCUCGAAUCAGCAGGGUAUCGCUUCCAGUGCCACCAGUGGGCAGUGCAGAAAUAGACUCUAUGUACUUCAGUCCUGGAAGGAUCAGGAAAGUUCUCCUUAUAUGGUCACUGGUGCGUUACAAGUCUAUUAUUUACAUGUUUAUGCUUUGCUAGAUCCAGGAGCUUCUUUGUCCUUCGUAACUCCUUAUAUAGUUGUUGACUUCGGAGUCAGUCCCUAAAUCCUAGCAGAGCCCUUCUCAGUCUCUACCCUAGUGGGUAAAUCUAUCAUAGCCCAAUGGGUAUACAGGAACUAUCUGGUUAUGGUAUCUCAGAAAGUUACUUCAGCAGACUUAGUAAAGUUAGAGAUGACAGAUUUUGACAUCAUUCUCAGUAUGGAUUAGCUUCAUUCAUGCUAUGCUUUAAUUGACUGCAGAAAUAGAAUUGUCUAUUUUUAGUUUUCGAAUAAAGCUGUCCUAGAAUGGAGGGGUAGUACUUCAGUACUUAGGGGUCAACUUGAUUCCUACCUAAGGGCGAGGAAAAUGAUAUUCAAGGGGUGUGUCUACCAUCUUGUUCGAGUUAAGGAUUCUAGUUCUGAGACUCCCAGCCUUAAGUCAGUUUCAGUAGUAUGUGAAUUUCUAGAUGUGUUUCUUGAAGAUCUUCCUGAGGUCUCUAUCGAGUGGGAAAUUGACUUCAGAAUAGACCUUCUUCGAGAUACUCAGCCUAUCUCUAUCCCGCUAUACAGAAUGGAUCCAGUAGAACUUAGGGAAUUAAAUGAACAAUUGAAGGAUCUCUUAGAUAAGGGAUUUAUCAGGACCAGUGUCUCCCCUCGGGGUGCACCAGUUCUUUUUCUGCAAAAGAAAGACGGUUCUCUCAAAAUGUUUAUUGACUACCAUCAGUUAAACAAAGUCAAGGUUAAGAACAAGUAUUCUCUUCCCAAAAUCAAUGACUUGUUUGACUAACUUCAGAGUGCCAGUUACUUUUCUAAGAUAGACCUUAGAUCAGGCUACCAUCAGCUUUGAGUCAGAGAAUGUGACAUCCCGAAAAUAGCUUUUAGAACUCAGUAUGGUCACUUUGAAUUCUUAGUCAUGUCAUUUGGUUUUACCAAUGCCCCAGCAACUUUCAUGGACUUGAUGAACCGUGUGUUUAAGUAGUACUUGGACAUAUUUGUUAUAGUGUUCAUUGAUGACAUUCUUGUCAACUCACUCAGUGAACAUAAUCAUGCAGACCAUCUCAAAAUAGUGUUGCAAACCCUCAAAUCCCAUCAGUUGUUUGCCAAAUUCAGAAAAUACAAAUUUUGGCUAAGGUCAGUAGCUUUCCUUGGUCAUAUAGUUUCUGGUGAUAACAUUAGAGUUGAUCCCUAAAUGACCGAAGCAGUAAGGAACUAGCCUAGACCCAUCUCUCUAUCAGAUAUUAGGAUUUUAUUGGGUUUGCUGGCUAUUACUGAUGGUUUAUUGAGGGAUUUUCGUCUAUUGCAUCCCCAUGUCUAGAUUAACUCAGAAGAAAAUCAAGUUUCAGUGGUCAGACUCUUGUGAGAAGAGUUUUCAGAAGUUGAAGACUCGACUCACUACAGCCCCAAUUUUAAAUUUACCAGGUGGUUCAGAUGGUUUUUGUAAUGCUUUCAGAGCUGGUUUGGGGUGUGUUUUGAUGCAGAGAGGUAAGAUCAUAGCUUAUGCCUCUAGACAGCUUAAGCCACAUAAAAAGAAUUAUUCCACUUAUGAUCUUGAGUUAGCAGCUGCUGUGUUUGGCUUAAAGAUUUGGAGGCAUUACUUGUAUAGAGUACAUGUUGAUGUGUUCACAAACCAUAAAAGCCUGCAGUAUGUGUUUUCUCAGAAAGAUAUAAACCUGCAUCAGAGAAGGUGGUUAGGGUUGUUGAAAGAUUAUGAUAUGAGUGUUUUACACCAUCCGAGCAAGGCCAAUGUAGUGGCUGAUGCUCUCAGUAGAUUAUCCAUGGGCAGUGUGGCUCACGUUGAGGAUGGUAAGAAGAAGUUAGUUCAGGAAUUUUAUUAACUUGCCCGAUUAGGUAUUCGGUUAGUUGAUUCAGCAGAGGGUAGUGUCUGGGUGCAGAAUAGUUUAGAACCAUCCCUAGUUUCUGAAGUAAAAGAAAAGCAGUACAGGGAUCCAGGUUAAUUAAACUGAAAGAGUCAGUCAGAGAUCAGAGAGUAGAGGUUUUCUCCUAGGGGAGAGAUGGUGUGUUGUGUUGCCAGGGUCAAUUAUGUAUGCCAUGUAUAGAUAACGUGAGACUGCAGAUUCUUGAAAAAACAUAUGGUGUGUGCUACUCAAUUCACCCAGGGGCCACCAAGAUGUACCGUGACUUGUGGGAAUCUAUUGGUGAAGUGGGAUGAAGGGAGACAUUGCAGAGUUUGUAGCUAAGUGCUCAAUAUGUUAGCAGUUUAAGAUCGAGCAUCAGAAGCCUAGUGGGUCUAUGCAGGAGUUCAGUAUUUCCACUUAGAAGUGGGAGGAAGUGAACAUGGAUUUUAUGAUGGGUCUGUCUCGUGCUCUUCACCAGCAUGAUUUGAUUUGGGUCAUUGUGGAUAGGAUGACCAAAUCAACUCAUUUUUUACCAUUUCAUACCUCUUAUUCAGCCGAGGAUUAUGCCAAGCUCUAUGUUAGAGAGUUGUUCACAUUGCAUAGAGUUCUGUUGUCCAUCACUUCAGAAAGAGAUACGCAGUUCAAAUCUCAUUUUUGUAAAUCAUUCCAAAAGAGUCUUGGUACCCAAGUUCACCUCAACAUAGCUUUCCACCCAUAAACAGAUGGUCAAGCAGAAAGGACUAUUCAGACUCUAGAAGAUAUGUUAAGAACAUACGUUGUUGAUUGUAAAGGUAGUUGGGAUUACCACUUGCCUUUGAUUGAAUUCGCAUAUAAUAACAGCUAUUAUUCUAGCAUUUAGAUGGCCCCAUUUGAGAUGCUUUAUGAAAGGAGAUAUAUAUCUCCCAUUGGUUUGUUUAAAGUGCGUGAGGCUGCAGUGGUAGGGCUUGGCUUGGUAUUUGAUACCUUAUAAAAAGUUUAGUUGAUUAGGGAAAUAUUUAAGACAGCUCAGAGCCGACAGAAAUCAUAUGCAGAUGUGCGAAGAAAAGAUCUAGAGUUUGAGAUUGGUGAUUAUGUGUAUUUGAAAAUCUUGCUUAUGAAAGGAGUGAAGAGGUUUGACCAAAAAGGGAAACUCAGUCUCCAAUAUGUCUGUCCUUAUCAAAUUCUCAGUCAUUUUGAAAAGGUGGUUUACGAGCUUGAGUUGCCUUCAGAUAUAGCUUCGAUGCAUCCAGUGUUUCAUGUCUCUUUGCUAAAGAAAUGUAUAGGUGACCCAGCAGUUGUAGUCCUUAUAGAGGGUAUAGGCGUUUAGAACAGUCUCUCUUAUGAGAAAAUCCUAAUCAAAAUCCUCGAUUAUCAGGUUUGCAUACUGAGGAACAAAGAAGUCCCUCUAGUCAAAGUUCUUUGGCGAAAUUAGUCCGUUGAGGGAGCUACUUGGAAGCAGAAGCAGACAUGAGGACCAAGUAUCCUCACCUCAUCUCCACAAUAGCAGACUUAGCUCAAGGUAACAGUCUUCCUUGGAUUUAUUCAGUUCCAUGUUUAGAAUUUUCUUUACGAGUUUGAUAUCAAUUUAGUUGCAUAACAUCCUCAUAUUAUGCAUACAUUCAUAAAAUAGCUCAGUCAUGUGUCAUUUCUUCAGAAUUAAGUCAUGCUUCAGUUGUGCAUGUUUAGUAUUUAAGCUCAGUCUAUCAGUAUUCUCAGCUUAGUCAGUCUCAUUCGAGGACGAAUGUUCCCAAGGGGGAGAUAUUGUAAGACCCCACAGAAUACUAAUCGUUUGAGUCCUUUAAAGAAUGCCAAAAGAGUUCCCAGACUUUGAAAAUUUCAGCUAAGUGUUAGGACUUAGUCAUUUCUAAAGUCCUCAAAUUUUGAGGAAUUUAUUUACAACCUUUACGAUAUGAGAAAGUUAGUUUUUAAUUUGAUUCAUGAUCAGGGAAGUCAAUAGUACAUAUUAGGUGAAUUUUGAAAUUUUUGGACAAGUGUAAGGGCGUGUUUGAAACUCCAAAACACUGACUCAGGGCGAUUAGCCCGCGGCGCUCUUCCCAGUUCGGUGCUGGGGGGAGCCCGCGAUACAGACCGCGAUACCCAACCCAAAGUAGCGCUCUAGAGCCCACGGUACCUUGCCCAGUCCAGUCCAGGUAAUUUCUGCAGCUUUGUUCCGCAUUUUUAAGGGCAAAGGGGUCAUUUUUCCUCCACCCAAUAGCUCCAUAACAUAAGAUUAAAUCCCCAAAUAACAUAAUUGCUCGUCCUUUUCACAAAAUCCUCUUAAGAACAAGCCCUUGCUUCAUCAAGUUCAAGAAUCAAGUCUCAAGAACUCACCACAAAUUUCAUGAAAUUAACAAUCAAGGUAUGUUAGAUGUUCAUCCAAGGGUUCCCUUCCACCCUCGAAGUUUAAGAACCUCUUUUAAACUACAAGAUAAUUAUUUUUAUGGAUUUCAUGUUGAAUUUGAUUGUAUUCAUGAUUAUGAUGUUGUUUGGGUUUCUAAUCCAUGUUUUAUGACAAGAUUCAUGUGAAGUAAUUAACCUAUGUAUAGUCAUGUGGAUUAUGUUAAAAGUCCCUUGAAAUUGUGAGUUUGGAUUGUAAUCAUGUUCCCUAUGUAUUUAUUAUCAUUAUGUGCAUGAACUAUGCUCCCCAAGUGUUUGAUAAAAUAUUUAUGUGGGUUGAAUUUGACUAAAGAAAUCCUAACAUGUUAGCAUGUAUACAAGUUUAUACCAUGUAUAUUUGAUAAAAUGCCUCAAUGGAUGAAUUAUGACAACAUGGCUAGUUAUCAUACUUUCAAGAUUUCGCUAUGUUUUACUUUCAAUGAUAUUGAGUCCUGGGGGUAUUCAAUACCCGAAAUCUAGCUUUUACUUAGAAUUUUAAUAGCUACGGAAUAGUCUCAGUGAUGUCACAUACAGUAGUACUCAGCCAGUUAUAGAACUCAGUGUAUUCAGUUAGUUAACAGAACUCAGUGAACUCAGUCCAGUUCAGUCAGUUAGCACGAUCAGUAAUAGUUCAGUCAAGCCUAGUACAGGGUUUGACCCUUAGUAGCAAUCCAUGCAUUACAGAACUACAUAGCCAGUGUAGGUUGAGAUGUCUUCCUGCCAGAUAAGGGUUGACCAAUCUCGUAUGAGUUUUCCUUCCAGUGAGGGUUGACAAAAUGUUUUCCUGCCAAAUAGGGUUAACUCAUAGCCAGUGUUAGUAUCCUUUGUCAAGGUGCUAACACCCUUCCAACUGGGGUCACACAUUGGACCGCAACUCAGUUUAUAAUCGGGGUAUGUCAGCUAGAUGAACACUCCCACUGUUAUAGUUUUAGUUUGAGUUUCAGUCUCAGUAUAAAAAAUCAGUUCAGUUUCAUAGAACCAGGACUACCAGGCACAGUCAUCCAGCUCAGUACGAAACUAAGUUUAGUUCCACAGAAUCAGCACUAUCAGAAAUAGUCACCCAGCUAUCAGUAACUUAGUUAUCAGUAAUUUAGUUACUAGCGAUCUCAAUUAUAGUAAAUUAGAUUUACAUGCAAUAUUGCAUAGCCAGUAUUUACAGCAGUUUCAGAUGUAUAUAUACUCUCAAUCAGUUAUACUCAUGUUACUCAGCCAGUUACUAUUCAUGCAUAUGACCCCUUGCAUAUCAGCCUACCUCACUUAGCAUACCAGUACAUUAAAAGUACUGAUGCAUACCCUUUGUUUUGUGCUAUGAUGUCUUAUAUCAUAGGUUCAGACGUAUGAACUCUUGACGUACUUAGCAGCCCAGCCUAUCAGCAGCAGAUUUAGUGGUGAGUCCUCAUAAUUCGAGGGCAGAGUUAUCAUUUUAGUAUUUCAUUAGUUCAGUAUAAUCAGUAGAUGGAGUUAGUUGGGGACUUGUCCCAUCAACUCUAUAUUAAGACAGUUAGAAUCUUUUAGAUAACUAUUUCAGACAGAUGUUCAGUUUUGUAUUUAUUUAUCAGUAUUUGAUUUCAGCUAUGAACCUUAUGGUAAAUUCAGCCUAAUUCCCAUAUUUAUUUUAGUACUAUUAUUCAGUGAUUGCAACAGGUACUAGUCAUGGGUUAGCUUAUGGUCUUUCGGGAUUAUGAGCACCGUGUGACGUCUGAGGUGCAGACUUGGGGCGUUACAUUCAGUUUUCACAAGCACUUUAUAUAAUUCAAGAUCCAACAUAGACACAAUAGACAAAAUUAACCUUAUUGAAGAAAAGCAUACAACAGAUAAAAAAAUUUCUUCACAAUCAAUUUUUGUCUGUUGUGUUUACCCCUUAGCUACGGGGAAAGCUUUAAAUCUUUUGAUACUACUGUCUUUCUUUCGCUUGAUCUUGAUAAUUCAUUUAUCUCCAAUAGUUUUUUGCUCUAUUGGUAGAUUAAUCAAUUCUCCCACUCAGUUAGAUUUUAUUAACUUCAUCUCCUCUUUCAUUAUUUUUAAUUAUUUUCUUGAAUAGGAUAUGUAAGAAUCUCAUUUAUAUUUUUUGGCUCUUCAUUAUCUGGAGUAAAUACUUUCCUUUCAAUCUCAAAUCGACAAUGAAAAAUUUAAGAAUAAAUUAUUCUUUGAGGUUGAGAUUGACAAAUUAAUUUAUCAAUUGGUGAGUUACUCCCACUUGGACCAGCAAUAUCACUAGAAUUUGUAGUAAUAGAAAUUGAUCCAGUGUCAUCAACAUGACUCUCAUUCAAAUCCAUUAGAAAACCAGUAGUUAGUUGGUCUGAUACAUAGUUUCAUGAAGAGAUAAUUCUCGACCUAUAUCGCACUACUUAGAAAAACCAUUCUCUAUGAAUGUAACAUCAAAUGACUUAACUUCAGUUCCAGUGUCACUAUCCUGUUCACCUAUGAACACAACCCUUUAUACUGUUCAAAAUAUCGUAUAAAAAUAUACUUUCUUCCUCUUGGAUAUAAUCUUUCAUAUUAGAAAAAGAGGUUAUGAAUAAAAGUAACAUAACCCUAAGACCUUAAAAUGUUCAAGUCAAACUUUUGUUUAGUUCAUAACUCAUACGACAUAGUUGUAACUGAUUUUUGAAGGGACACGAUUAAGUACAAAUACAGUAGCGAACAACGCAUCACCUCAAUAGGUCAUAGGCAAUUUUGUGUGUGUCAUCAUUGACCUAAUCAUGUUUAACAAGGUUCUAUUUCUUUAUUGUUCCGCAACACCCUUUUGUUGUGGAGUGUAAGGAGUAUUUAAUUGUCUUUGAAUUUUCUUUUCAUCAGAUAAUUGUUUAAACUUAUGACAAAUACUCUCUUUCUUGAUCAGUUCUUAGAGCUUUAAUUUUUAUUUUUUAUCCAAUUGAUUCUCAACUAAAUUCAUAAACUCAAUGAGCUCAACGCUUCAGAUUUGCGAGAAGUCAAAUAUACCUAACCGAAUCAAGUAAAAUCAUCAUUAAAAGUGAUGAAAUAAAUAACACCAUGUCUUUUUCUUACAUUCAUUGGAUCACAGAUAUCAUAAUGAUUUAAUUGCAAUAGAGUGUCCGUGCUUGCGCCUUUUUCAAAUGAUUUUCUUGAAGUUUUUCGACUAGGCAAGAUUUACAAAAAAAUAAUUCUACUUUAUCUAUUGUGCCAAAUGGUCCUCCUUUAGCAAAACGAUUCAUUCUUUGAACACCAAUACGACCAAGCCUAGCAUGUCAUAUAUUUACAUCAUUCUCAUAAUUUGAAGCUGAUGUAAAUAAGGAAAACUGUUAUUAUUAUUAUUGAGACUUUAAAUAACAUCCAAUCCAUCAAAAAAAUCGAUCAUAAAAAAAUCAGUAUCAUAUUUUGUCUUGGCCAAAUACAAAUUCAUACCAUGUUCAUGAAAAAAAUUAAAUCCUAACUUAAUCAAUAUUCUAACAAAACCUAGAUUUCGGCGUAUUAUUGGGGUAAAUAGUACAUUAUAUAGAUACAAAGUUCAUCCACCACAUAUUUCAAGUUUAAAGGUAUCAAUCUUUUUGACCUCCUCUGUAUAGUUAUUUACUAUAUACACUCAUUUGAAUUCUUUUGAAAUUUAUCAAAAAUUUAUGAAAGCAUCUCUUUUCAUCGCUAUAUGCUCUAUGGCUGCUAAGUCUACAAUUCACAUAGGAAGUGAUUCAGUUAAAAAGUAGAACAAGAAGAAUUUACAUCACAAUUUAAAUUAUUAAUAUUGUGUACCUUUUAGGCUUAGGACAAUCGCGAGCAAAGUGUCUUGUUCUCAUAGUUUUAGCACUUGAGAUUAGCUAUAUUCACUUUUUUCUUUUUCUUGGGAGCAGAAAUAUUUUUCUAUCCUUGUUCAUUAGUCUUCGACUUUUUUGAAACUUUUUCUUCUCUCUUAUUUUGAGAAAAUUCACCUCACUUGUGUUUCUCAUCAUGCUCAUAUUUUGAACCUAAACUAGUCAUAUGCACAUUUGUAACGACGUAGUCUACUCCUAAGCGCUCUUCCUCGAAUUUUAAAUGAUGCUUAGCAUCUUCCACAAUUUUGAUGCUAACAUUGUGGAUUAAGUGUAUUUUUAUGUUUUUCUAGAUUUGGGAUAAGGAACAAAUCACAACUUGAAGUUGUUUCUUUUUUAUCAACACAUGACUGGCAUCUUUUAGUUCAUUCACCAUAUUUGACAUAUGAUGCGGAUGCUUACACAUAGUGUGAUCAGGGUGUUACUUAUAAGUAUCAAACUUAAUAGUAAGAGUCCUUAGCUUAGCAACUGAAGUAUGACUAGAUUUUUAUUUUAGUUCAGGCUACAUGUCCUUGGCAUCACCAUACUUUUGAAAUUCUCUCAUAAUAUCAUUAUCCAUGUUACUUAGCAAUGUAGUACACACAAGAAUUUUUUUUACAAUCCUGAUAUGACUCAAGAUGUUUCACAUGUUGCGGGGUAUCACUAUUUUUAGAAAAUAUCAUAGACACAUUAAGAGCUUCAAGAGCCUCUAGCUCUUUCAGGACAUAUUGAAUUUUCAUACUCCAUAUUUCAUAAUUAUCACUGUUAAGCUUAUCAUCCUUAUUAAGCUAACGAAAAUAUUCUUUGUAGUAGUUGACAUACUUGUUAGACAAGUAUAAAGUAUCAUGACACAACUAUGUACUUUAUUUUAGCCUAAAUUUAUAUACAUAAUAAUUCUGAAAAAUAAUCAACUAUGUCAAUAUUCAUUUUUCAUCGGGUUUAGAUUCAAAAGUUCUCAAAGUUCCCAAUCAUCAUCCGAAUUUCAAUGUAUCAUAAAUCCAAAAUAAUCAAUCAUCUAAAAAUCACUUAUCUUAAAUCACGUAAAUUCAAUAUUAAACAUACAUAAAUUCUAUAACAAAUAUAGAAACAUUCAUUAGUUGAGAGUAACUACAUAAAAUAUUCAAUAAAUUAAUAUAUACGCAUGCAUUUUUUCUAUAUUAUGUCUCAUAGACAAUUAUUUAAGAAAAAUAUAAAUGCACCUGUAACUCAAUUUUUCCUUUCCUAUUUUUUUUUUUAAGAAUAAUUAUUUCUCAAAAUGCAGAAAAUCAUGUCACAAAUAUUACUAAUAAAGCACUAUCAUGCCACUGUUAGUGAAAAUUUUAAGACUAAAUAGCAAAAAUUAAUCUUAUAUGGACAAGAAAAGAUAAUCCACUGAAACUAUAUCACUAGACAAAUUUCUUUUUUUAACUCCAUUAAGUAAACAUAUUUUUGUUAGAGACAGACUCAGAAGGCAUAUCACUAUAAGAUUCUGACAUUGGUGUGGGUUAUACUCAACUUUAACCUAAUAAUUUUUAUUCUCUAAUAUAGUAAUCACCCAACUCGUGAAUUACUGGGUUGUCUCACUGUUACUAUCCAAUUCUCAGAUCAUGAUGACACCUACCAUAACUUACCAGUAGGUAAGCUAAUUCAUAUUUCUAAAUAAUUAACAACAAAUUAAUAAGAAAACAGAAGCAAAACUAAAUAAAAGAGAAGAAGAUAUAAGAAGGAAGUAAAUACAUUUUCAAAAUCUGGUGAGGUCAAUAUAAGAUCUUCUAAUAAAACAAGAGUACAAAGUAGAAUACAUAAUGAAUGUAUACAAAGCUAUAUCUGAUAUACAGAAAUAGAGAUCUAUCUAAUGGUAAGAGGGAGAGAAAGGACAACUCCAGACGUCAGGAGCUUACCCUAAAUCUACGAUCCAUCGCUGCUUCGUACAAUGCACACAUCAAUAAUGAUAAUUUGUACUAUAAUCUGCAGGCUACAAAAGUGUAGUAUGAGUACCAAACAUGAGGUACUUUAUAGGCAUCGAUCGAUUGAGCUCCAAAGAUAAUGUAGGUACAAAUAACAUGUAAAGCAGGAAUAUAACUAUAGACAACUACUUAGGAAAUGAAACUUAAAAGUGCUAAUGAAAAAGUAAAGGUAAACUAUCAGGUAGUAUCAGUAAUCAGGAACAAAGCACGAUUUUGUAAGUAACUAGUCCAUAUUCUAAGUAGUUAUUCCAUAUACGAUAGUAUAAUGAAUAAAGAGAUAUACAAUAUAUAAUUGUAGUAGGAAGAAAGGGAAUGAUAUAUGAAUAGUAGCCAAAGAGGAAUAUAUGUGACUACGCUAUAUGAAUAACCAAGUAUGAAGAAACUACUAUUAGGGAGCUUAUCCAAUAUUACCAAAAUCAUAAGCAAUAAGAGGUUUAAUACUAGUAUAAACAAGGUCUCUAACUGAAAUGUGCAUAGAAAAGAGAUAGUCUAAUGAUAAUCAAUUCUUACCAUAAUAAAGAAUAAGAGAACUCAAAAGUGUACCUAUAACCUCGGAUAUUAAUCUGUAGCCAACCUGCCAUGAACUAGACAAUAAUAACUAGUAAAUAUGUAACUGGCUAACCCAAAUAAAUAAUGACCUAUUAGGGCUCCAAUAAGCCGAGAAGGCAAAAGAAAAUACUCAAUAACCAACAACCAUAUCCUGUACCUAUACAACCCCCAUAAGACCGAUAGAUACAAGUGCCAAACAAUUAUACUAGUGGUAGACAAUCUAUAAUAAUGAAUGAAUGCAAGGAUAAUUCAGUCCAAUCAACCAAUCAAGCUCAAUGAAUGCAAGGAUAAUUCAGUACCAUCAAACAAUCGAGUGCUAGAAUGUACCAAGUGUAUAUGCCUCCUCCUGCUCAGUAGAUCACAAAGGCAGGACCUACAAUGAUCAUCUUUUUUGAUACCGUGACUCAUCAGAUGAAGGGGUACAUAGGGGACUCAAAAUAUUAAUAUACACUGUCAAAUUUCGAACUAGAGCUUUUAGUAACCAUCAUAAUCAAUCUACUCCAUCUAGUACCAGAGAAAAAUAAGAGUGUAAUAAUUUCUCGAACGUGAAUCGAGGCUAAAUGAGUAUAAGUUUAUAAAUUCAUUAUCCGAAAUCAAAUAUGGGACUAAAAUAAUACAAUAAUAUAAAAAUAGUUGAAAUCUCUCUCGACCAUAGUGAAAUAAGUAGUGAUAAAAUGAAGGAAUCAAUAAUGGAUCAGAAUAAGCCCCUGUCAAUUUUUGUAGUAGUACAUUUAGUUUAAAAUAUCAUAAUUCAGUAAUAAGGGUGGUACAACUUUUAUUUUCAAAGAAUCAAUUUUAAAAGCUAAUAAAAACUGGAAAUAAAUUUCUUUUUAAAAAAUGAUAGUAAAAUAAAGGUUCUAAUCAAAGUCGUACCACUAAAUAAGUGUGGAUGCGUCUAAAUGAAUGAAUGUCAUUAUCAGUAUCCAAACAAUACAACUCUAUGAGUCUAUGCAUCCAUAACUAUAUCUACAUCCCUUUGAAGGAAAGAGUAGCCACAGCCUCGGGCCCAACAAUAUAUAACUCAACAAGAUAUUAGUGUCAAAAAGUUGAAAACUAAGGUAAACGAGGACACAAAGCUACUAAAAGGGUCUAAUCAGAAAAUAUUUUCCAAAAUACUAGGUAAUAUAGUAAGUCUUUUACUAAAGGAUCCCUUAUGUAAAUCUAUGGUUAACCAAGUCUAUAACUAGGUGCAAUAGGAUUGCACAACCUUAACAUGUAUCCUAGUCUAAGGUUCAUAUCUCAGUUCUAUUCUAAAUUCAUUAAUUAGGUCAAGUCAUGAUAUAUUUUAGGUAUAAACAUAUUUUAUAAUUCCUACCUAGUAUGCAAAAUAUACAAUACACAAUCUCAUAUAGAUAAGUAGAUCAAAGCCUACCACCUCAAUGUCGACUAGCAGCCUCAACCAUCCACAAGUUGCCCGUCCCCUCCUCACAAUCUCUAAAAACUGCCACAUCAAGAACCUCGAAGAAUCAGAAAAAUUCUCCUAAGCACGAGCUUUGUACUAGAAUACGAACUUGAAUAACUUGAUAAAGAUAGUUGAUUUUAUUUUAAUGAUCAAAUACCGUAUCCAAAAGAUAAAUUUUUCUCCGACUUCUCUUUAACGUACACAUAUGAGUAGAUUUAUUAGGUGAAAUAAUGUAUUAUGCCUACUUAUCUUUUAUAAACGUAUGCACUAAAAUGAAAAUGGGCAAAAACUAAUUUUUUAUCUUGUGAAAAAUGAAAGGGAAAAGCAUGUAAAACAACGGUCACUUUUAAAUUGAACAAUUUGUUCACUACAAAUUAUAUCAUAAUGCCAAAACAUGGCCAUUCAUUAUGGACAUUCGGUGUAGACUCUUAAUUCUUCCACAUGAAAUAUUGUGGUGUUAAUACCACAAUUGACUUUAUCCACUUUAUUGGACAUGGUCCAUAUUAAGUAUGUACUUUGAUAUUUCAUAGGUUCAUGAUAAAAUAAAUACAAUAUUUUGAAUAUAUCAUAAUUAAUAAAAAAUUAUUUUGAAUAAAAUCUCUAUUAUAUAAUAAGAAUUUUUAAAGAAAAUUUUCAUAAGUAGCAAAUUUAUUAUAAACACGUAACUUUUUAUCAAAUCUAAAAUUUUACGCCAUUUUAGUAUUUAAAUACUUUUUAGGUUUAAAUUAGACAUUUUGAUGUUAUCUUAUUUUUUACUAAAGUUAUUCUAAAACUUUCAAAAACUACAAAAAUAGAGUUACAUUUUAAAUAAGUUUUUAUUUUUAUUAUUUAUUUAUUUAUUUAUUUAUUUAUUUAUUCUCUAAAAAAAGAAACAAAAUUUUUUAAACUAUAUUUAUUUUCUUCCAUUACUUUUUAACAAAUAAUCUAGUGAUAUUAAUAUUUUCUUAGUUAUAUUUAUAGAAUUACUUAACUUAUCUAUAUUUUAUUAUUUUUAAAUAAAUUUUAGUUUUAUUUAAAUUAUUAAUUAAAAAAAUCAAAUUCUAAACUACCCUAACCUCUUCCCACAAUUCCACUUUCACUUAACCUCCUCCCAGGAUCCCACCUUCACUUAACCUCUCCAACUCCCUCCCACACACAACACACGAAAAUGCACAUGACAACAAUAUAAACACACGCACACUUAUAUAAAGAAGACACCAUAAUACACUUAGGGAGAGACAAUAUACCUAGGAAGAAAGCAAAAUUCAUAGAACACACGAGAAAGGGAGUAAAAACAGAAAAAGGAAAAAAAAAUCAGGAGAGAGGACAAGGUGAAAUAUUCAAGAUUUUCAUUCGCGGUUUCAAGUUCGUGGCUCAUUAAUUAGGAAGUUGCAUUGACUUUGUUUGUAAAUUAAUAUUCACAAGAGGUAACUCUCAAUCCUUCUUUGCAUUAUGUAACGUCAUCAUUAUACGAGAAUUGAUUCCAAUAUUAUGAAGUUGCUCAAAUUUCACAUGUGUUUAAACGUUCAUAAUUUUACAUAGUUAAAUCCAGAGAAAAAUUGAUAAAUUAAAUGAUUAUUUUUGCAUGCUUAACUUAAUUCAUUUUUCCUUAAAUUGAUAAGAAAAUUGUUACGCAUAAUGUUGGUAUUGACAUAUAACGUGUAAUAUAUAGUAGGUAAAUGUUAGUUCAUAUAUUAGAUCUAAUAAAGGAUAAAUAGUAAUAUGAAAUGUGUAAGAGAAUUUGGGGUUUUAACAUUAUUUCUUUUGGCUCCACAUUGUUAAAAUUAAAGUUAGUCUAACAUGAAAUUGAAAGUGAAAAAAUGCACAAAUAGGAAAACAGAUUGAGAGAAAAGAUUUUUUUUUUUUUUAAAGUGAGAAGGAUAGAAAGAAUAACAUGAAGCAUGUCAAAGAAAUAGAGGAGGCUAGAGAGAAAGAAAAUAAUACACAACAAACAAGAGACAUCAUUGAAGAUUGUGGUUUGGAGUUCGAGUGUUUGGACCUCGAGUUUUCGUCGACAUCGUUCUUUCUUCUAUAUUUAGUCAAUUUUAUCACACAGGUUCUUAUUCGGUUCUUUUCUAUUCAAUUUUAGUAAUAUUAUUGUGAAACAAAGCAUCAAUAAGAUUUUGUGAGUAUUUUGUUUAUGUAUUGAUUAGUAUGUAGAGAUGAUAACUUACAUGACAUUAUCGUGAGAUGCAUGUUUUAGUUAUCCAAACACAUAUAUAUUUACUUCAAAAUUUGAGAGUUGAUUAAAAUGAUUAUUGAUAAAAUUGGGCUGAUAAAUAUAUAUAUAUAUAAUCUGUGAAUCUAUACCGCUGCUACCUUGUAUUAAUGCACUAGCAAUGGUUAGUGGGAAUAGGGUGUUUAAAAUGGAAAAAGAAUACCUUACUAUUUAAGAAUUUAAUUGAAAGUCGGCUACUGCGUUUCGAUCAUAAAUUAAUUAAAUGAAAAGAAUUUGGCUAAAUAUCAUUUUAGUUAAAUUUUCAUUUUUCACUUUGGUUUUCAAUGUGAAGUUUUUCCUUUUCUUUACAAAUACUAGACUAUAAACCUAAUUUGAUUUCCUUGGCAGAAGAAUUUCAACGAAUUUUGACUAACCAGUGAUUCAAUAAAAUAUCCUUUCAAAAGUCUAAUAUAAGUGAAAGCUAACGAUGAAGUUGGAAAGUCCUGUUACUGAUCAUUCAUUAUAAUAAAAUUAAUUACAUAGGAUUUUAAAAUCGAUCUAAUUGGGAUGGGUAUAUUUUUAAAUAUGUUAGAAUCUUAUUAGACUUGAGAAAAAUGGGAGCAAUCCAUAAAUGCCUCAAAGGCGUGAGAAGUAUAUCAAGACUUGUGAUAUGACCGAAAAGUACUGCUACCGGUAAGCUACUAAAAGCGUGUAACUUUUAGGUUAACAACUAUUAUAUAGCUAAAAAGAUUAAUUUAAGCCAGACGUAUGUCAUUAAAGCACUGUGCUAGAACCACGGGACUGAGGGGUGCCUCACACCUUCCCCUUGAUCAACAAAAUUCCUUAUCCGGAUUUCUAAUUUGCAGACCAAAGAGAAAGAGUCAUUUUCUUUUGACUAGGGAUUCAAUAAGGUGACUUGGAACAUCAUAUCUCAAUUUCAAGUAGAGACUCUGUAAAAUAAAUAAUCCCUUUUCAAAACAUCACUUUAAUUGGAAAAAUUCAUUUUCUCUAAAACCAACUCCCUAGCAGGGUUGGGGCAAUAAAAAUAGGGGUGUGACAGAUGGCGACUCUGCUGGGGAUAACCAGAACUUCAUCUUUUAGAUUGUCUUGUUUGGCUUUAUGUAAUGUUUUAUAUUGUUAUUUAUUGGCCUACAUGUGCUAUGUGUCUAAUUGUUUAUCGCUUUGAUAUUAUUUGAAUUACAAUAUAAACUGUCUUCUCUCGCGCACCCAUCGGAGUCUUCUGAGAUACUUUAUAUUCGGAGAAGCGGCAUACGCUCCCGAGCCUUGAGAUAUCAGAGAUGCGGCAUACGCUCCCGAGCCUUGAGAUACCAGAGAUGUGACAAUGCUCUUGGGGAGGAUUCUAUAGUCACACAUGAUUUAGGAUGGGAAGGGCCAAUGGUGAGGCCGGAAAGCACUGCUACCGGCGAGCUGUCUCUGCCUGACUCGAGUGCUCCGCUCAUUUUACAACCAGUCUAGACACCUACCUCCAUUAGGUUAAACCUAGUAGAAUUGAAACUUAGACAUGGUCAUCCCUAUUAGACUCAGUUUUAUUUGCAUCACAUGCAUUUUUGACUUAGCGGAGGCUCAACAAAGGUUUGAAUGUCUAAAAGUACUCUCUUUUUAGACUAUCCUUUUUCUAUACAACUAGUUGCAUUAACUGUCAAGCUGUUUCGAAUGUUGAUCAGCUUUAGGAUCCAUUAACAUAAGAGAUGGUGAAAAUUUCUCUUUAAAAUCUAUUCUUUAUCGAAACCUAAAUGAGGAGUAAGGUUUGCUUUCACAAAUAAAAGAAAAAAAUAGUAUCUAAAUUAUUGAGUUUGCCCCAAUCUGGAUGAACUAUACAUAUCUGAUUCUCAUUUUAGUGAGAUAUGUAGGCAAGCCUCCACAAGUUCGGUGAUUCUUAAAAACGAAGGUUACAUUUUCUUAAAGAAAAAAAGAGAAGAGUUUUGAUCUUUAUAAAAAAAAUCAAUCAAUUUGUUUUCAAAUUUUUUUAAAAAAUCUUUAUUAAUAAAUUCAAAAAAAAGUUAUUCUCUUUUCAUUAUUCAAAUAAAAAGUGGGUUUCUUCAUGUCUCCAGUUUUACGAACUACGGAUAUCUGAUUCUCAUCUCAAUGAGAUAGGUAGGCAAUCCUUUUUGGGUUCGGUGAUCCACAUUCAAAAAAAUAUUUAUUGAAAAAAGGUUGUUGGUUAAAAAAAUAAUAAAUACAUAUUUUAAUUUUUUUCUUUCAAAAGUACAAAAAACAUAUAUAUAAAUUGUUCGUAUUAAAUUUAAAAAAAAAGGAAAAUAAAAGUUUUUCGUCCUUAUUCAAAAUUCAAAAAAAAAAAAUAAUUUGCUAAUUCAUAUUUUAAGCUCCCUGAACUAUGUUUGACCUUAUUCUUAUUUCAACAAGAUACGUGGACAACUUUUCUUUUGGGUUCAAUCUCAUCUAAAAAAAUCUUGACUUAGUAAUUGCUACCAACAUACUUAAAAAUAUGAAUUUAAAAAAGUGUUAAAUUAUAAGACAUGAUAGAGUGGACCAACUUGAUUGCGAACUGUAGAUUCUUUUGGUACCUUUAAUUAUACUUAAGUUGCACUUGUAAAUUUUUUUUGUUCUAAGUCAAGUUUAAAAUAAAUUGUACCACAUUGUUUCAUGUGCAUCGUGUGGUGAGCUUUAGAUUGAAAAUUUAAUGACAUCGCUCUGUUGACUAGAACUUGGCCUGAAUAUUUGUUGUGGUGAUAUUUUGAGCAACACUUAACUUGAGAGAGGAUUGUAGGCUUUCUUUAACUCGAUUAUGCCUUUGAAGCUUACCGAAUAAAAUGUAAUCCCUAGACUUCUCCUUUUGAAUUUAAAACCUUUUAUUUGAUACCCAAAUCUUAGCCUAUAUCUUUAUUUGAGUGCAUAAAUGCACAAUCUAUCUUUUGGCCCCAUCUUCCUCAGUGCAUUGUUAAAUAUCUAAAUCAGAUGGCAAAGCAAUUGGAUAUGCAAAUAUUCAAAAAAAAUCUAUAGACAAACAAAAAUUUUCACUCCAAGGAAAAAGAAAAGACAAAAGGGAAAAAAAGAAAAAAAGAGAAAGAAAAUCAUCCGACAAGAAGUUUAAAAAGAACUCCAGAAAAAAAAGGUAAUUUAAAAACUAACUUUGAUGGAAGGAAAAAGAAACAAAAAACGACAAAAGAAAGCAACAAAUCAAAUGAAGAUCAACUGCAAAAUGCAAGUAUUGAGAGCAAAGUGCAAUGCUUAAGGAGAGAAUAGUCACUUUAUCCCAAAUGAAUAUCCUACCAUCCCUAAGCUAACACUACAAGUCAAUGACAAGUCCUACUUGACUUCAUUUUGAGUGUUCUCGUAUUAGUGGAUACUUACAUAAUGGCCAAACUUAUGGUAUCUCAUUGCAUGCAUUGAAUAUCUUUCUUAGUGUGAGUGCUUCUUGAACGUCCUAAAAUUUAAACUCUUUUAUGGUGAGUGAAUUAGGACUUUAUUUGUGGUAAGGACACUAAAAACAUGAGGAUAAGAGUAAUUUAAACGCUUGAUUUGGAGAAAGACAUAUACAUCAUGUAUAAAAUUUAAGUAUAUCUGAGGUAUUAAUUGAAACUAUAGUGAUUGCUUUUGAGUUGACCUUGGUUCUUAUUUAAAAGUAAUUCGAGGUGAAUCCUAUGCAUAAAACUAAUUUUUGGUAUCAAUCGAAGUCAAGAAAUAAGUUAUUUUCAUUCUUCUGAUCUUUACAAAGCACAUACUUUCAAAAAAGAAUGAAAUAAAAAAACAUUAUGUUUUUGUGAACUACAUUAGACCUAAUUCUUGUUAUACAAGAUACGUAGGCAGUCCUACAAUAGGGCUCAGUCUUGCUGAAUAAAUAUUUUUACACAUCCCUAAAAGAUAUAAUACCGGGUAUUAUACCUAAAAGGUACAAAGCACAUACUUUCAAAAAAGAAUGAAAUAAAAAAAUAUUAUGUUUUUGUGAACUACAUUAGACCUGAUUCUUUCAAUACAAGAUACGUAGCCAGUCCUACAAUAGGGCUCGGUCUCGCCGAAUAAAUGUUUUUACACAUCCCUGAAAGGUAUAAUACUGGGGUAUUUUUUAAAAAAAGUCAAUAGAAUUUCAAAGUUCCUCACAUCUAAAAUUGGGGCAUUUUUUUUCAAAAAAAAUUGAGAAAAAAAUAUAUAUCAUCACUUGCCUUAGCAGGGUAAAAUAUCCCCCGAUUUCACUUUAGGGAACAAAACUCCCUAAUAUUCUUCCUUAAAUCUUCAUAGGGUACGAUAUCCCAUAGUUGUCAUUUUUUAAAAACAAAAUCAUAUUUGUUUGUUCUUUCAGUCCUUACAAGGUACGACAUCCCUCGAUUAUCACUUUAGAUGAAUAAAUUUUCUAUUUUUAUACUUUAAGUCUUCAUAGGGUACGACAUUCCCUAGUUGCCACUUUAGGAGACAAAAUUUCUUAUUUUCCUCCUUAAGUCUUCAUAGGGUACGACAUUUCCUAGUGGCCUUUUAGAAAAUGAAAUUUUCUAUUUUCUCCUUUAAUUUUUCAUAGGGUAAGACAUUCCCUAGUUGCCAUUUAGGAAAAGAAUUUUUCUAUAUUCUCCUUUAAGUCUUCAUAGGGUGUGACAUUCCCUAGUUGCCAUUUUAGGAAACAAAAUUUUUUAUUUUCUCCUUUAAGUCUUCACAAGUACGACAUUCCCUGGUUGUCAUUUUAAGAAAAAAAAAACUCUCUAUUUUCUUAUUUAUAUCUUCAUAGGGUACGACAUCCCCUAGUGACCUUUUAGGAAAUGAAAUUUUCUAUUUUCUCCUUUAAGUCUUCAUAGGGUAAGACAUUCCCUAGUUGCCAUUUUAGGAAAUAAAAUUUCCUAUUUUCUCCUCUAUGUCUUCAUAGGGUAAGACAUUUCCUAGUUGCCAUUUUAGGAAAUGAAUUUUUCUAUCUUCUCCUUUAAGUCUUUAUAGGGUACGACAUUCCCUAGUUACCAUUUUAGGAAAUAAAAUUUUUUAAUUUUCUCUUUUAAGUCUUCAUAGGGUACACCAUUCCCUAGUUGCCAUUUUAGAAACCGAAUUUUCUUAUCUUCUCUUUUAAGUCUUUAUAGGGCACGACAUUCCUUAGUUGUAAUUUUAGAAAAUUAAUUUUCCUAGCUUCUCCUUUAAGUCUUCAUAGGGUACGACAUUCUCUAAUUUCCAUUUUAGGAAACGAAUUUUCCUGUCUUCACCUUUAAGUCUUCAUAGGGUAUGACAUUCCUUAGUUGCCAUUUUAGGAAAUGAAUUUUCUUAUCUUCUUCUUUAAGUCUUCAUAGGGUACGACAUUCCCUAGUAGCCAUUUUAGGAAAUAGAUUUUUCUAUCUUCUCCUUUAUAUCUUCAUAGGGUAUUCCCUAAUUGUCAUUUUAGGAAAUGAAUUUUUCUAUCUUCUCCGUAGUCUUCAUAGGGUACAACAUUCCCUAGUUGCCCUUUUAAAAAAUAAAUUUUUCUAUCUUCCUUUUUAAGUCUUCAUAGGGUACGACAUUCCCAAGUUGCCAUUUUAGGAAACAAAUUUCCUAUCUUCUUCUUUAAGUUUUCAUAGGGUACGACAUUACCUAGUUGUCAUUCUAGAAAACAAAAUUUUCUAUUUUCUCUUUUAAAUCUUCAUAGGGUACGACAUUCCCUAGUUGCCAUUUUAGGAAACAAAAUUUUAUAUUUUUCUCUUUUAACUCUGCAUAGGGUACAACAUCCCUAGUUGAUAUUUUAGAAAAUAAAUUUUCCUAUCUUCUUCUUUAAGUCUUCAUAGGGUACGACAUUCCUUAGUUGUCAAUUUAGAAGACAAAAUUUUCUAUUUUCUGUUUUAACUCUUCAUAGGGUACUGUUGACAUCCAAUUUUGGCUGUACAUACUUAAAAUUAGCACUUUAGGCUUUAUGAUCAUUAAAGUACAUAAAAUAUAAUUUUUCACACUUUUUUAUAAUUUUUUAGCAAACGAGCGAUAAUCAUCAUUUUUUAAUUUUUUUUUAUCAAUUUAUUGUCAUAUUUUAACUUUGCAUAAUUUAUUGAUAAUUAUUCUUAGUUUCGUAAAUUUUAGAAUUUUUAUUAAUUUAUUAUUAUUUUAAUAUUUUUGCACAGUCAUCUGCAUAUGUACAUAGCAUAACACUACAAUUCUUUCUUACAUAUUAUAAGUUUAAAUGUUUAUAGUGUAAUAUAGGUUUUAGAUGAUUUUGUUAUAUUUGUUAUUUUCAUUUUUCUGUGAUUAUACAUCAGCAUUCAUAUUUUUGUUCAUUAUUUAAUAUGAUCUGUAAAUAUAAGUCGACUUAAUUAUUUUAAAUACACAGAGAAAUAAAUUAGUCAAGUCAAAAUCAUGUCAAUUUUUUUUAAAGAUGACAAUUGAUAUGAUUGAUUAGAUCUUUUACCCUUUAGUCAAAAUACUAUUAUUUAAUAGUUAAAACGGGUAUUUUUUUGGUUAAUAAUGGACACCACUUUUUAUUAUAAAUAAAAUGGGAGGACAAUUAUUUAAUAGACACACUACACGCACAAACACACCAAAAAAUAUCAAUCUCCCUCUCCCUUCUCUUCUCUUCCUUUUUUUCUCAAAACCAAUCUGCCACCCACCACCCCUGCCGACGUCGAAGUCCGGCAAAACCUCCACCACCGCGCUACCCUCCCUCUCUUUCUCUUGUCUUUUUUGUCGCAUCUCGCUGGAUGUAACGAUCGGCGAGCUGCCUCCGGCCACCACCAUCACUGUAGCCUCUUUUCCUCUCCAUUUUCAUUGCUUCUAUGCUGGAAGUGAUGGCCGGUGAAGCUCCCCAACGAGCAGCCACCAUUAUGGCUAGUUUUCCUCACCCUUUUCUCCUUUUUCCACCGCUGCCUCACUAAAAUUGAUGGCUGGCAAGCUCCCAACGCAUCACCACUGCCAUUGCCUUAUCAGAUAUGGCCAGAUCUGGGCAAGAUUUUAUUUCUUUGGUGUUGCUCCGGUGAAUACCAUUGACGCAAUGCCACCAACAAUCUUUGUUGUCUCCGAUUUCAUUAUUUAUUUGGUUACUAUGCUUUAUUUUCUUAAAAUAGAUCUAUGCAUUUCUUGUUCUCUAACUAUGCUUGACUGAUUUUGGGUUGCCUUUCAAUAUUUUUGGUGGCCUUGAAUUUUCGGGCAUCCUCCUUGUUUUCUCUAGAUGAAGCUACUACUAAGUUUGCUCAUUUUUGGUAGUUCUAUUAUUGUUUAGCCGCUGUUUUGCUACUUGUGGACUGAUUUUUCUCUCACUUUUACUCUUUUACUGCAUUUGAUAUUUUUAUUAAAUUGAUAACGAAUAAAUGCUACAUUAUUGGCCGAUGAAGAAAUUUUUUGUCAAUUUUUUAGGCCUUCACAAAUAAAAAGACGGAUAUUGCGUAUAUAAAUACGUAAUAAAAUAAAUAUUUUGGGCGAUGAUGGAAUUUUUGUAGCAACGCAAAAGUUUUAUGAUUCGUAUCUUGGUAAGACAAUUUAGGACGGCUAAUAAAUUGAGCAACCAUUUCGUAGACAUGCGUACCUAAAAUCUGAUCAAAGCCCACACUUUUAUUGAAAAAUCUUAUUUUUUUAUACAUAUAUGCACACACAUCUUCUCAUUUUUUUGAUAAUUAUUUAUUGGUUAUUAAUAUUUUUAUUACAAGUGUUUAUACAGGUUAUUGAAAAUAUUUAUCAGGAAUGACAUGCAAAGAAGACUUUAAUUUUUGUGUUUCAUAUUUUUAUAUUAUUACAUUUGUAUAAAUAGCAAUUAUAGUGAAAAUUUAAUUUUUGGGGCGUUAGGCGGGAAUGCUUUAACUUAUACUACAUUCGUCACGCAUUUACGCAAAAUUUAGGCAGUUACUAUUUACUUAAAAGAAUUAAAUUGAUUUAGAUAUUUAAUCAAAUAAUUUUCAUUUUUUUACAUUAAACAUGGCUUAAUCUUUUUCUGUAAAAUAAAAUUUCAUUAUCUAAUCUUUUCUUUUGUUUUUCAUACAUAUUUUCAUGUACUUUCGUUUACCUUCAUACACUUUUAUACACAUAUUUUUUCGAUAACACAAUGUAAUUUACACAUUCUUUAUACAUAGAUUGUUUAUUUUAAUAUACAUUUUAUAGUUGCAUUUAGAAACAUUGAUUUUUUUCCUCUUUUAAUAAUAACCUAAGUCUAGCCGGAAGUAAAUUGAAAAAGAAUAGCCAAGCAAUAUGCCCUACAAAGUGUAGUUUUUUUUCAGCCUCUGAAAACAUAGGAAAACCUACUUUUCGUACUCGAUGUUUAGCCGGAUCUGAUGGUCGUGACGGCUGUCGGCCUGCCUCCAACGACGAAGGCUGGUCAACCUAGUCAACCUACUGAUGAUACUCCAAAAACAUUUUUUGCUAAUGUUUUUCAAAAUCCUUGUAAACCUCACAAGAAUAUACCAAUGAAAGAAAUAUCAUAUUUGCAUAGGGAACCAUGUAUUAUUUGGGAGGAGGAAGAGGCCAAUCAAAUGAUUGUCAAUGAGAAUCUCCAAUAUGCUUUCAUUGGAAAAUUUUCUUAUGGUUGACCAGAGGUAGAGGAUUUAAGGUGCUUAGUUCCAAAACAAUGUGAUUUGAAGGGAGAAGUCAAUAUUGGGCUUUUAAUCAAUAGAUAUGUUCUGAUAAGGGCGGCAAAGAUUGAAGACUAUGUUCAUCUUUUAUUAAAUCCGCAGUUUUACAUCACCAAAAAUUAUUGGUCUUACCCAAUGAGAACACUGAAAUGGGAUCCAAUGUACAAUCCAUGGGAGAAAACUACGACUGCAAUAGCUUGGAUUUCUUUUCCCUCCCUACCACCUAAUUUAUUUAUAAAGGAAGUUGUGUUCUCUCUAGCAGCUAUUGUAGGAAAACCUUUGCAUAUGGGUUUAGCUACACAGAAUAAGACUAGACCAAGUUAUGCUAGAGUCAACGUAGAAGUAGACUUACUUGGAGAGUUUCCUAAGAGAAUCAAUAUAAGGAUGAGAAAGAAAUCAGGAGAAGUUACAGCGAAACGGAUUUAGAUUAGAUAUGACUAUGUCCCCAAAUAUUAUAAAGAAUGUAAACGCCAGGGACACAAUGAAAAGAAUUGCUAUGUUAUACAUCCAGAAUUAUAUCUCAAAGAAGAAAAAGAAGGGAUAGAGGAGAACAGUGAUCAGAACAAAAAAUUUAACAAUCAAGAAGAGGACAAAGAAAACAUGAUUACAAAUGAAGACAAAGAAAAAUCCAAUGAGGAAGGUGAAAGGAAAUUUCACAACAAAGAAGAAGGUAGAUAAGGAGAAAUGGAAAACAACCUUAUAGAGGAAGACCAAAAAUGCUAUGGAACCAAAGAUCUCCUGCUACAAUUGAGGAGGAAUUUGCAACAAAAAACACCUUUGGGGCCUUAGAAGAAAAGGAGUCAGAACAGGUUGGCAACAAAAAAAUGCAGGGGACAUAGGGGAUUACAAUGCUAAAGAUCAAGAAAACCAAAGAAAUGAAACAACUUCUCCACAAAGUAAUAACAAAAGUGUGAAAAAAAAAGAGAGAAGUAAAUGAAAAAAAAAUCUCAAAGCUCAGUAAAGGAAUACAACAUUCAGUUGACUCAAGCAAAGAGACAGGGAAUUCAACAGUAAAGGAAAUAAAUGUGUAGAGUAGUGAUAACAAACAAAUGAUAACAGAUAACCCUGAAGAUGAAAAAAUAAGUAAAGAGAUAACAGAUAUUCCCAAAAUUCAGUAUCUUUCACAUGAAGGAAUAUAGAGAAGUAGGAUUUAGAGGAAGAUGAAGAUCUGGAGGCAAAUAUAUACCAAAUUGGUCGAGAUGGAGAUUUAUCUCCAAGGAAAAUUGGUCAUUUAAAAGAAAGAAAUAAGAAGGAACACAAGAAUACGACAGUCAAGUCUCAUAUUAAUACAAGGAGUAAGACAAGUUCUAAAACCACUAGUGAUCAAUGAUUAAUAGAGUGAUUUUUUGGAACAUUUGAUCUGUUAUAACUCAAAGUUCUUUUGACAGACUAAUAGAACUACAUAGAAGGAAUCAAUACUCUUACAUUUCUUUAGUGGAACUGUAAUACCCCGUGAUUUUUUCUAGCUUAAAUGCAUACCGAAAAUGACCAUGAGUAGCUUUUAGAAUGAGUGGUGUUUAUUUUGUGUGGAAUUAUUUAGAUUUGGACUUUCCAUGGCGUAGAAAAUUGAAUUAGAUUUCCAACGAUAUAAGAUUUGCCUAACCGGAUAAGAAGUUAUGGCUAUUUAAAGUUCCAGUCAUGAAACACCAUCAUUUAGACCUUUAGCACACCGCGGAGCAGUGUCAAAUCCCAAUUGUCAUUUUCUAGUGGCCCUCCAUGAUAUUGGUGCAUCGCAGAGAGACCCAAUUUUCCAGUUGUCAAUUUCCAGAGGUCCAACGCGAUAAUGGCGCAUCGCGCCAUGUGCUAAAAUGAAAUUUCAAAGGGGCACCACGAUGGCUCUACAUCGCAGACUCUACCCAGUCCAUUUGUCAAUUUCCAGUGAGCUACCGCGACAGUGGCGCAUCGCGGUGGCCACCCGGAUCAGAAAAAGAAUACAUUUUUUAGUUUUGUUUAAUAAUUUAAAAGGGUAUUUGGAAAAUCCCCCAACCCCCAAUCCGUUCAAAAACAUAAGAUUACUCAAAUAUCAAAGCACUUUAUGCCCUAUUCAUUAUUCUCCUCAAAGCAAAACCCUAGUUCAUUAUACUUCCUCUCCAAAAAAACUCAGAAUUCCUUCAUUAAUUCUCCAAGAUACUCCAAAUUUAAGGAUUCCCAAUACAAGAACACUAAGAAUUCAUCUCCAAAGCAUCAAUAGGAAUCCAAGAUUCAAGCCUUUCGUCAAAGAUCAUCAAUUAAGGUAUGCGGGAUUUGAACCAAGAUAAUUCUUUCAUCCUUGUGUCAAAAACUUUGUUUUAAUUACAAACUUUCUGAAUUAUAUAUGAUUUUUCAUGAAUUUCAAGUUGGGGUUUAUACCUAUUAUCAUUAUUUGCAAGAUUAUGAGAUUUUCCAUGAUUUAGAAGUUGAAUUACGUGAUUAUGUUUAUGUUUCCAUCUAUAUUACUGAAAUUUCCAGAUUUUGAGUUGAUUUAUCAAUAUCAUAUUGUUGACACUCAAUUUUUGCUCUCCGUGCCUAAAAUUAACGUCUUCGGGCUUUUUUUUCGUUAAAGGGCACGAAGCAUAAUUUUCACAUCUUUUUAUAAUUUUUUGAUAAAUUAUUGAUAAUUAUCCUUUCUUUAGGAUUUUGAUCAAUUUUUGUCAUAUUUUUAUUUUUUAUAAUUUAUUAAUAUUUUUUCUAAUUUUAGAAUUUUUAUCAAUUCACUAUCGUUCUUAACAAUUUACAAUCACCCGCACACAUACACGACAUGACGUUAUAUAUAUAUAUAUAUAUUUUAAUAAUAUUUUUAAAUUAAUUAUAUUUUAAUAAUUUUAAUGUUCUUUACAUUUUUUCAUUCAACAUCUAUAUUUUAUAGUCCGCAAACGCUGAGUCGGAUCAAUUAUUUUUGCGCAGUAUAAUAAUUCGACGUCUUAUCACAUUCGACAAUAACUACACAAUAAUGUCUUGUCACGUCCGAUAAUGACCACUUAGUAUUGUCUUGUCACAUCUGACAAUGACCACUCAAUGACACUACCCUUUGGACAAUAACUCUAUCCAUUGGUCAAAAGGGUGAACAUCCUUUGGUCAAUAUCUUAAGAACUAAAGGAUGUGCUAUUAUUAAAAGAGGGAACACCCCUUUAUCCAAUGGAUAAUAGGAGUGCCCAAUUUUAUUAUAAAUAGGCAAGGAUGGAAGACAAUUUUAUUCAUCUUUUCUCUCUACACACACAUUUUCAUACACCCACACAUAUUUUUUCUCUCUCUCAAAUACAUACACAAAANNNNNNNNNNNNNNNNNNNNNNNNNNNNNNNNNNNNNNNNNNNNNNNNNNNNNNNNNNNNNNNNNNNNNNNNNNNNNNNNNGUAUUUCUUUGUUUAUGGAUGCUUAAUGAUGGUUAUUGUCACUUCUCAGUGAAUUUUCACAUUUUUCAAUCAUGUUUGAACUAUUAUUUCUAUUUUAUUACAUUACUCUGUUAUACAAUUAGGAAUUUUAUGCUAUUUUUGUUAUUUUCAAUUACUUUGUCAUGGCUACAUCAUUUUUAUUCAUUAACUUUGACCUUUUUGUUAUUUUAUUAUUUUAAUCAUUGAUAAUCGUUUGAAUUUCUAUGUAUGAUUUUGAUAUGCGUUUAGUGACUUUGUUAAUUUUUCGUCAUUUUUAAUUGUUAUUAAAUACCAUUAAUUAUUUGGCCGAUGAAAAUAUCUAUCCGUCGGAUACUUGAGGUCACUCCAUUACAAAUGACGAAUUUUAUUUUCAAUAGAUUGCUAUUUUAAAUCAAAAUAAAUGCUUGGCCAAUGAUAUUAUCUCUCCGUCGGAUACUUGAGGCCACCCCGUGACAAAAGAUGGAUUUUUAUUUCUCAAAGUUUACUUAUUUACAUCAAAAAUAAAUAUUUCGCCAAUGAUAUUAUCUGUCCGUCGGAUACUUGAGGCCACCUCAUUACAAAGACGGACUUUAUUUUUCUCAAGUUUAUUUAUUCAUAUCAAGUAUCAAUACAAUGGCCGAUGAAAAAUUAUUAUUAAUUUGAGGCCUCCGUAAAUAAAAGACGGACUUUACGUGUACAAAUACGUAAUAAAAUAAAUAUUUUGGGCGAUGAUGAAAAUUUAUAACAAUACAAGAUUUUACAAUUCAGAUUUUGACAAGACGAUUUAGGACGGCCAAUUAAUUGAGCAAUCACUUCGUAGUAAAAUGAUUUAGGACGGCCAAUUAAUUGAGCAACCAUUUCGCAGUCAUGACUUUAACUGAGCCCACUUUUUAACAAAAAAAUAUCUUUUUAAAUAUUUAUAUACACACAUACUUGCUCAAUUUAUUUUGAUUAUUAUUUAUUAGUUACUAACAUUUUUACAAGUAUUUAUACAGGUUAUUUGGAUUACUCGUCGAGAGUUGCAUUCAAAGAGGCCCUUUUAAUUUUGUAUUGUAUUUUUAUAUUUGUACAAAUGUUAUUAUAGUGAACACUUUAUUUUUGGGGUGUUGGGCGNNNNNNNNNNNNNNNNNNNNNNNNNNNNNNNNNNNNNNNNNNNNNNNNNNNNNNNNNNNNNNNNNNNNNNNNNNNNNNNNNNNNNNNNNNNNNNNNNNNNNNNNNNNNNNNNNNNNNNNNNNNNNNNNNNNNNNNNNNNNNNNNNNNNNNNNNNNNNNNNNNNNNNNNNNNNNNNNNNNNNNNNNNNNNNNNNNNNNNNNNNNNNNNNNNNNNNNNNNNNNNNNNNNNNNNNNNNNNNNNNNNNNNNNNNNNNNNNNNNNNNNNNNNNNNNNNNNNNNNNNNNNNNNNNNNNNNNNNNNNNNNNNNNNNNNNNNNNNNNNNNNNNNNNNNNNNNNNNNNNNNNNNNNNNNNNNNNNNNNNNNNNNNNNNNNNNNNNNNNNNNNNNNNNNNNNNNNNNNNNNNNNCUUUACAUAAUUUUAAAUAUUUAUAUUAUUUUAUAUUUAAUACAUACACUUCUACAUUAUUUUUUAUACCUCCUCCCUCUUUGAAAAAUUUAGUCUAGCCGGGUACCACACUUGUGGAUUCUGAAGGAUGCCGAACCCUUUUCCUUCGGAAUAACUUGAACCCUUACCUAGAAUCUCAAUUGGUUUUUUUGCAGACUAAAAACAUUAAUCGCAUGUUAAUACUUCAAUAGGUUUCCUUAUUUUCCUUAAAAAUUAGGUGGCGACUCUGUGCAAAUUUUCAUUCUUUUAGAGUCCAUAAUGUCGUGCUCGUUUUAACCUCAGGUAAAAAUAGGGUAUGAAACAUAUUAUCAAGCAUGAACAUUUUGAUGAUUUAAUCUAAGAUUGAUGUAUGGGUCAUUUAUCCCAAGAUUGAUUAUGGUUACUUUUAGAAAGAUGAUGCUUUAAACAUCUUGUAAACAUAUUAUUUUCAUAUUUUCAGAAAAACUUUGAUCUUUGAUCAUUAAUUUAGCUAUGGAAUCCGCUUUACAGAAUUUAAAUCAAAUUUAUUUACAGAUUUGAAAAUUUAAAUGCAUAUUUGGUUUUAGAUAAACCCGUAUGCUAGUUUUAAAAGUGGAUUUCCAACAGAAUGAGCAUAGCAAAAAAUAAGAGAGUAGUAUUUAGCACUGAGUGGGAAGUGUGGGUUUGGCGCAUUCUACUAUCACAGAACUACGUAGACAACGAAGGUACAAAGUAUCAGAUUAUUUCCACUUCUAUGUGGAUGACAGUUACUGAUGUGAUCAUUUAGCUCAGGUUAUACUCCUUGGCAAGAGUAUGACACCUCUCUCCAACAUAAGGUUUCUUUCUUAGGAAGACGAGACGUUGGACUCCAUGUUAGCUCACAUGGUUUAUGUCAGUUAAGAAAACCUUCCUUCAGAUAAAGUAAUUUCUUUAAAGCUCUAAGAUGAAGUAUUUUUUAGAUUUUAGAAACUAAGUGUAAAGGUUCACAAACUUACUCAGAUAUUACUUUACUUAAAAUUUUAGUUACAGAAUUUCAGCUUUUAGUUUUCAGACAUAAAAGAUGAACCCUUUUUCACUUAGCCUAUAUGGUUUGACAACAAGAAUAGAAUACAAAUUUUAGAACUAAGUGUAAUGGCUUACAAAAUUUCGAUUACAUGUUUUAUUAUUCAUGAUUUGACUUUCAGUUUUCAUAUUACUCAAGCUUGCGUGAGCCAUUUACAUUUAGCAUACAUGAUGUUUUCUAUAAACUGUGAUGCUAUUAUUUUCUUAUUGCAUGCACCUCCAUAUACUCAGUAUAUCAUCAAAGUACUGAUCCACAUAUACGUCUAUGUGCUAUAUUGUCUCAUAAUGUAGGUUCAGGUGCUCAGUCUCAGCAGUGAAAGUGAUUAUUGAGAAUCUCAUCUACAUCCCUGCAGUUGGUAAGUCCUCUUAGUUCGGGGACUUAGCUAUUCAGAUUUCCAGUUGCUAGUAAAUAUUUUUAUUAUUCUCUUCAGACAGUCUGAGUCAGCUGAGGCCUGUUCUAGUGACUCUCUAGAUUUAAUUAGUAGAGGCUCGUCGGACUACAAGAUUCACUCAUAGAUUUCAGAUAUCGUAUUUAGAUCAUUCACUAUUUGUUUUAUUAGAUUGAUGUGAUCAACAUUUUUCAGAUAUACUCAGACUUUUCAGAUGGUUUUUCAUAUUUGUCAAUAUCAUAUAUUUAUUUUUCCUUAUUUUGAGAUUCAGAGUUAUUUAAAGGUAGCCAGGGUUAGCUCAGGACUACUUGUAGUUUGGAGCAUAGUGUGGCAUCUUGGGAACCAAAUUUUGAGGUAUUACAAACUUGGUAUCAUAGCCUAAGGUUUAGAGAGUCCUAGGAAUUCAGACAAACCACGUUACAUAGAGUCUUGAUCAUCAGUAUGAAGCGCGCCACAUCUAUGAGCAAGAGGCUAUGGAGUAUUUUAGGAAAUCAUCUCUUCUUUCAUAAUCCAUCGUGCUUACAACUAUCUCUAUCUGCUAUUAACUCAUGCUUUUUUAUGAUAGAAUAUGCCUCCAAUUAGAUCUAAUACGCAUAUAAAUGAUAACCAACCACCUCAACUCACAGAUCCUUUGAAUGAGAAUGUGUCACAUACAGAAUUUUGUGCUGCCUUUCAAGUGCUAGACCAAGCGGUGACAGCAAAUUUUUAGGGUAACCAUUAGGCUAUAGCCCCACGUCAGCAAGAUGGGACUUAGCCACAGCUAGAAUUCAAGAUUUUAUGAGAAUAAACCCACCAGAGACCCACAACUUUAUCUAUUUAAAGUGAAGAAAAUCACCCAAAUUAUGCAUAUUUCUGAAGAAGAAAGUCUAGAGUUAGCAUCCUAUAGACUAAAGGAUGUUUCUUAUGAUUGGGUAGUGAUGUCGAAAAGAGUAUAGGGGAAAAUCCAGCUCGCAUGACUUGGAAGAUAUUUUAGGAUGUGUUCUUAGACAAGUUCUUCCCAUUUGAGAUAAGGGAAGAUAAGAUAGAAGAGUUCAUGAACCUGAGGCAGGGCUCUAUGAUAUUGAAGGAGUAUUGGCUCAAGUUUAAUCAGCUGUCUAAGUAUGCCCUUGAUCAGAUGACCGACUCUGGAACAAAUAUGAGUAAGUUUAUGAUCGGUGUGUCUGGGUUGGUGGUUAAGAAGUGUAGAACUGCUAUACUUAACAGGGACAUGAACCUUUCUAGAUUGGUGAUGCAUGAUCAGCAGAUUAAGGCAUAAAAGAUGAAAGAGAGAGAGAGAGUAAAUAAGAGGGCUAGAACAGGGCAGUUUGAUCAUGGUCAGAAUAGGUUUGGAUAAGAAAAUCAUUUGCAGUUUCAGAAUCAUUCAUCCAUGACUGCAGCUUCUUCAGCUAGUGCUCCUGCACCCAAAAAUAGGUAGGAACAGUGAGGUAACUCAUCUAUGCCCAGAUCUCAAAGUAGUGUGGGUGGUAGGCCCAGUUAUCCUCAGUGUUCUAAGUGUGGUAAAAAUCAUCCUGGCGAGUAUUUGGUUGGUCAGAAAGGUUAUUUUGGGUGUGGUAAGUUGGGCCACAACAUUCGAUAUUGUCUGCAUGCUAGACAGCGAAAUAGGGAAGAACACCCUCAAACUUAGGCUAAUAGUGCACUAGCUCCUCUAGGUCGCUCAGCCCCUUCUUAGGGUGCUUCAUCCAGUACUGGUAGCGGUUAGUACCAAAAUUGGUUCUAUGCUUUACCAUCGCUCCAGGAGCAGGAGGAUUCUCCAGAUGUUAUUAUCAGUAUGCUUCGUGUCUUUUAUUUUGAUGUUUAUGUGUUGUUAGACCCUAGGUCGAGUUUCUCUUAUGUGACCUCAUUAGUUACAGCAAAUUUUGAGGUAAGUUUCAAAAAAAUCCCUGAGCCUUUCCUGGUUUCUAAUCCAUUAGGUGAGUCAGUUGUUGCUAAGCGAGUCUAUAAAAAGUAUUCUACCACUGUUCUUCAUAGAGUCAUGUUAGCAGAGUUGAUAGAGUUAGACAUGGUUGAUUUUGAUCUUAUUAUUGGUAUGGAUUAGCUCCAUUCCUAUGAUGCUUCUAUAGAUUGUCGCACCUGAGUGGUGAAGUUUCAGUUUCCAGAUGAGCCAGUCUUUGAGUAGGAAGGUAAUUCAGUGUCUCCGAAGAGUCAUUUCAUAUCUUAUCUUAAAGCCAGAAAGUUGAUUUUCAAAGGUUGCAUCUAUCAUCUAGUUUGAGUUAAAGAUACUAAGUCUGAGACUCCAACAGUUCAGUCAGUCAAUAUAGUGAAUGACUUUCCUGAUAUUUUCCCAGAAGAUCUCCCAGGGGUGCCUCUCAAAAGGGAAAUAGAAUUCGGUAUUAACCUUUUUCCUGAUACUCAGCCUAUUUUUAUCCCUCCAUAUCGUAUGGCUCUCACAGAGCUUAAAGAUUUGAAAGAGCAACUCAAAGAUCUUUUAGAUAAGGGUUUCAUAAGGCCUAGUAUUUCUCCAUGGGGCGAUCCCCGUCCUAUUCUUGAAACAAAAGAUGUUUCUUUGUGAAUGUGCAUUGACCAUCAGCUAAAUAAGGUAACCUAUUUGACCUAUUUGACCAAUUGCAAGGUGCAAGUUAUUUCUCAAAGAUAGACCUUAGAUCCUGCUAUCAUUAGCUUAAAGUAAGGGAAUGUGAUAUUCCAAAGAUAGCUUUCAGAACUCGUUAUGGUCAUUUUGAGUUUCUAAUCAUGUCUUUUGGGCUAACUAACGCCCCAGCAGCUUUCAUGGACCUCAUGAAUCAAGUGUUCAAACAAUAUCUAGACAUGUUUAUAAUAGUAUUCAUAGAUGAUAUCCUUGUAUACUCCCGCAGUGAGGAUGACCAUGCAGACCACCUUAGAAUUGUCUUGCAAACUCUUAGAAAGCAUUAAUUGUUUGCCAAAUUCAGGAAGUGUGAAUUUUGGCUAAGGUUAGUCGCGUUUCUCAGUCAUAUUGUUUCCGCCGAUGGCAUUAGAGUUGAUCCUCAAAAGACAGAACCCGUAAAAAAUUAGCCUAGACCUAUCUCUCUAUCAGACAUUAGGAGUUUCCUGGGUUUAGCUAGCUAUUACCACCGUUUUAUUGAAGGUUUCUCAUUUAUUGCGUCUCCUAUCUAGAUUGAUCCAAAAGAAAGUUAUGUUCUUGUGGUUGGACUCCUACUGGGAGAGUUUUUAGGAGUUAAAGACUCGACUUACUUCAACCUCACUCUUAGCAUUACCUAAUGGUACAGAUGGCUUUAUUGUUUAUUGUGAUGCCUCUAGAGUUAGUUUGGGUUGUGUGUUAAUGCAGAGAGGUAAGGUCAUAGCCUUUGCCUCUUGACAGUUGAAGCUUCAUGAAAAAAAUUACCCAACCCAUAAUCUGGAAAUAGCUGCUAUGGUAUUUGCUUUGAAAAUCUGGAGACAUUAUCUAUAUGGUGUACAUGUUGAUGUGUUCACGGACCAAAAAAGUUUGUAGUAUGUGUUUACGCAGAGGGAUUUGAAUCUUUGUCAGAGAAGGUGGUUAGAGUUGUUGAAAGAUUAUGAUAUGAGUGUGUUGUAUCAUCCGAGAAAGGCUAAUAUAGUGGCAGACGCCCUUAGUAGAUUGUCUAUGGGUAAUGUUGCCCAUGUGGAGAAAGAUAAGAAAGAGUUAGCUUGAGAAGUUCAUCAUUUAGCUAGAUUGGGUGUUAGGUUGGUUGACUCAGCUAAAGGUAAUAUUUGGGUUCAAAGUAGUUUCGAAUCUUCCUUAGUUUUGAAUGUAAAGGAGAAAUAAGACAUUGAUUCUAGUUUGGUCAAACUGAAGGAAUUGAUUAAAUACCAAAAGGUAGAGGUUUUCUCCCAAGGGGGAGAUGGUGUGUUGAGAUACCAGAGUAUAUUAUGUGUGCCUUGUGUUGAUGAUUUGAGGCAGCGGAUUAUGGCGGAAGUGCAUAGUGUACGGUAUUCUAUUCAUCCAGGUGCUACCACGAAGUACCGCGACUUUUGAGAAAUCUAUUGGUGGAGUGGUAUGAAAAAAGAUAUAGCAGAAUUUGUAGCCAAGAGUGAAACUUGUAAAUAGGUUAAGGUGGAGAACCAAAGACCUAGUGGUAUGUUGCAAGAGUUUGGUAUCCCCACCUAGAAGUGGGAAGAGGUGAAUAUGGAUUUUGUGACUAGUUUACCCCAAUCGCGUCGUCAUCAUGACUCGAUUUGGGUUAUUGUAGACAGAUUGACUAAGUUAGCGCAUUUCUUGCCAGUUCACAUGUCCUAUAUAGUUGAAGAUUAUGCCAAGUUGUAUAUCCGAGAGUUAGUCAGAUUUCAUGGAGUUCCCUUGUCUAUCAUUUCAGAUAGGGGUACUCAGUUCACUUUCCAGUUUUGGAAAUCCUUUCAGAAGGGUCUUGGUUCCCAAGUCUACCUUAGCUCAGUUAUUCACCCUUAGACAGACGAUCAGGAAGAGAGGACCAUCCAAACUCUAGAAGAUAUGUUGAGGGCAUAUGCUCUUGAUUUCAAGGGUAGUUGGGAUAAGCAUUUUCCAUUGAUUGAGUUCACUUAUAAUAAUAGUUAUCAUGCUAGCAUUCGAAUGGCUUCGUUUAAGGCUCUUUAUAGGAUGAGAUGUAGAUCACCCAUAGGUUAGUUUGAAGUGGGUGAGGCCAUUUUUCUUGGGCCUGAUGCAGUGUUUGAGGCCAUGGAGAAAGUUAAGUUGAUUAGAGAAAGAUUAAAAAUAGCCCAGAGUCGUCAGAAAUCCUAUGUAGAUAUGAGAAGAAGGGACCUCAAGUUUGAGGUUGGUGAUUUUACGUAUCUGAAGAUUUCACCCAUGAAAGGGGUGAAGAGAUUUGGCAAGAAAAGAAAUCUUAGUCCCCGAUAUGUUGGCCCUUAUAGAAUUUUAAGUCGUGUUAGGGAAGUAGCUUAUGAGCUUGAGUUGCCCACAGACUUGUCAUCCGUUUAUCCUAUGUUCCACGUCUCCAUGCUUAAUAAGAGUAUCGGUGACUCUACCAUUGUAUUUCCUUUAGAAAGAUCCUAUAUUUAGAACAGCCUUUCGUACGAAGAGAUUCCAGUUGAGAUUUUAGAUUACCAAAUUCGUAGACUAAGGAACAAAGAAGUUUCCUUGGUCAAAGUUCUUUGGCAGAAUCAGUUGGUUGAGGGAGCCACUUGGGAAGCAGAAGAAGAUAUGCGAGCCAAGUACCCUCACUUUUUCUCUGCAGACUUAGAUUUAGCCGAAGGUAAUACUCUUCCUUAACUUAGUUUCUUUCUAAUCACAGAUUCAGCUAUAUAAUCGUCUUCAUGUAAGUUCAUGCACUCACAGAUUACUCAGAAGCUUAGAAUGAUUUAGAUUCAGUUGCUCAGUUCACUUCAGUUGUGCAUGCUAUCUUAUUUCUUAGAUUCCUCAGAAAUUUCAUCUUAACUAGUCACAUUCGAUAAUGAAUGUUUCAAAGGGGUAGAUAUUGUAAUACCCCGCGAUUUUUCCUAGCUUAAACUCGUCCUAAAAAUGACUAGGAGUAGCUUAUAGAAUGAGUAAUGCUUAUUUCGUAUGGAAUUCUUCAGAUUUGGACUUUUUAUGGCGUAUAAAUUUGAAUUAGCUUCCCAACGAUAUAAGAUUCACCUAAAUCUGAUAACCGGGUAAGAAGUUAUGGCUAUUUAAAGUUCAAGUCGCGAAACACCGUCAUUUAGACCCUUAGCACGCCGCGAAGUAGUGUCAAAUCUCAAUUGUCAUUUUCCAAUGGCCUUCCGCCAUAUUGGUGCAUCUUGGAGAGGGCCAAUUUUCCAGUUGUCAAUUUCCAAAGGUCCAGCGCAAUAAUGGCGCGUCACGCUAUGUGCCAAAAUGUCAUUCCAAAGGGGCACCGCGAUGGCUCCACAUCGCAGAGUCUACCCAGUUCCUAUUUGUCAAUUUUUAGUGAGCCACCGCGAUAGUGGCACAUCGCAGUGGCCACCCAGAUAGGGAAAAAAUACGUUUUCCAGUUCCAUUUAAGAAUUUAAAAGGGGUAUUUUGGUAAAUCCCCUAAUCCUCAAUCCAUCCAAAAACAUAAGAUUACUCAAAUAUCAAAGCACUUUAUGCCCUAUUUAUCAUUCUCCUCAAAGCAAAACCCUAGUUCAUAAUACUUCCUCUCUAAGAAACUCAGAAUUCCUCUGUUAAUUCUCCAAGAUAGUUCAAAUUUAAGGAUUCCCAAUACAAGAACACUAAGAAUUCAUCUCCAAAGCAUCAAUAGGAAUCCAAGAUUCAAGUCUUUCAUCAAAGAUCAUCAAUUAAGGUAUGUGGGGUUUGAACAAGGAUAAUUUUUUCAUUCUUGUGUCCAAAACUUUGUUUUAAUUUCAAACUUUCUGAAUUAUAUAUGAUUUUCCAUGAAUUUUAAGUUGGGGUUUAUGCCCAUUAUCAUUAUUUGCAAGAUUAUGAGAUUUUUCAUGAUUUAGAAGUUGAAUUACAUGAUUAUGUUUAUGUUUCCAUGUAUAUUGCUUAAAUUUCUAGAUUUUGAGUUGAUUUAUCAAUAAUCAUAAUAUCAAACAUGAACAUUUUGAUGAUUUAACAUAUGAUUGAUGCAUGGGUUAUUCAUUCCAAGAUUGAAUAUGGUUACUUCUAGAAAGAUGAUGCUUUAAGCAUCUUGUGAACAUAUUAUUCAGAUUUUUAGAAAAACUUUGAUCGUUGAUCAUCAGUUUAGCUAUGGAAUCCAUUUUGUAGAAUUUAGAUCAGCUUUAUUUAUGAUUUAAAAAGAUAAAUAUAUAUUUAGUUUUAUAUAAACCCUUAAGCUAGUUUUAAAAGUGGAUUUCCAACAGAAUGAGCAUAGCAAAUAAUAACUGAGUAGUAUUUAGCAUUGAGUGGGAAGUGUGGGUUUAGUGCAUCCUACUGCCACAGAACUACGUAGCCAACGUAGGUACAAAUUAUCAAAUUAUUUCCGCUUCUCUGCGGAUGACAGUUACAGAUGUGAUCACUUAGCUCAUGUUAUACUCCUUGGCAAGAGUAUGACACCUCUCCCUAAUGUGAGGUUUCUUCUUUAGAAGGAUGAAACGUUGGACUCCAUAUUAGCUCACAUGGUUUAUGUCGAUUAAGAGAAACUCCCUUCAGAUAAACUAAUUUCUUUAAAGCUCUAAGAUGAAGUAGUUUCCAGAUUUUAGAAACUAAGUGUAAAGGCUCACAAACUUAAUCAGAUAUUACUUUACUUAAGAUUUUAGUUACAGAAUUACAGCUUUUAGUUUUCAGACAUAAAAGGUGAGCCAUUUUCACUUAGCCUAUAUGAUUUGAGAACAAGAACAGAAUAUAGAUUUCAGAACUAAGUGUAAUGGCCCACAAGAUUUAGAUUACAUGUUUUAUUAUUCAUGAUUUGAAUUUAAAUUUUUAUAUUACUCUAGCUUAUGUGAGUCAUUUACAUUUAGCAUGCAUGAUGUUUUCUAUAAAUUGUAAUGUUAUUGCUUACUUAUUGAAUGCACCCCCAUAUACUCAGUACAUCAUCAAAGUACUGAUCCACAUAUACGUCUAUAUGUUAUAUUAUCUCAUAAUGUAAGUUCAGGUACUCAGUCUCAUCAGCGAGAGUAAUUUUUGAGCAUCUAAUCUACUUCCCUACAGUGGGUGAGUCCUCUUAGUUCGGGGACUUAGCUAUUCAAAUUUCCAAUUGCUAGUAAAUAUUUUUAUUAUUCUCUUCAGACAGUCUGAGUCACUUGGGACCUAUCCUAGUGACUCUCUAAAUUCAGUUAGUAGAGGCUUGUCGGACUACGAGAUUCAGUCUUAGAUUUCAAAUGUCGUAUUUAGAUCAUUCAGUAUUUAUUUUAUUAGAUUGAUGUGAUCAUCAUUUUCAGAUAUACUCAGACUUUUCAGAUGGUUUUCUGUAUUUGUUAGUACCAUAUAUUCAUUUUUUCCUAUUUUGAUCUUCAGAGUUAGUAGAAGGUAUCCAGGGUUAUCUUGGGACUACUUGUAGUUCGGAGCACUGUGUGGCAUCUCGGGAGCUAGAUUUUGAGGCAUUAUAGGAACCUUUUCAAAGUCCAUCAGAACUGGAAGUUUACAGAAGUUAAUUAGGUUUAGCUCAUACAAGGGAUAACAGUUCAGCUAAAAUUUGGAUAUUCUGGAAUGAUAAAUGGGAAUAAAUGGGUUUAACAGACUCAAUACAACAACUGACAAUGGAAUACAAGCUAAGGGGAAGAAAUGUCAGUUUCAAGAUCACAGUUGUGUAUGCUAGAUGUAGUAGCCUGGACAGACUGGAAUUAUGGGAAGAUUUGGAAGAUAUUGCAAUGAAUACUCAAGUUCCUUGGUUAGUUGGAGGUGAUUUUAACACUAUACUAGAUGAUUCAGAAAAACUAGGUGGGUUACCAGUGACACAACAGGAAAUAAGUGAUUUUUCUUAGUGUAUAGUUGCUUGUGCACUAAAUAAAUUGAAGUUUACAGGAAGAAUAUUUACAUAGUGGAAUGGCAGAAUUCAGGAGGAUUGCAUUUUUAAAAGAUUGGAUAGAGUUUUUGCUAAUAAUAUGCUUUUGGAGAUAAUACCAUACUGUGAAGUUCACUAUUUAAUCAGGCAGGGGUCAGAUCAUGCACCCCUUUAUGUUACCUAUAACACUGAUCAAGUUCAGGUGAAGAAGUCUUUUAGGUUCCUAAAUUCUUAUACCAAGCAUAAAGACUUUCAGAUGAUAGUGCAAGAUAGUUGGAAGGACAAUAUCAUGGAAUCCCCUUUUUAUUUAGUGCAUGAAAAAUUUGUGGUGUGGAUUAAAGAGAUUUAUGGUGACAUCUUUCAAAAAGUUGCAACUCUUGAGGAUAUGAUAAAGGAUAAGGAAGCUCAAUUCAAAAUCCAUCCAUCCCUUGAAAAUAGAGAGAAAUUGAGCAAGGCAGAGGCAAAUCUAAAAAGAAUGUUGAAGAUUGAGGAGGAGUUCUGGAAACAAAAGGCUGGGAUGAAAUGGUUUAAAGAUGGAGACAGGAACACUAAAUUUUUUCAUUCAUAUGUCAGAGGCAGUAGAAGGGAAAUACGAAUUGCAGAGAUACAAACAUAACAAGGGGAUGUUAUAACAACUCCACAUAAUAUUGGAGAGGAGGCAAUAAAUGUCUUCAAGGAGCAGUUUAUGGAAUUAUAGAAUUUUGUACAACAUGAGAUUCUCAAUUACAUCAACAAAACCAUUAUUGAUGAUUAGAAUAAAAGAAUGGAAAGGAUUCCAAACAAAGAGGAGAUUAAAUAGGUGGUUUUAUCUUUAAAUUGGGAGAGUGCAAGUGGACCAGAUGGUUUUUCAGGAAAAAUUUUCAGAGUUGCUGGAAUAUUAUUAAGAAAGAUAUCACUAAAUUGGUCAAAAUUUUCUAUAGUAGAAGUGAAUUACCCAGGUGUAGUACUCAUACCAAUUUAGUCUUAAUUCUAAAAAAGGAGAUAGUGAUACUUAUGGUGAUCUGAGACCUAUUAGUCUUUGUACUUUUGUUAACAAAAUAAUUUCUAAGGUAAUUCACUUGAGAAUUGUGAAAGUUCUGCCAAACAUAAUCUUUAAUAAUCAAUCUGGGUUUGUAAAGGGAAGAAGCAUCACUAAAAAUGUGCUACUUCCCAAGAAAUUAUUAGAGAUAUAAACAGAAGGAAUAAAUUUCAUAAUGUUGUGGUGAAAUUGGAUAUGAAAAAGGCUUAUGAUAGGGUCUCAUGUAAAUUUUUAGUGGUGGUUCUGAGGAGGUUUGGUUUCUCAAAAAGAGUGAUUGUUAUGGUAGUGAGGUUGGUUAGUAAUAAUUGGUAUUCGGAGCUUAUGAAUAGGCAAUCAUAUGGUUUCUUUCAAUCAUGAAAGGGUUUGAAGCAGGGUGAUCCAUUGUCACCAACUUUAUUUAUCAUAUCAACUGAAGUUCUAUCAAGAAGCUUAAAUGAACUCUUUAUUAAUUCGGAAUUCAAAGGGUAUAGUAUGCCAAAGUGGAGUCCUGAUAUUAAUCUUCUAGCUUAUACAGAUGACACUAUUCUAUUUUGCUCUAGACAUACUUACUCAAUUAAGAAGAUGAUGGGGGUUUUGAGAAGAUAUGAGGAAGUCUCGGGACAGAUGAUUAACCAUGAAAAAAGUUUGAUUUAUUUUCAUAGAAGAUUCCUAAUAGAGUCAGCAGCAAGAUAAGGAGGAUUACUGGAAUAAGACAAGGUAAAUUCCCUUUUACAUACUUAGGAUGUCCUAUUUUCUAUGGCAGAAAGAAUAAAGGACAUUUUGAAGAAUUGAUCAAGAAGGUAACUAAGAGACUUCAUGCUUGGCAGAAUAAAUAACUUUUUUAUGAGGGAAGAUACAACUUAAUUGAUCAUGUCUUACAAUCCAUUCCCAUCUACACUUUCAGCCAUGAAUCUACCAAUUAGUGUCAUCAAUCAGCUUCAUAAGAUUUUUGAAAAGUUUUUUUGGGGUAAUGCCACAGGAGCAAAGAAUAAAUAUUGGGUGAGUUGGGAGAAAAUAUGUCACCCAAGGAAUGAAGGAGGACAGGGAUUUAGAUCUUUGCAUGAUAUGUCCAAAGCUUUAUUUGCAAAACUUUGAUGGAUAUUAAGAACUUCAACAUCUUUACUUUGGUUUCAUUCAUGUGGAAUAAGUAUUGUAAAAGAUUACAUCCUUUAAUCACUAAAGGAUUUAGAGCCUCUUAUGUAUGGAGAAAAAUGAUUUUGGUGAGUGAAGAGGUGGAAACUAAUAUAUGGUGGCAAGUAAAGGCUGGCAACUUAAGCUUUUUGUAUGAUAAUUAGAAUAAACAAGGAGCUCUAUAUUAUGUAGAAGAUGAGAAUAUUCAAGAUGAGGAAAUUGAAAUUAGAAAUUUUGUCAAAAAUGGAUAUUGGGACAGACAGUUACUCUUAUUAGCUAUAUCUGAAAAAUGGUGGAUCUUAUUGUGUAAAUAGUAAAACCUCCAGUGAAAGGGUUUCAAAAUGAUACUUCCUAGUGGAUGGGAAAUACCAAUGGUCUUUUUACUAUCAAGUCUGCCUGGAACUGUAUCAGGAAAAGAAAAGAGAAAAGAAGAGAUUAUGAGUUCAUUAGGAAUAAAAAGUUUCCUUUUAAAUACAACUUCUUUCUUUCGAGGGUGUGGAUCAGAAGAAUUCCAACAGAUGAUAAUCUAAAGAGAAUGAAAAUUUAGUUGGUAUCAAGAUAUUGUGCUGUGACUCUAAAAAUGAGGAGACAAUGGACCAUGUUUUACUAACAGCCUCUGUAGUCAAUAGGCUUUAGAGGCAGUUUUGCUCAUUUUACAGGUAUACAUAUGGAGAACAUGCAACUAAAGCAAUCAAUUGUGUCAGGGUGGAAUAAGGAAUCCAAUCCAAAACUGACAAGGAUUUUCAAAGCAUUACCAGCCAUAAUUAUGUGGACAUUAUGGAGGAGAAGAAAUUGCAUAAAACAUGGAGGCUCUAUGUCGUUUACAAGGCUGGUAGAACAAGUACAGGAAGUGAUUAAGAAGAUGAUUAAUAGCUUAUUUCCUUGGAUUAAAAUAAAUUCACAGACAUGGCCAGAGGUAGUUGAAAUAUUAGGAGUUUACAAACCUAAGAUCCAUUAUCAUAAGGUAGUAUGGUCAAAGCCAGGAGUUGGAUAGGUUAAAUACAACAUAGAUGGAGCUAGCAAGGGCAAUUCGGGAUUGAGUUCUUAUGGCUUUUGUAUUACAGAUGACAAAGGUGACUUGAUUUAUGCUAGAGCUAAAGGUUUGGGGGUUUGUACUAACACCAUAGCUAAAGCUUUGUCUAUCAAGAAGGCUUUGGAAUACUGUCAUGAAGUAAACCUUAAGGAUUUUGGUAAUACCCCAAUUUUCUAAACCGAAAUGCUACACGGUGCUCAUGACCCCAAAGGACCACAAGCUAACCCAUGACUGAUAUCUGUACCUGUAUACUACAUAAAAUACUAAAAAAUACAUAAACAUGUACUAAACGGCCAUAAGGUUUAAAUCUAAAUAAACAUCAGAUAUGAACAAUGUCUAAAAGUGAUAUAACAAUACCAAAACAAAUCUGAAAUAACUGUCUGACAUGCUAUAGUCUUAAAGACUCUAAACUGUCUGAAUAAGGAGUUGAUGGAAUAUGUCCCCAACUAACUCCAUCUACUAAAAUAAUUAAGUACUGAAAGAAUGAACUAAUCAAAUACUAUUAUCCUCGAAUGAUGAGGACUUACUGCUAACUCUGUCUGCUGAAAUCUGAAAUACUAUUGAUGCUCUGGAGCUCGUUCUUCUAAACCUAUGGUAUAAGACACUAUAGCACAAAUGCUUCAGUACUUUGAAUGUACUGGUAUGCAAGUAAGGUAGGCUAAAUUCAAAGGGUUAUAUGAAUGAACAAUGCUGACUGAUAUGAACGUGAGAAUACAUACAUACAUAAGUGAAUGUAACUAAACUCGUGGUGAUACUGACUACGGAGUCUGAAUAUUGACAACAUGAGCUUACUGAUACUGAGAUACUGAUUGAUUGAUUUUACUGAUAUUAAUAUGUAAGUCACUUAUAAGUAGGCAACUAAUACUAUAUUGUUGAAUACUAAAGGACUGAAAUUAUAUUACUGAUACAUGAAUAACUAUUUCUGAUAGUUCUAAUUAUGAAGAACUGGCAUGGUUUACUGUAUCUGAUAGUCUAAUUAUAAAGAAUUAAUUUGAUUGAUUGUAUCUGACAGCUAUGAAUAUGAAGAAUUGAUAUGCUUGACCGUAUCUAAUAGUCCUAAAUGUGAAUACUGAUAAUAUGAGUUUUGAUAACUGAUAACAUUAGUGACUGUAUCUGACAGUCCUAAAUCUGAUGGAACUAACUGAGUUCCGUACUAUAUCUGAGUUAACUGUAUCUGACAGUCAUAAAAUUUGAAGGACUAUCUGAGUUCUUUUACUGAGACUGAGAAUGAAAAUGAAACUGAGACUGUGGGAAGUAGCCAUCUAACUGACAUGCCUUGAAUCUGAACUGGUGGGGUUCAACCUAUAACUCCAGCUGGAAGGGUAUCAAUACCAUGCCACGAGUAGAGACAACAUGUGAGUAAACCCUAUUCUGUUUAGGAGCUCUUUUCGUCUUCCCUUACUAUCAGGUAAACUCAAAUGAGAUGUAUUAUCCCUAUGUGUAGAGACAUCUCAACCUACGCUGGCUACGUAGUUCUGGAACUUAGGGAUUGCUUCUAGGGAUCUCAGUCCUAUCUAGCAGGUGAGUCCCCAUCCCUAGGCUCACUCGAUGCUGAAUCCUACUCCCAACUGAAGGACACUGAACUGAUUAGCUGAGCUGAACUGAUUAACUGAAUUAAAAUGAUUAGCUAAACUAAUGUUAGUGGGAUUAUUUAGUGGAGCUAAAUUGAGUUUACUAAGUUUCGUUGACUGACGGAAUGUACUGAUGUAUGAGGAUUAACUGAGAGUACUGUAGUUAUUGAGUUUUACUUGGAAUACUUCUGAAUUCUACUUUCUAUCUGAAUAAGGCUGAACUUUACUAGCUGAUGAGGUUACUGAGGUUCUAAACUGAAUACUUACUGAGACAUGAUAACUAGCUGAGAUUACUGAACUACUGAAACUACUGAGAUUUCUGAGUUUUCCUGAGUGACAUGACUAACUGAAUUCUAUGGAUCAUGGCUUGACUGAGAGUAUCGUGAUAACAUGACAUGGCUCUGGGCACACAGCUAUAUUUUUUGGGUAUGAGUACCCCCAGAACUCGAUGGAAGGAAACUAACAAACAUGAAUUUCUUUAAUGCAUGACCAACAUCAACAUUCCAUAAUAUCAUAACUUGGGAAAUUUCAUGAAGUACAUGGUUAUCAUACAUCUUUUACAUAAGUGGGAUUCUUGCAAGUAAGUAUAGCAUAAUCUCAUAAGACUAGUUCAUGAACAAUCCAACAACAUUUACAAGACACAAUAUCAACAUGAAAAUCAUUGGAGCAUAGGGGCAUAUCAUGAAUCCUUUACUUAGUCACAAUUUAGCUAUAUUGCAUGAUAUCUAGUUUCUUAGGCAUUUUAUCAAGCACCUUACAUGCACAAUUUUGGGCAUAGGUAUAUUUAUCAACAUAACAAUCUUAAUCCAUCUAAAAUUCAUGGGUACAACUAUCCUACUCAUAUGCUUCAUGAAAACAUAUCAAGAUACAACCUUGAACUAAAAUAAUAAUCAUCAACAUGAAUAUAGUCAUAACACAACAAGAAAAUCACAAUUUAUAAUUUAAAAUAUGAUUCUUGAGCUCUAUGGAUGAAAGGUAUCCAUGGAUGAACACUACGAAUACUUUAAAGCUUGAUCUUGAAAGAGAUCUAAUGUUUCUUGGAGGUUCCUGAAGAAAUCCUUAGGCUUGCUCUUGAUUUUUCUUGACUAGGGUUUAACCCCUUUUGGAGUGAAUGUUCUUGUUCUUGAGGAGAUGAUCUUGAGAGAAAACCCUAAUCUUGUGGUUGAGAGUGUAUGCAAGAAUUUUUGAGAUGUUUAACUGAAGAAAAAUAGGAGAAAGUUACGUCCCUUGAGGGUUUUAAGUCGUGGAAAGUGAAGAAAAAGAUCAAAAUACCCUUACGAAACCACUUCCUAAUUGCUGAAUUUAUCAGCUGACAACCAAGGUUGAUAAGCCGUCAAAUCCUUGAUAGCCCGUCAGCCCAGGUAGUCACCUGGGAGCUGAAAUUUUUGGAUUUCUGCCUAGGCCUGAAGACAUUCGUGAUAAGCCGUUAGGCUUGUGAUAAGUUAUAAUAAAAUGUCGUCACUCAGUUUUCGAGCCUGAUAUGCUGGAGUAAAAUGGGCAUAACUCUUUGCUAUGAUAUCGAAUUUAGGAAAAAUUGGUAUCGUUGGAAAGAUAAUUCAACUAUAUAUAUUUUAGUAGGUCAUGAGCACAACAAUUCGAAGUAUAAAGAGAUAUAUUCUCAUUUGAAGUUGACUAUAGCAAUAUCCUUCCCAAGAAUUCAAUCGGUAAGGAAUGUUUUGAUUCGUUUGAUAGUUGGGAGUUAUUUGAAGACUUAAUAUACAUCUAACUUGCUCAUAAAAUUAUGACAAAAUCAUGAUGUAAUAUACGUGAGCUUGAAACAUGGCACUAAUAUUGGUUUGGACUUUUCGGAGUAUUAUAAUUUUAUACUGGAAACAAACUCUUUAUGCCUUAAAAAUAUGAUUUCGAAGCAAUGGAAAAUUCCCUGGGAAGUUGCUGAAAUUAUGGAAAACAUCAAAAAUUUUGUUCAUGUCCUUAAUAUUACAAUUUCUCACAUUUUCAGGGAAGGGAACACAGUUGCUGACUCACUAGCAAAUGAGAUUAUUGAAUCACAAGGACAAAAGGACUAACAUGUUUUUCAACAACUUCCAACACAGAUAAGGAAAUAAUUAAACAUAGAUAAAUACCAAAUUCUACAACUUUGAAUCAAGACUCGUAGGAUAGUGCAACAAUGAAGAUAGAUAACAGUAGUUAUUUACCCCAUAAAACUUUAACAUCAUUCACAAGUCAUCAAGCAAGAAGUAAAGGAAAGAAACAACACAGAAGAGUAAGUUUUAAUGUAUGCCCGAAAGAAGGAAUGAGAUCUGUGUUAAGCAAAGUUAGAUGUACUACACUAGCUAUAAAUUCUACACCAAAAAGUGGGGAAGAUAUCCAGCAUCUUCAACCAACAUAUGGACACAUCUGGGUGAACUGGAGAGAAUCUGAUCGUACAUGGUCAAAACCACAUAAAGAUGAGUGCAAGAAAUUACAGAAAAAGCUAAAAAUGAAGACAAGUCAGAGAGAGAUUCAAGCACCUGAUGAGAGUGAGGUACAUAAGUAGAGCAGUAGCAAAAGUAGCAAUGGAUUCACUCGAAACAUCACCUAAAAGAGGAAGACAUGUAGCUGGAGUUCCAUCAGCAACAUUGUUGAAGACGGCGAUGAGCUUCAAAAAAAAGUACUUAGUACUUUUGUAUUAGCCUUUUAUCUAAUAGAAAAAUUAGGAAACCUUUUCAAUUUCCAAUUUUCGGACCCAAUCUUGGAUUGGACCAGGUCCUUUUUUGUGCUUUGGAUUUUUGUAAACUUGGCCAAUGGGCUUCUUAUUGAUAAAAUGGUCUAAAAGAUCAACAAAAAUUCAUCUAAAAAAAAACUAAUUCUGGUCGGGAACCACAUUUGUGAAUUCUCAAUGGUGCCUAAUCCCUUCCCUUUGGAAUAAUUUGAACCCUUAUCUGGAAUCUAAAAUAAUUUUGUAGACUAAAAUAAAGUCAGACUUGUUAAUAAAUAAAUAGGUUUCCUUAUUUUUCUUAAAAAUUAGGUGGCGAAUCUGUACAAAUUAAUUCUUUUUAGAGUCCAUAAUGUCGUGCUAGUUUUGAACUUAGGUAAAAAAUGGGUAUGACAGUUUGGCGACUUUGCUGGGGAUUGCAAUGUUCUAACCAUUACAGAUUUAGGUAAAUAUUUUUAAUUUUUCGACAUUAUUGUUUGUUUCUUUCUAAUUGACUUGAUUUAUCUUGUUUGUAUGGCAAAAAAUUGUUAUUUGUUUUAUAUAGCUUAUUUACUUAUUUAUUGCUUUAUAUAAACUGUCAUUCCGUUCAUAUUUUUUCCAUUUGGGAAAGCUGACACAAUCACACAUACAAGUGAGGUGUGUUUUUCGCACCCGUAAAUUUCUUUCAAAAUCCUAAAGUUUAGGAGAGUUGGUGUAUGUGCGGGGUGUUCAAAUCUUUUUCUGUGUGCCCAUGUAGCCUUCUCACUUGUGUAGUCUGCUCGACUCACUCUUAGUCGAACAUAGGAUAAAGUUAAAACAACAACUUUUAGGCACAUGCAUCAGUAGUCAACUUUAUGUUCUAAGGGUUGACAAUCCACGUGACACAUUAUUAUAGUCUUUGUACAUAUUUGAAGGAUUAUUGUAUCUGUACUUAUUCAUUUGUUCUAAAUUGUUUAUUCUUUUGUGGGAAGGCAUAACCUAAUCUUUGUUUUGCAUGGUUGAUCAGUUAAAAGAUACACCUUACCAACAUCGCCACUAGUUACGUAUGAGUUUGAACUACGUUUUGACCUGAUUCUUGUCCUGAAAAGAUACGUAGGCAACCCUGCAUUAGGGUUUGAUCUCUUCACUAUUUUAGAAUAAUUUCUCAGGUAUUCAAACUGGAGCAAUUUUCUGAAACAGUUCAAAGACGCUCUCCAAAAGCCUUCAAGAACGCAAUUUAAUAUCUCCUCAAAUCCAAAUCACAUUAACAUUAGUGCCAAUCCAACCUAUCUCCAGAUCUUCACCCGAUUUUGAUGUAAGAAUAUCUAGCUUUUUCUUUCGAACGUCGUAAACCAUUAAAUUUAUGACGUAUCAAUCCUCACUUUCAAAAGCAAGAGUUCAAUAUUUUUUCAGUUAUAAUAAUUCUGCCAACUGCGGUGAAAUAAGGCCAUAAUUUCUUCAAUAGAUCUUUUUUAGUUUUGUCAGCAUAUUAAAGUUGUGUUAAAGCUCUCCCCAUGCUUUACAUCCACUCUUUUGAUUAUUUGAUCAGAACAAUUUUGAUGCAAAAAGUAAUUCUUUUCUGAUCUUCUUUCACAUUAUUUUUAUGAAUAACCAUUAAUUUAUUUUACAAUCAUACAUUGUACAUAUAAAUUUGCAAAUUUGCCCGAACUACACAGAUCUGAUUCUUGUUUCACAACACAAGAUACGUAGGCAACCCUCAUUUGAGUUCGGUCCAAUUCUUUUUUAAAAAAUAAAAAAAUUGACUUGGUUAGUACCAAUACAGUUAGGAGUAUGCAUGAUGUCGCGCCUCAUUUUCCUCGUAGAAAGAGGUAUUCGACGUGACCACUCUUUUUGGGAUUAUUUUGAAGGUAGAGUGUGAAAAGUCACCACCUAACGAAUUAAGGUGCGUUAGGGCACCGGUUUAGACUACUACGAACCUAUUUUUAUUGUUUAGUCUUAGUUCACUAGAGUUUGGGUAAGGUUUAAAAUUACUUCGAAAGGAAGGAGUUAGGCACCUUUCGAGCUCCACAAAAAUGGUUCCCGGCCGAAUUCAUACUUUACGUGGGGAUUCUAUGUGAUCAAAUAAGGCUUCUUGUUUUAUUAUUAAUUUAAUGUUAACUAAGUGGUAAAGUAAUGAAUAAACAAGCACAAGUCAUUUUAUUCUUCCUAAUUAUUAAUUAUCUAAGCAAUAAAAAUCAGUGAAAUACGUAAAUAAGACAAACAAAGGGAGAGAGUGAUAUAAAUUAUAACAAAAAUUAUUAAGCAAGGGAAAAAAUUUAAACUACCCCAAAUAAAUAAAGAAAUAAGAAAAAUACACAGUAACUAACUUAUUUUGAUAGAGAACUAUAUUCAAAACUUGAAAAAUAAAGAGUUAUUGUUUCUUAAAAAAAAUGUUUAUUGCUUUAUAGAAACAACGCCACGAUACCAUUAAUCGCGCUCAUUCAACUUAGCAACAAUUUUAAUUAGAGGUUAGUUUUAAGUGAAAAUAAUAAAAUUAUAAUUUUAAAGACAAGUGAAAAAUAAACAAAAAAAACAUUUAUGUAUGUAUGCAUAAUCUCUGCUUUUUGAAACUUUUGGUACGUAGAGCUCCCAAAACUGUAACAAAUUAAUUUAGGAUAUGAAGAUCUGACCCCGUGAUUCUUUUUACUUUCCCGCUAACUAUAGGUUAGGAGAUAGUACAAAGAGUAAAAUGUCAUGUCUAUUUUAAAUUGUGAAAGUCAAAACCGCACAAUGACUUUGAUACAGAAAUAAAAGUCUUUUUUUUUGUUAAAUACGUAGAUACUGAAAAUUAUUUUACUAAGUAGAAAUUAAUGAAACAUACGAAAACAAAAAUAGGAAUGCUGAAAAUUAAUUAUAAUGUGCCAAAAAUAUUAUUUUAAAAUGCUGAAAAUUAAUUUUAAUAUGCAAAAAAUACUAUUUAAGGUGCUGAAAAUAUUAUUUAAAAUGCCAAAAAUGUUAUUUUGAAUGCUAUGAGUAUAAUUGUUGAAAGGGUGAUUUAAAAUGCUAAGAAUGUCAUUUAUAAAAUGUCCGCAAUUGUUAAACAUGCAAAAGUCAAUAAACAUGUUGUAAAUUAAGUUGCCAUAUUCAAAUGUGAAUUAACAAGGCAAGUAUUAAUUAAACUCCUGAAAACAAGAUUUCUAGGCGGAUCAACUAAUAAGUCGUAAAUUAGAUAAAUCCUAAAUUAGAUUUGCCUAAAUGACAAACAAGUCAAGUAACAAAUCCUAAAUUUAUUUUCCUAAGUGAUUCACAUGGUACGUAAAGCACAUAAACCCCCGCUUCCUAGCAGUUUCCAUAAUUUAUUAUUACACAAAUGUUUAUACAACAUAUUAGUUCAAAUUUAAAUCGCAAUAAAAGAGAAAUAGAAAGUAAAUUAAGGCGAGAUAUCCCUGAAGGUGGCAACAUUUUAGCACAACUUGACCAAAGCACCUGCUCGAACAUCACAAAAUACACAAACAAGUUGUACGGUGCACGAAUUCUCAAAUUGAUCGAAUAAAACAUGAUUCCAAUCACAAAAGACAUCAAAACAAAACAAUUCAAGCAGUCACAAAAGUGACAAUGUGUCAUCAUGAAAGGAGUUUAGGAAUGCGAAAAAUUAAAUAAGAAAACUAACCGGUUAGGUGAAGUAAUAUGAAAAUAAAAUCAGAAUAUUGCAAUAAAGAGAGCAACUACAGUUCGAGAUUGAACCAAGUGUUUUGGAAGCCGCGAGCAAAAAAAUUUUGUUCCUCUUAUCUUGUUUUUGUAUAGAGUGUAUGAGUAUGAUAAAAGCUAUAGAGUGUGAGUUGUCUCAAUAAUCAAAAAGGUUGUUGUUUAUAUAGUAAAAGAAUCAAGACAAAUAAAGAAAAAGGAAUAUCUUUUGUCAAUCAAUUAAGAAAAUAAUAAAAUCAGUCGAUCAAUCAAUGAAAUUUUCCCUAUAAAUAUCACACUUCAUAUUAACAGUCAAAAUAAAUAAAAGGAAGGAAAAAUAUCAAUCAAUUCAAAUUUACUGUCUAACAUGCUUACAAAUUAAGGCAAAUCAUUAAGAGUAUGUAAAUAACUACAAAAAAAAGGAGAAUCGUUAAUUUGGCAAAAUCUUUUUAGAAGUGUCAGAAUCAAUUUACAUAAAAUUAAUCAAUCUAAAAAUAGGAAAAAUAUUCAAUCAAUGGAAUUAAUUAUUCAAAUCACCAGAGAAGGAAAAAUAUAUUACCAAGCCAUUCAUAGUGAAACCAAAUAAUUUUAACAUUGGUGUAAAUAACAUCAGUUCAAUAUCAAUCACGCGUAUGAAUUUCAAGUAAACAACAGUAACAAUACUCAUCGGCAUACCCAAAAUUAUGAUACGUAAUAACGAGGAAUGAAUUCAAUAAGCCAUGAGCACCUUUUCGAUGCAAAAUUAGGUCUAAUAGUAAUCCAUAUGUUAAUUAAAGAAUGUAAGCAAAUACGAAAUUGGAUUAAUCAAAAAUCAAAAUCAAAUAUUACUAAUUUCAAAUUCAAUAAUCUAUCAAAGAAAAGAACGAGAAGAAGAUAACAAUGUUAGUUUGGGACACAAAAUUAAAUGGGGUACAAACUUGGACGAAUUCGCUAUGAAUCUGUCGUGUUUCGCCGAUGAUGAAUGGAAAUGGUGACGGCUGAGAAGCGGACCAAUAGUGGUCCUUUGGGCUGGCGGCUGUGUUGUUGUUGUUUUUUUGUCGGCGGUAUGGGUGGCUAGAGAAGCGGAGGCUGGGGCGUCUGACAGGGGCUGAAGUAGCGAUGGAAACUGAAAACUAGACAAUGUAUUUGUAAAAAAUGUGAGUGUGCAUAGUUACGAAUAAUUUAAUAAAAUUAUGUAAAAAUAUCGUAUUUGAGUUUUAAAAUUAUAAAAAUUAUGCUAAAAGAAAAUAAAAUAGUUUUUGUGAAUUUUUCUAAAUUAUGAAUGUGAUACGUCAAUAUGUAUUUAAUAUAAGAAUAACGUGUAAAAAUAUUAAUAAUCAAAAUUAAAUAAUUUUGAUAAGAUAGCAGCCUAAAAGAGCAUCGGGUGGUCAAAAUUGGGUAUCAACACAUGAGAAAGAACAAACUGGUAUGAUGUAAAGGAUUGAUUUCAUGGUAAACCAUAGAUUAUUUUGGUACCUUUUAUCACACCUGAGCAACACUUGAAAAAUUCUCUUGCAUACAUCUAACGCAAGAAUGAAGUCAACCUCGUUGUUUUAUGUGCAUUGUGUGGUGAGUUUAGUUUAAUUCAUUGCAUUGCAUCGUUGAUCUAAAACCUGUCCUAAAUAUCUGUUGAGACGACAUUCUGAGUUGCACUUGGUUUAGGAAAGGAUUGUAGGCCUUCUUUGAUCUGAUUGUGCCUUUUAUAGCCUACCAAAUGACAUUAAUCCCUAGCAUUCCCUCUUUUGAGCCUAAAACCUUUUCUUGGACAACCGCAUCUGAACCUAUACCUUUUUGAGUGCUUAUAUGCACUAUCCCUGUUUCGCCCUAUCUCCUUAAGCGCACUAAAUACGUGCAAAUUACGAACGAAGAUUCAAGUUUAAAGACACAAAAUGCAAAGAAUAUAUCAUCUCAGAUGAAAAAAUGAAAAAAAUGACUUCAAAUAAAACAAAAACCCCACAAAAAAAAAGAGAAUGAAAAAAACAUAUAGUUUCUUAGAGAGGAGAAACUCUAACACAAGAUUCAAAAGAAGCCGAAGCAAAUACAAAACAAGGGGCAACAUAGCACAACUAGGAAGAUCACGCGUUAAAGCACAACAAAUUUUGAAAACACAGAUAUAAUGCAACGCUUAUUGAGAAAUUAGUCACUUUCAUCUCAAAUUUAUCCUACCUGCCUGAUGCCCACAUUACAAGCUAAUAACAAGUCCUACAGGAUUCUAUUCCAAGCAUUCUCACAUUAGUGGAUACUUACAUGAAGGUCAAGUCUAUGGUAUCACAAUUGCAUACAUUGAUAUUCUUUCUGAGUAUGAGUGUAUUUCCCUAUAUGUCCCCAAAUUCAAAAAGAAAAAUUACUCAAAUAUGUGCGAAAUGGGACUUUUUUUCAGGAGAGGGCACUUGAAGCAUGAGGAUAGGCAUUGCUCGAAACAUUUUUUUGAAGCAAGACAAAAAGUCUUGUCGUUUCUUAGGCGUGUUUGAGGUACCAUUUGAAACUAUAGGAGUGACCCUGAAGUCAAUCUCGGUUAGCUGGAAAAGAGAUAAGGGAAUCCUUAUGUAUACUACUAAUUAUUGGUACUAAUUGAAGCCAAGACAUGAUUGUGUCUUCUUCAUCUUUCAGCAUUUUUUACCAAGAAAAUGCAAAAUUCUUUCUUUCUUUUUUUUUUCAAGAAGCCCACCUUCAAAUACGGCCAUUCUUUUUUUAAAUUUCAUUCAAGUUGCCCACUUUCACAUACAUGCAUUUUACUUUUUAUUAAAGGCGCCCAGUUUUGAAGUACGGGCAUUUGACUUUUUCUUUCAAGCAUAUACCUUUAAAUAUCGAUAUUUUAUUUUUCAGUCAAGCACCCAUUUUUGAGUAUUUUUAUAUUUUUUAUAGCCCCUCCAAUCGAGAGCCUAUUACAUUUGUUUUGUAGUCUAGAGCCUUUUACAUUCCAAUAGCCCUAUCAGUUGAGAGGCUAUUGAGGGCCUUAGUUUUCAAAGACAAUCGGAGAUGGAAAUCACCAUCAUUCUUCGUAACAAUCAGAGACGUCAUACAUUUUUUCAAGACUUUUUCUUUCUUUUCAGAUAAUAUUAACCAUAGAUCAUACACUAGGGCAAAUUUUGAGAACCACCUCAACAAUUUAUUCUAUUUUCUCGUAUCAAACUACAUUGACUUGAUUCUCGUAACACUCAAGAUGAGUAGGAUGCUCUAUGUAGAGUUCGGUCAGCACAAUCCAUAAUCAUUCUUUCUCCCCAUCAAGUACACAAUCUUGCAUCCCCCAAUAUCUCAGAAUUUGAUAGUGGGACAAUUUUGAAAGUAGCAUUAGAAAUAAGUGAACACUUUCCUUCCCAAAUAAUUCUUUGCUAAAUAUUCAUUUCGUGGCUCUGUCCAUCCUAAAAUAGGACAAAUUGGGUUGGUUUGCCCUCAAAAAGACAGUUAUGCAUGUUUUUCUUUAGUUAAAUACUUAUGUUUGCUUGCCGUUACUUGCAUGUAUCGCACUGUAUUUAUUUCAUUUACAUUACAUGUUAUCUUUGUCUUUACUUGCACGCACUACAAUGCAAUUAUUUUAUAGUUUAAGCACUAUAGUCUAUCUUUACCUUUACUUGCACGCAUCGAAAUGCAUUUAUUUUAUUAUUUUAAGCACUGCAUGUUAUCUUUGUCUUUAUUUCCAUACAUCGCAAUGCAUUUAUGUUAUCCUUUAAGCACUCGCAAUACAUUUAUUUUAUUAUUUAAGCACUGCAUAUCACCUUUGUGUUUACUGGCUCAUAUCACAAUGCAUUUUGUUAUUUAAGCAUUGCAUGUCUAGCAAAUAUCGCAAUGCAUUUAUUUCAUUAUUUAAGCACUACAUGUCAUCUUUGCCUUUACUGACGCAUAUCACAAUACAUUUAUUUUCUUGUUUAAGCACGACACGCAGAUAUUGUAAUGCAUUUAUUUUAUUAUUUAAGCACUACAUGUCAUUUUUGCCUUUACUGGCUCAUAUCGCAAUGCAUUUUGUUAUUUAGGCACUGCAUGCCUUGCAAAUAUCGCAAUGCAUUUAUUUUAUCAUUUAAGUACCACAUGUUAUUUUUGCAUUUAUCUGGCACAUAUUGUAAUGCAUUUAUUUCUAAUAUUUUAACACUGCACGCAUAUAUCGCAAUGCAUUUUAUCAUUUAGGCAUUGCACGCCUCACAAAUAUCUUAAUGCAUUUAUCUUAUUAUUUAAGCAUUGUAUGUCAUUUGUCUUUACUGGCACAUACCGCAAUGCAUUUAUUUAUCAUUUAAGCACUGCAUUUUAUCCUUGCUUUUACUUGCACACAUCGCAAUGCAUUUAUUUAUUUUAUCAUUUAAGCACUGUAUGUCAUCUUGGCAUUUACUUGCGCAUAGCAAUGCAUUUUUUUUUAUAAUUUAAGCACUGCAUGUCAUCUUUACGUUUACUUGCACAUCGCAAUGCAUUUAUUUUGUUAUUUAAGCACUGCAUGCUUUGUCUUAACCUACACAUAUUAAAAUGUAUUUAUUUUACCAUUUAAGCACCAAAUGUUAUAUGUGCAUGUACUAUUUUUUAAGCACUGCAUGCUAUUUUUUAAUUUUUUUUUAAAAGAAAAAAAUAAGAAGAAAAAAUCAAGCUUAAUUUUUCGUUUGAAUUUUAUUGAUCAUUACUUCUUAGUUUGAUGCAUUUGCAAGCAUAUAUUUUGAGGACAUUGAGUUCGUCCAUUCUAAAAUAGGACAUAUUGAGGUAGCAACUCUAAAUUAGAGUUCCCUCAAUUUUUUUAAUCAAAAAUAAUUUUUUGUCAAGAAAAAUUGGCUACACGUUAAUAUUUUCGUCUAAAGACUUCUAUAUUGUCUUCAAACGAAAAGGGGCAAACUGUUGACACCCAAUUUUGGCUCUUCAUACUUAAAUUUAGCACUUUUAGGCUUUAUGAUCGUUAAAGUACAUAAAAUAUAAUUUUUCACACUUUUUGUUUAUAAUUUUUUAGCAAAUUAACGAUAAUCAUCAUUUUUUAGAAUUUAUUAUCAUAUUUUAACUUUGCAUAAUUUAUUGAUAAUUAUCCUUAAUUUCGUAAAUUUUAGAAUUUUUAUUAAUUUAUUAUCAUUUUAAUAUUUUUGCAUAGUCAUUUGCAUAUGUACAUAGCAUAACACUACAAUUCUUUCUUACAUAUUAUAAUUUUAAAUGUUUAUAGCGUAAUAUAGUUUUUAGAUGAUUUUGUUAUAUUUGUUGUUUUUAUUUUUCUGUGAUUAUACAUCGACAUUCAUAUUUUUGUACAUUAUUUAAUACGAUCUGCAAAUGUAGCUGACUUAAUUAUUUUAAAUACACAGAGCAAUAAAUUAAUCAAAUCAAAAUCAUGUCAACUUUUUUUAAAGAUGACAAUUGACAUGACUAAUUAGAUCUUUUACCCUUUAGUCAAAAUACUACUACUAUUUAAUAGUUAAAAUGGAUAUAUUUUUUUGGUUAAUAAUGGACUCCACUUUUUAUUAUAAGUAAAAUGGGAGGGCUAAUUAUUUAAUACACACACUACACGCACAAACACACCAAAAAAAUAUCAAUCUCUCUCUCCUUUCUCUUCUCUCCCUUUUCUCUCAAAAUCAAACUGUCGCCCACCACCCCUACCACCGUCGGAGUCCGAUGAAACCUUUACCACCACGUCACCCUCUCUCCCUUCAUCUUCUCUUUUCUGUCGCAUCUUACUGGAUGUGACAACCGAUAAGCUGCCUCCGGCCACCACCAUUACUGUCGCCUCUUUUCCUUUCCCUUCCCCAUUUUCUUUUUCAUUGCUUCUUCGCCAAAAGUGAUGACCGGCAAAUCUCCCCAACGAGCAGCCACCACUAUGGCUAGUUUUCCUCACCCUUUUCUCGUGUUUCCAUCGCUGCCUCAUUGAAAUUGAUGGCCAGCAAGCUCCCAAAGCAUCACUACCGCCACUGCUUUACCAGACAUGGCCAGAUCUGGGCAAGAUUUCAUUUCUCCGGCGUGGCUUCGAUGAAUACCUUUAACGCAAUGCCACCAACAAUCUUUGUUGUCUCCGAUUUUGUUAUUUAUUUGGUUACUAUGCUUUAUUUUCUUAAAAUAGAUCUAUGCAUUUCUUGUGCUCUAACGAUUCUUGACUGAUUUUGGGUUGUCUUUCAAUAUUUUUGGUGGCCUUGAAUUUUCGAGCAUCCUCUUUGUUUUCUCUAGGUGAAACUGCUACAAGUUUGCUCAUUUUGGGUUGUUCUGUUAUUGUUUAGCCACUGUUUUGCUGCUUGUGGACUGAUUUUUCUCUCACUUUUGCUCUUUUACUGCAUUUUACAUUUUUAUUAAAUUGAUAAUGAACAAAUGUUAUAUUGGCCAAGAAAUUUUCUGUCGAUUUUUUAGGCCUUCACAAAUAAAAAGACAGAUAUUGCGUAUAUAAAUACAUAAUAAAAUAAAUAUUUCAGGUGAUGAUAAAAUUUUUAUAGCAACACAAAAGUUUUAUGAUUCGUAUCUUGGUAAGACGAUUUAGGACGGCUAAUAAAUUAAGCAACCACUUCGUAGCCAUAGUGUACCUAAAAUCUGAUCCGAGCCCACACUUUUACUAAAAAAAUUUAUUUUUUAUACAUAUAUGCACACACAUCUUCUCAUUUUUUUGAUAAUUAUUUAUUUGUUACUAAUAUUUUUAUUACAAGUGCUUAUACAGGUUAUUGAGAAUAUUUAUCGGAAAUGACAUGCAAAGAAGACUUUAAUUUUUGUGAUUCGUAUUUUUAUAUUAUUACAUUUGUAUAAAUAGCAAUUAUAGUGAAAAAUUUAUUUUUUGGGGUGUUAGGCGGGAAUGCUUUAACUUAUACUACAUUCAUCACGCGCUUAGGCAAAAUUUAGGCUGUUACUAUUUACUUGAAAGAAUUAAAUUAAUUUAGAUAUUUAAUCAAAUAAUUCCUACUUUUUUUUUACAUUAAACAUGGCUUAAUCUUUUUCUGUAAAAUAAAAUUUCGUUAUCUAAUCUUUUCAUUUUUUUCAUA